GAAGGUUGCCCGAAGAAAAUUAACAAAAUAAACAUGGUACGUGAGCUAGUGUUCAGUAGUCACCUUUGGCAUCAUGCCUGUGACAUCCGCCGCAGAUGAGGUAUGCGGAAGAUGUUUUAUUCAGGAACGGCAUCACUCUCUUCAUUCGAGACAGCUUGAUCUGAAGACACAGGUGCGUGAACCGCGUCCCUCCCUUCAUUAGAGCCAGCUUGAUCUGAAGAUGCAGGUGCGUGAACCGCGUCACUCCCUUCAUUAGAGACAGCUUGAUCUGAAGAUGCAGGUGCGUGAACCGCGUCACUCCCUUCAUUAGAGACAGCUUGAUCCCAAGAUACAGGUGUGUUCCCUACAUCUACACUUGUAGCAGCAGCCUUAGGAACAUUUCCCCCCUCUUCUUGGCUACCAGCAUCAACAUCCAUGCUACAAUUGGUAUUGUCCUGGUCAUCUAAUUUGGAUGAAUCAACCUUGUCAAUGGCGCCCUCGUUCAUGGUAACGCUGUCCCCACUAUGAGCAUUAGAAGUAGUCUGUCCAACUGAAGCCCCAUCGUUAUCCACUUGAGUGUCAGGCAAUGGAGGAAUAGGACCUACAAGGUCUCCAUCUACAUCUGCAUUGUCCAUGUCCAUCUGAUCCCCCUUGAUUUCUUUGCUUCCUGCAGCUUCUUCAUCAGUAACCAUAUUCGUCUGUCCUGAUUCCUCUUCAAUGUCAUGAUUCUUCCUCUCAUUUUCUUCCUCAGCAGCACGAUUUUGAGCUGCAGCUUCCUCCUCCUUAGCACGGGUUUCUGCCUCUAUUGCCGCUUCCUUAGCACGGUUUUCUGCCUCUAUUGCCUCCUCCUUAGCACGGUUUUCUGCCUCUAUUGCCUCUUCCUUAGCACGGUUUUCUGCCUCUAUUGUCUCUGCCUGUAGCCUAAGUAGCCUCUUGUGCUCCUCAAGUUGUUCAUGGAUGCUCUGGUAUCCAGACAGCAGAUCACCAUAGCGGCUCUGGAGAGUCCGUUCUAAUGCUUUCUGUUUAUUCACUUCAUCAGACAAAUUUUUCACACGAUAGGCAGCAGCCAUCUGUUCUUGUUUCUGCAACUCUUGGAAGCAUUCAAGUUCUGUGGCUGCAGUGUUCAUCUGCUUGAAGGUGUCCUGGAUCUGUGACCCCAAUUUUGCAGCCCGAGCCUAACAAAUCAAAUAACAAGUGGAACAAACCAUCAGCACUGCAAAUCGACAUGGAAAACCUAGAAACAAAAUGAAAACAAUAUCAUACAAUAUUGUUUCAGUAGAACUAAUCCAGUAUGUAUCAAAUGAAAAGCAAUAGAACUAAUCCAGUAUGUAUCAAAUGAAAAGCAAAAUAAGAAGUGAUCACUAAACUGUUGCAUUUCUUUGCAAAUUAUGCAAGUUUGGUUUGGGGCAACUGGAUAAUCUUUCAAAUUAUGGGUUAGCUUACACAUGGUGCAUUUUUAAAUGACACCAAACAUCAAUGGGGCAGAGAUGUUAGAGAGGUGCCCUUGGUGCCCUUACACAGACUAGAGAGAAACAUUUAGCAUAGCUAGACUGUAUAAAAUGCUGUCUGGAAAAAAGUUAAAACUAAUAUAGGCAUACCACAAAGAUGAUGCAUCAUCCUCAACUAACCUGGUAUCCUUGUGUCAGCAGUUUGAUCUUCUGCUCAAGCCGAGAAGCUUUCUUUGCCUCAUCAUCCAUUCUCUUCUUUACCAUUUCAAACUCAUGUUGCAAAGCAGAAAUUUUAUCAGCAUUUCCAGCAACACUAGCAAGACCAUAGCUGUUGUUAGUAGGGAAAAACAUAAGGUCCUCCUGGCAUGCAUCAUGUGACUUUACAAAAUCCUCAAAAGAUUCAUUUUCAUGGCCCAUGGCCACACGAAGAUACUGAAUCUCCUCCUCAACCAUAGAACUUGCCUGUCAACAAAUAAAUAUGUGAUUUUAAAAACUUCUUCAUCAUUACGAUUAGACUAAAGCGGGCAAACAGGACUGGCACAAAGAACUAUAAAAAACCGUAAAUAAGAUUUAGCAAGAAAUCAAAUCCAUAUACGGUUAAAGAAAACCACCCACUCACAAGUCAUAACACACAGCCUUCUAUUGAAAGGCAAAAAUCUCCAUUCACAGAUGGUAUGCUAGACAACAACCCACUUAGUCAGGCUAAACAAAAAGGACAGAUGGCUAUAAGUGAUUACUAAAUUGAAGAAGUGUUUCAGUAAUUCAAUAUAUGUGUAUCUGAGUUCUUAUGCAGAAAGAAUACACAUCUCAAACUUUGUCAAUACUAUUGUGAAGAAAUACUGCACAGUUCUCUACAUGGUGUGUGCCCAUGUGCAUAACAUAACAAUUCUAACUAACACAUUACUUGUAGAUGGUAACAUCCUUUACACUCCGGAGGGACAUAUUUUCAAACUGGAGAAUCCAUAUAUUUUUAUCUUGAUUGAAUUCUUGAUAUUUCAGACUUCCAACCACGGUUUUCAAAUUCUUUUCAACUUUCAAUCCCCGAGAGAGGUUGUUUUUCAAGCAAUCUUGUGCACUCAUUGUCUAUCCAUGACAAUGUCACAUCUAAGUGAUGCAUGCUUAACCUGAUUAGUGGCCUCUUGGAUUUUUGAGCAUUCAUUCAUUUUCCAGAAACACGAGUAUCCUAAAAAAUGGGGUAAGCACUGCAUAAAACCUAGCACAAUUCUUCAAUGAAUCCUACAGCAAAACAGUUAUCUUGUGAGUGAUGUGCUGUAUACAGCUCCCACUAUACAAAAUAAACAUGCUUUCCUUCCCUUGCCAUCUCCAGGAUAGCACUCAAUGCCAAUGGAUUAGCUAUAAAAGUAAUUGGCUAUCAGAAGUAAGAUCAUAAAGGUUGGUACAGGAAUAGUUUAGACCUGCUGCUCACAUACAGGCGCUAUAUUCCAUAUUACUGUGUUACUCACUUGUGUAUAUACAAUUAUGAAACCACAGCAAGUAAUUAUUGAUGUGCCUAAUACUACAUGAAAUCGGAAUAUAUGUUAUCAUGUAAAUUGAAUAUACAGUUCAACAUCAAAUACCAAUAAUAAAAAAGGAACAGAAAAGAAGUAUACCUCUUUUAGUUCAUGCUCAUCAAAACCUUCGAUUUCAGGGACGAAAGCUGCCCCAUUUGCCUGACGCUUGCUGCCUUUCUUUUUCUCUCUUUGAGUUUGUUCAUCAAGAGGAUAUUUAGCAUUAUCAUGCUCAAGGAGCCUAAGGAGUUCCUCAUUUAUUAGCUCGUCAGCUUGUUCAAGUGAUGUAGGAGGCACAAAGGUACUUCUGGUUUCACCACCUUUAAUCAGAGAUUGCCGGAGAAUCUCCACUGAAGCAGCAGGUGGCCUAGGCAAACUCCUCUGCAACACUUUGGACCUCUUUCUGAGCAAUGCCUCCUGCCUUGCUUGUUCCUCAGCCCUUUCUCGUGCUAACCUGUCUGACAUAUCCUCUUCAAUUCUCUCUUCUGCUUCUUCCUUCUCCUCUGUGAUAGGUGGCAUAACUAUCUGGUACUCAUUCUUAGGCUGUGGAAUAGAAGCAAAACCAGACCGCAAACCUCUUCUCAGCUCGGCUUGCCUACGAAGCUCAAGCUGAGCGCUGUCUUGCAUUUCCACCUCUUCAUUUAUGUGAAGCUCAUCCCUGAAAGGGGUUCCUUUUGGAGUUAACCCAAAGGCAUUUCCAUCUCUGGAUGGUGUCAAACCAAUCCUUGGGGUAACACCAGGGCCAGGGCUAGCCAGAGGCGUCGCCAUGGGAUUUGGAGUCUGUAUCUCUUUCUUACGUGGUGUAACGCCUGAGAAAUCUGAUGGGUGAAGCUCUGGGUUAUCGCCUCCUAAAAGAGGUGUUUGUGAUUCCCUUAAACGUGCAAGAUUCUCUGCCUCCAUCAUAAUAGCGUCACCUUUCCCACCUGGCGUUCGUUGCGGCGUUCGCAAUGGUGUCAUACCAAGCCUUGGAGUCUGGGAAUAAUUUGCAAGCAGUGUCCUAGUGGCAGUACUUCCUUCACCAAGCUCCUCGGCUAGAGCAGGAUCACCGGCAUUGCCCAUCUUUGCAAUCUCCUCCAAUUCAUGGUCGGAAAUUUGGGGUGGUGGAAGCAUUAGUUUGGACCUUCUUGUGACAGCUUCUGGGUCAUUGAGUUUAUUUGCUUGCAUUAUUGCGGCAGGGGCAUCCUGCCUCUGCAGAAUCUUGUUCUUGGCAAUGUCUUGCUUUCUUAAUUGAGCCUCUACAUCCACUCUUCUCCUCCCUUCAAGCUCCUCAAUGGUAGUUGGAAACUGCACAUGCUCAAGUGGCCUGUCCUCGCCCACUGUAUCAUAAAAACCUGGAGGGGGUCUCUUUUCAAAAGGGAUCUCGGCAUUAUAGUCAAUUCCCUUUCUCUUUCUUUUUUUGUGCCGGUUGUCAAUACCAGCUGCCUUCAGUUCUCUCCUUUUUUGCAGUGAUGCAAGCCGCCUCGCCUCUUCAAGCUGUUUCUCUCUUGCCUUCCGUUUUGCCUUUUUACCCCUGGUGUUAGCUAAGCGAGCCCUUGCCUCAGAAAGCAUUUCCUUUUCAUCUUCGUCCAUGUCAACAGGAUCUGGACGUGCAGGUUUUGACUCAGGGUUUGGAUCUAUCUCCCCAGGUCGCAACUUUCUUGGGUCAUCGUUAGGCUCAUAAUUCUCAUCCUUUGCACAGGCAGCAUCAAGCAAUUUUUCAUAACGCUCGAGGCACUGGGAUGGUGUUCGACCCACAAUAGGUGCAAUAGUCCUCCAUUGAGUAGGCAUGAGCUUAGCAAGAUGAAGCAGCUUCUCAUCCUCUUCCCUUGUCCACUCAGUCUGGGGUUAAUGGGCACUGGUUAGUUAAGUAACGUAAAUGACAGAACCUCUAUAUUAUUCGACAGACAACUGAAAACUGAAAAUGGGGCAGACCUAUGUCAUAAUAGAGCAGAUAUAACCAAUUAAAAGAAACAUUAAGCAUCAUAUGACAGGUAAAGAUUGACGGUUAUUUUGAACAAGUUAAUUUGAUUAGAAUGUGAAUCACACAGACUGAAAAUAUAGUUUAGUCAAGUUAGCUUGGUUUUUAUUAGACACUUAAGUUUUAGAGUUAGAUGACAACGCUAAUGAAGCAUUAAGAAUCAAAUUUAGAGUUCUCAACAAAGAUUUAUUAACAUCUUUCCUAUAACUUUAACAAGCUAGGUCCAUAUUUCAACGAUAUCACAGAGAAUGUGUUAAGAGCAUAACAUCAUGCAAGCCAUAAUAGUCAUGACCAAAAAAUAAGUAUACGAUGGCAACACAGAUAUGACAUAUUGUGUUCAUUAUAUUACCCUCGCUAACAAGAAUAUUACAAUGCACAAAGACAAUUAGUCAGUUCCAUUGGUAGAAGUUGACCAUCCAAUAACGUAUGUACAAUCAGUGCAUAGGAUUCUAGCAUGGUAUAGUAUGAAGAGAGAAUAACAUAACCUCAAAACCAAUAUGUGUGUUGAAAUAUGAGCACUUCAAAAACAUGUGGAGCAAUUUACAACAAAAAAUGUAAACUAGAUAAUGUAAACCAAAUGGCAAUUCGUCAAAACUGUACACAGUGUAGCAUUUUCAAAACACCACAUGAUAACCACGGAUCCUCUAGUUUGUACUCACUCCGCGUCACAAUUACAGAUCCUCUAUAUAAUCCUUUCAUAGCAGCAUCUAGUUGCAGUUCACUCGCUAACAAAGUACUAGCCAUCUAAAAAAAUCUNNNNNNNNNNNNNNNNNNNNNNNNNNNNNNNNNNNNNNNNNNNNNNNNNNNNNNNNNNNNNNNNNNNNNNNNNNNNNNNNNNNNNNNNNNNNNNNNNNNNNNNNNNNNNNNNNNNNNNNNNNNNNNNNNNNNNNNNNNNNNNNNNNNNNNNNNNNNNNNNNNNNNNNNNNNNNNNNNNNNNNNNNNNNNNNNNNNNNNNNNNNNNNNNNNNNNNNNNNNNNNNNNNNNNNNNNNNNNNNNNNNNNNNNNNNNNNNNNNNNNNNNNNNNNNNNNNNNNNNNNNNNNNNNNNNNNNNNNNNNNNNNNNNNNNNNNNNNNNNNNNNNNNNNNNNNNNNNNNNNNNNNNNNNNNNNNNNNNNNNNNNNNNNNNNNNNNNNNNNNNNNNNNNNNNNNNNNNNNNNNNNNNNNNNNNNNNNNNNNNNNNNNNNNNNNNNNNNNNNNNNNNNNNNNNNNNNNNNNNNNNNNNNNNNNNNNNNNNNNNNNNNNNNNNNNNNNNNGAGACCGGGGCGACGGGGUGGUGCGGCGAGGAGGGGAUUGGAGGAGCGGGGCCGCGGGGGAGGGCGGGAAAGUGGGCGACGGGGAGGGCCAAGCCGGCGGCGGAGGGCAGUGGCGGCGCUCCUCUCACGGGACGGAUUGGUUCGGGCUCGGGAGGCGGGACUUGUCCUGGUGAGGUAAACCCGAUGACGUGGCAUGUAACGCUCAGUCAAAACCAGUCAACCGCUGGAAAGAGUUUCUCUAGAGCAACCCUACCACACCCCGCAUCCCGUCGACCCGAAAAACACGUUUGCAGGUCGUGCUAAACUGCUUAUGCGGGCUGGCCUGGGCUGUCACAUAUGCAGAUCCCACAAACGGAUCCGUAAAAAAUAUAUUUGUGGAAUAUUCUUUUUUACGGGUCGACUUUGAAGGGUCCGUUCUUUGCACCGCUGCUUCCCGUAUCAUUAGACCGUAAAUAUCAAAUACAACAUAAUUCAACGGCCGAAAACAAACUGAAUUAUUCCAAUCAAACACAAUACAAUAAUCAUCCGCAUUACAAAUAAUUAUUCAAAACUUGUCAUGAAUACAAAUACAAAUGAAUACAAAAAUAAGUCGUUGUCUAGCCCUUUGCCAAUAGUGUUCAAUGAGAUACUUCUGAAGUUGAAAGUGGGUGUCUGGGUUUUCAAUCUCCUUGUAUGUCUGAAGAAAAGCUCUAAUGCGGUUUGGGUCUCUAGCUGGUUUGACACGGCUACCCACAUUGUCGUAAAAGAAUUCUAAGUUCAAUCCUCUCUCAUCUUCAAGAAUCAUAUUGUGCGGGAUAACACAGCGUGUCAUGAUGUUCUUCAAGGUUCUCUUAUCCCAAAAACGAGCAGGACCAUGCACAAUGGCAAACCUAGAUUGCAAAACACCGAAUGCUCUUUCAAUGUCUUUGCGGGCUGCCUCUUGCACCUUUGCAAAUUCAUAUUUUUUUUGUUUUGGGUUCUUUGAUGCUCUUGACAAAUGUGCACCAAGGAGGGUAUAUACCAUCUGCAAGAUAGUACCCCUUUGUGUAUUCAUGUCCAUUAAUAGCGUAGUUGCAAGCAGGAGCAUCAUCACUAGCAAGCCUAGCAAACAAAUGCGACCGUUACAACACAUUGAUAUCAUUGAGAGUGCCCGGCAUACCAAAAAAGCAAUGUCAAAUCCAUAAAUCCUCGGAUGCUACGGCCUCUAGCACAAUUAUUGCAUCACGAGACUUGUCACAAUAUAUUCCUUGCCAAGCCUUGGGGCAAUUUUUCAAAUUCCAAUGCAUACAAUCAAUGCUAUCUAGCAUUCCAGGCCAACCUCUCCUCUCAUUAGAUGCCAUCAAUUUCUUUGUGUCAUCUUCAUUGGAUGCCCGAAGAUACUCAGGACCGAAGAGACGGAUGAUCACUUUUGCAAAUCUACGCACAUACUCAAUUGUGGUAUCUUCACCAAUGCGAAUGUACACAUCGGCAUAGUUAACCGGAACGCCAUAUGCAAUCACCCGCAUAGCUGCGGAGAUUUUUUGAUAUGCACUAAAUCCCUUUAAGCCUGCGACAUUCCUUCUUUGAGUAAAAUACCGGCAAUUUUCCUCGCAAGCUUGAACAAUUUUCACAAAGAGGGAUCAGCGCAUUCGGUACCUUCUCCGGAAGAGGUGUGGAGGAUAUGUAGGAUUCUCCGCGAAAUAGUCUUGCAUCAACAUCUCGUUCCCAAGAUGGCGAUUCCGAGGAAUGCACAAACGCUCGACAGUCGAUCCUCGCCUCUUCUUAUGGUUCUCGUCUUCAUUCUCCUUCACGGCAAGCGUCAUGACUAAUGUUUGCUGACGAAAGGUCGCAAGCAUGGUCUCAACAUCCGAGCCGUCCGAAUCGGACGAAUCGGAUAGCAGGAACUUCUCACAUGGGGUCAACUCCAUCUUCUCGGGUAGUUGGCGGGAGGAUAGUAGGAACCACAAAAAAGGUACUAACCGGCGGCGGCGAUGAGGCGGUGGUCGAUCCCGGGCGGCGACGGCUAGAGGGGGCUCUUCUCGCCGGAUCCGGAGGGGCGGUGCAGCGGCUCGCCUGCAGAUAUGGCCGGAAUCGCCACCAGCAGGCGGGAGGAAGCAAGGGCGGGGCGGCGGCGGCGGAAGGGAGGGGAAAAUAGCGCGGGCUGAAAUGUCCCUCCCGCCAACUGCCUCUCUGUUAUGCAGGGCACCGCAGCCGUGAGGGGGAAACCCGCGUUUUCCCAGGUUGGGGUCGGGAAUUUGCCGCGCCCCCUGAAAAUUUUUGCGAGCCGGGGCGGGAUGCGGGGUCUGAUCGGGCAGGCUUUUCCACCCCGACCCGCAUUUUGGCGGUUAUUUUGCGGGUCGAGGGCGGAUGCGGGGUCUGCUAGAGUUGCUCUUAGAACCGAAAUCUCAUCGAGUGAAUGUUUUACGGAAAUACUAACUGACGAACGUUUCCUCUGUGGAAGGUAGAUGGCAAGCGAAUGCAUUUUCAUGACCGUUUUGGUUACGGCGCGAGAUUAAACGAUGACAGUUUUAGAAAAAAUGCCUUCUUUGAAAGAAAAAAGAAAACAAUUAAAAACAACCAACUGAUUCUCUCUCCCUUAAACCGUCGCCUCCGUACGCCAUGUGCCCUCAUGGAUUCAUCCACCGCUCACUCUCGUCCCACCUUAUCUCUUCCCCUCCACUCGUUUCUCCCUUUCCCUUUUCAUUGUUCUCUUAUUCGUCAGCUGUUAGAUGAGACACUGGAGGGAAAUCAGGAGGACUGUCGACGGAGUUGAGGAAUCGAGUGCAGGAUCGUCGUGCAGUCGCAGUCCCGAUAUCCCACACGUGUUGCUGCCCUAACAAUUGAAAAUCGGGGAUCAUCUGCCAUUGUUGUAGGAGAGGAGAGCCGCACAACGCUGACCACCCUGUUGUCGUGAGUUGCAGGGCAGCCAUCGCUGCUGAUAAGGGCUCGUCGUAUCGCCGCUCGAGGGUGUGGCGCUGCCGCAAAAGGAGAUGUCGCAGCACCCGUGAAGUUGCAAAGUGGCAACGGUCCGCUUGAGGAUGAGGCGUUGCAGCUCUCGUCGUGCUACAAUGGAGUACUCACCGGCGGCAUGCAAUGCUGGUCGGUGUUGCCGAAGCUGCAGUGCAACGGUCACAAUGCUGCAAUGGAGCGCUCGCGUGAGUAGUCGGUGCUGCGGCGAGGCUGUUGCGUUGCAACAGUUGCGACUCUACAGGGAGAAACGGGUGCUUCGAUGCAGCUUUGUCGGUGGUUGUUUGUGCUGCGGCGCAACGUUGUCGGAGCUCCGAUGGGCGCUCAUGAUGAUGCAUGGACGAUGUUGGUGCUUCGAUGCAGCGCUCAUCGACGACUAUCGUGCUGCAAUGCAAUGCUCAUCGGUGGCUGUUGGAAGGUAAGACAGGGGUGUGGCAGGUGAACCUACUGAUGAGCAUUAGUGAUGGAUAUGACCCCUACCACGAAGCAGAGGCUGGGAGGCAGGCGACGACCAGAGGAGAAAUAAGCAGGACAUGUUGACACGGUUUUGCAUUGACCGAUCCAGCUGCUACGCGGGACGGCUCCAACGGCUUUCGACCCGACUGAUUUUCUCUAGAAAUGAGCCGGAUGAUCCCUAGCAGUGGCCAUGUAUUCCUAUAAAGAUAUUGUCAUGACAUUCUUUUUUUCGGAAUGAAAAGGAGUUUAUUCUAAUAUUAUAGGGUUACAAUCACGAGUCAAAUGCUCCUCACAAAACAGAGGACUCAUGUUCAACCAUACCGCAGGGCAACACUCGAUACGGCUAUAAUGUGUGAGAAGAUGUGCUACCCUAUUUUGCUCUCUACCAAUUUUACAAGGAACAAACUCACUAACAACUAUGUGAUUUUUAAUGUUAGCAUCCAACUGACUAAAGAUUGAUCUCGAAAGACUGACGCCUGAGAGUACUGUCAAGGCAUUCGUAGAGUCGUGUUGGACGAUUACCGGCUUGUUUGAAUGCUCAAUGGUCAAUGCCAUACCUUGCAUGAUUGCGUGAAUUUCUGCAUCAAGUGCGUCAUUGCAAUGAAAGAUAUACUUGUAUGCAUCAAAGUUCGCGGAAUCAUCCUCAUUUCACAGAACCAUUCCAGCACAUGCACGCCCAUCAUGACUCGAAAAUGAGCCUCAAACAGAAAAGGCACACCAUCCAGCUGUUGGAAAUAUGCCCUAGAGGCAAUGAUAAAAUAGUUAUUAUUAUAUUUCCUGUUUCAAGAUAAUCGUUUAUUAUCCAUGCUAUAAUUGUAUUGAAUGAAAGCAUAAAUGCAUGUGUGGAUAUAUAGACAAAACAAAGUCCCUAGUAAGCCUCCAGUUGACUAGCCAGUUGAUCAAGGAUGGUUAAGGUUUUCUGACCAUAUGCAAGUGUUGUCACUUGAUGACUGGAUCACAUCAUUAGGAGAAUGAUGUGAUGGACAAGACCCAAACUAUAAACGUAGCAUGUGAUCGUGUCAUUUUGUUUCUAUUUUUUCUGCGUGUCAAGUAUUCAUUCCUAUGACCAUGAGAUCAUGUAACUCACUGACACCGAAGGAAUACCUUGUGUGUAUCAAACGUCGCAAUGUUACUAGGUGACUAUAAAGAUGCUCUACACGUAUCUCCGAAGGUGUCCAUUGAGUUAGCGUGGAUCAAGACUGGGAUUUGUCACUCCGUGUGACGGAGAGGUAUCUCGGGGCCCACUCGGUAAUACAACAUCACAUAUAAGCCUUGCAAGCAAUGUGACUAAAGUGUUAGUCACGGGAUCUUGUAUUAUGGAACGAGUAAAGAGACUUGCCGAUAACGAGAUUGAAAUAGGUAUAGGGAUACCGAUGAUCAAAUCUCGGGCAAGUAACACACCGAAGGGCAAAGGGAAUGGUAUACGGGAUUAUAUGAAUCCUUGGCACAAAGGUUCAACCGAUAAGAUCUUCGUAGAAUAUGUAGGAUCAAAUAUGGACAUCCAGGUCCCGCUAUUGGAUAUUGACCGGGGAGUGUCUCAGGUCAUGUCUGCAUAGUUCUCGAACCCGCAGGGUCUGCACACUUAAGGUUCAGUGACGUUUCGGUAUAGUUGAGUUAUAGGUGUUGGUGACCGAAGGUUGUUCGGAGUCCCGGAUGAGAUCACGGACAUCACGAGGAUUUCUGGAAUGGUCCGGAAACGAAGAUUGAUAUAUAGGAUUGUUUCAUUUGGCCUCCGGAAAGAUUUCAGGCAUUACCGGCAGUGUACCGGGAGUGACGAAUGGGUUCCGGGUUUUUACCGGGAGGGAGCCACCCACCCGGGAGAGAACCCAACAUCACAUGGGUGGCGCACCAGCCUUUGGUGGGCUGGUGAGGCCAGCCCAAUGGGUCUAUGUCGGCUAGAAGAAAAAUCAAAGGAGAAAAAGAAAAAAAAUGAGGUGGGAAGGAAGGAGGGGACUCCUCCUUCCCCAAACUGAAUUGGAGUUGGAGUCCCCUCCUCCUCCACUCGACCGACGCCCUAGGGGCUCUCUUGAGCCCCAAGGCUAGUCCCCCCCUCCUGUAUAUAUUAGAGGUUUAGGAUUUUUGGUGACACAACUUUAGCCAUGUGCAACUGUAAACCUCUACUUCGUAGUUCUUCCUCUAGAUCGGUUUUCUAUGGAGCUCGGGCGGAGCCUUGCAGGAAUAGAUCAUCACCAUUACCGGGGCGCCAUCACACUGUCGUGGAACUCAUCUACUUCACCGUCUCUCUUGCUGGACCAAGAAGGCGGAGAUCGUCAUCGAGCUGUACGUGUGCUGAACGCGGAGGUGCCGUCCGUAAGGCGCUAGAUUAGAACGGAUCGUGGGACGACGGUGAUUUGAAUCACGAAGCUGUUCCACUACAUCAACCGCGUUUCUUAACGCUUCCCACUUAGCGAUCUACAAGGGUAUGUGGAUCCGAUCUCCCUCUCGUAGAUGAACAUCACCAUGAUCGGUCUUCGUGGGCGUAGGAAUUUUUUUGUUUCCCAUGCAACGUUCCCCAACAGUGGCAUCAUGAGCUAGGUUCAUGCGUAGAUGUAAUCUCGAGUAGAACACAAAAGUUUUUGUGGGCGUUGAUGUUCGAUUUGCUGCCCUCCUUAGUAUUUUCUCGAUUCGGUGGUAUUGUUGGAUUGAAGCGGCCCGGACCAACAUUACUCGUACGCUUACGAGAGACCGGUCCCAUCGACUAACAUGCAAAUUGUUGCAUAAAGAUGACUGGCGGGUGUCUGUUUCUUCAACUUUAGUUGAAUUGGAUUUGACCGAGGCGGUCCUUGGAGAAAGGUUAAAUAGCAAUUUGCUCAUCUCCGUUGUGGUUUUGCGUAAGUAAGAUGCGAUCAUACUAGAUACCCAUAUCAGCCACGUAAACACAUGCAACAACAAAUUAGAGGACGUCUAACUUGUUUUUGCAGGGUAUGCAUGUGAUGUGAUGUGGCCAAAGACAUGAUGUAAUAUAUUGGAUGUAUGAGAUGAUCAUGUUGUGAUAGUUAAAUAUCGACUUGCACGUCGAUGCUACGGCAACCGGCAAGAGCCAUAGGUUUGUCUCUAAACUAACGUUUGUGUUCGCAGAUGCGUUUACUAUAUUGCUAGGUUGUAGCUUUAGUAGUAAUAGCAUAGUUAGCACGACAACCUCGAUGGCGGCACAAUGAUGGAGAUCAUGGUGUGGCGCCCGUGACGAUGAAGAUCAUGCUGGUGUUUGGUGAUGGAGAUCAAGAAACACAAGAUCAUGGCCAUAUCAUGUCACUUAUGAAUUGCAUGUGAUGUUAAUCCUUUUAUGCACCUUAUCUUGCUUAGAACGACGAUAGAAUUAUAAGGUGAUCCCUCACUAAAUUUCAAGAUAAAAUUAUGUUAUACCCGACUGUGCACCGUUGCGGCAGUUCGUCGUUUCGAGACACCGCGUGAUGAUCAGGCGUGAUAGACUCAAUAUUCACAUACAACGGGUGCAAAACAGUUGCACACGCGGAACACUCGGGUUAAACUUGACGAGCCUAGCAUGUGCAGACAUGGUCUCGGAACACAUGCGACCGAAAGGUCGAGCAUGAAUCAUAUACUCCAUCCGUUCCUAAAUAUAAGUCUUUUAAGAUAUUUCACUAGUAGUUUACAUACGGAGCAAAAUGAGUGAAUCUACACUCUAAAUUAUGUCUAUAUACAUCUGUAUGUAGUCCACUAAUAAAACUUCUUUAAAGACUUAUAUUUAGGAACGAAGGGAGUAGUUAAUAUGAUUAAUAUAGAGAUGUUUACCACUGAAACUACACUCAACUCACGUGAUGAUCGGACUUGAGUUAGUGAAUUUGGAUCAUGCCACACUCAAGUAACUAGAGGGAUGUCUAUUUGAGUGGGAGUUUAUUAGUAAUUUGAUUAGCUAAACUCUAAUUGUCUUCAACAUAGUCAAGUCCAUUUUGAAAUAUUUUAUGUUGUAGAUCAAUGGCUCACGGAGUAGCAACCGUGAAUUUCAAUACGUUCCUAGAGAAAGCUAAGCUGAAAGAUGAUGGUAGCAACUUUGUAGACUGGGCUCGUAAUCUAAGGCUCAUCCUACAAGCUGGGAAAAAGAAUUAUAUCCUUGAUGCAGCGCUAGGAGAUGAACCACCCGCUACGUCUGAUCAAGAUGUUUUGAAUGCUUGGCAAGCACGUAAGGAGGACUACCCAGUAGUUCAAUGUGUAGUCUUGUAUGGCUUAGAACCGGGACUCCAACGAUGCUUUGAACGUCAUGGAGCAUAUGAGAUGUUCCAGGAGUUAACGUUUAUCUUUUAGAAGAAUGCCCGGAUCGAGAGGUAUGAGACCUCCGAUAAAUUCUGAUCUUGCAAAAUGGAGGAGAAUUUGUCUGUCAGUGAACAUGUGCUCAAAAUGUCUGGGUACUCAAAUCGUCUAGCUGAGCUGGGAGUUGAACUUCCGCAAGAGGCUAUCACUGACAGAAUUCUUCAAUCACUGCCACCUAGCUACAAGAGCUUUGUGUUGAACUAUAACAUGCAAGGGAUGAACAAGUCACCCGCGAGUUAUUCGCGAUGCUGAAAGUCGCAGAGUCAGAACUCCGGAAAGAACAUCAAGUGUUGAUGGUCAAUAAGACCACUGGUUUCAAGAGAAACAGCAAAGACAAGAAGGGUAACUCUAAGAAGAGCGGCAAAAUUGUUGCCACUCCGACGAAGAAACCUAAGGCUGGACCUAAGCCGGAAACUGAGUGUUAUUAUUGCAAGGGGAUGGGUCACUCGAAGCGCAACUGACCAAGUAUUUUUUUGAUAAGAAGGCGGCCAACGCCAAACCAGGUAUAUGUGAUAUACAUGUUAUUGAUGUGUAUCUAACCAACUCUCAUAGUAGUGCCUCGGUAUUUGAUACCGGUUAUGUUGCUCAUAUUUGCAACUCGCCCAUGGGUGGCGCACCAGCCCUUGGUGGGCUAGUGAGGCCAGCCCAAUGGGGCUAUGUCGGCUAGAAGAAAAAUCAAAGGAGAAAAAAAGGAAGGUGGGAAGGAAGGAGGGGACUCCUCCUUCCCUAAACCGAAUUGGAGUUGGAGUCCCCUCCUCCUCCACUCGCCCGACGCCCUAGAGGCUCUCUUGAGCCCCAAGGCUAGCCCCUCCCCUCCUCCUAUAUAUACUAGAGGUUUUAGGGUUUUUGUGACACAACUUUAGCCACGUGCAACCCUAAACCUAUACUUCGUAGUUCUUCCUCUAGAUCGGUUUUCUGUGGAGCUCGGGCGGAGCCCUGCAGGAAUAGAUCAUCACCAUCACCGGCGCGCCGUCACUCUGACGGAGAACUCAUCUACUUCCCCGUCUCUUUUGCUGGAUCAAGAAGGCGGAGAUCGUCAUCGAGUUAAACGCGGAGGUGCCUUCCGUUCGACGCUACAUCGGAACGGAUCGUGGGACGACAGUGAUUUGAAUCACGAAGUUGUGCACUACAUCAAUCGCGUUUCUUAACGCUUCACGCUUAGCGAUCUACAAGGGUAUGUGGACCGAUCUCCCUCUCAUAGAUGAACAUCAUCAUGAUAGGUCUUCGUGUGCGUAAUUUUUUUUGUUUCCCAUGCAACGUUCCCCAACACCAGCAGGUGGAUGAGGCCAUGGUACAAUAAGUAGCACACGUUUGUUGUGUACACAGCUUGGCCUUCCUCCAUCGUUGGCAUUUUUCCUUCUAUGAUUUCUUCCGUAUUGAACUUAGUUGCCAAGUUAAGCGACUUAUAAUAGAUGUUCAAAUAGUCAACUAUAACUUGAAUCGGGGUCUCACACUUCCCAUGUGUAAAAUCAUUCUGAAGUUGCCAAAUUCGUCAAAUGGUCAUGAUCACCAUGUCCUUGGUUUGUACCGAACAUUUAUACAAGAGUUGCAAGGGCCAAUCCUUCCCUCAUACUAUCCCUUACAACGAACAUUCACCAGCUAUCCAUUGUUGUGCAAGAAACUUAACUAAUACAUGGGGAGGUGUUCUUCGUCGAGGCAUUAUCGCUUCCCUACAACAUGCAAUUCAUGAAUAAGUCUCCACCAAAAACAAAGAGUUGAUGCUUUUUCCGCCCCAAUCACUUUGGCUCCUCAGUGUAAUGCUCGUCCUUUCAAAGUGUUGGAACACCGGGAAUGCAAAGGCAUUUCGUCAGCUUGAUAUCCAUUCAGACACAUUACUUCGACUUACGAUUUCAUAUUUGGACCUUUGGUCUCAUAGACUUUGUAAACAUGAGUUGAAAAUGCCUGAACUUCCAUGCCUCCGGUUCAUGUCGAAUAAGGAAAAAAAACAUUAUCCUACACGAAGGCAGCGAUUUUUCUUCACCCAUGAUUAAAAAGAAACAAUUCUCAUAUAUUUCUCCCGGAGCACUCUCCAACAUGAAAUUUCUCGCUUCGUCACCUUAAGUGUUUCUCUGGCCAGGAAUAAUUACACCUUUUAGGGCAUGAAUCCAACCACUAGUCCGGUUCGGUCCUAUUCCCUCAGUUCAUAAAUAUUUGUCUUUCUAGAGAUUCCACUACGGACUACAAAAGGAUGCAUAUAGACAUAAUUUAGAGUGUAAGUUCACUCAUUUUGCUCCGUAUGUAGUCCGUAGUUGAAUCUCUAAAAAGACAAAUAUUUAAGAACGGAGGGAGUACUUUCUAGGAAAAAAUCUGGUGCACCGACAAGCCAAAAAUCUACACCCUAUAUGAUGAUUUACACCAAUUCAUCUUUGACAUGGCUAGUAUAAAACCGCCCACAUAGCACUGCUGCUGAAACAAGAUCAAGCUCGCAUCAUAUACGUGUGUCGACCUAUAUCGUUCUGCCCUAUAAAAGCUUCAGCCAAACAGUGAUAAAUAGACUCAAACCUACAAUACCUUUCAUAUGUAUAGGGGCCGACAAAUGAGUAUCCUUUGAUGUUUGCAACUCCUGUGUCAGCGAUGAAGGAAACACCGAACGUUUAUUUUUUCCCAGCCCAGGAGAAUCGGUUUCCAGCAACAGCCCUGUCAAUUCUGUAUAGAUACCAAAGUUGGGUAGAGUUUUAUCAGAGACUUGCAAUGGAUAUCUUCUGAGCACCGAGAAGAUAUCUCCAUUUUGGCUGCUGACUAGCUCACAUUUUGACACUACGGUUAUCCUAUACUCAGUGUGUUCAUUGCAUCACUCGUAAGGACAGAAAACAUAUCCAUGGUGUUUUAAACUGGAAACCGCACGUUCUUCAAUCUUUUCAGUGUAGACAACGUGUGUUUCAGCCGCUCUGAACUGCAACCUGCGUUUCAGUGCGUUCUCGGCGUUUUUCUUGUUGUUGCUGUUCUAAUCACCUUCGAUUUCGUGCCGCCGAUCAUGGUAGUACCGGAAUUCAUACAUGUAGUAUUUGAGCAUGUCUAACAAUAUGUGAUUCUCUGAAGAACUCCACGCAUCAAAGGUACUGCGCUAAACUGAGUGACAAUAAUUAUGCACCACAGCACACAGUAUUUCUCAUUUCUUCAUCCAACAACUGAAUGAUAUCACAUAUUCUAUCUGACGGAUCAAGUUCCUGCCCGCCUGAUACAAACACCUUAGCAGCACCUUUCAGUUGGAUCCAGCUACAGCCAGGAGACUUCUUGACACCAUGCUCUGCCAUGGCUCUUCUCACCCCCUCCGCUUCCUUCCACUGCCCAGUGGCGCACAACAUGUUGGACAACAUCACAUACCCAGUGUCUCUCACAGGCUCCAUCGACACCAUGCCGCUCCCCACCUUCCUUCCGAUUCUUGUGUCCAGUUGCACCGAUGAGUAGGCACUAAGCAGAGACUCACGCAUAUCGCUGCUGUGCAUCUGAACCGUUUCAGAGUAUUGCUCCAGCACCUCAAUGGCUUUUGCGAUGUUCCCAGAUCUAGCAUACAUGUCGAGAACGCAAGCUAAAUGCUCCGGUGUUGGCUUCAGUCCAUGGACAGACACCAUCGACUCAAAGAAGGCUCUCCCUUGCUCCAGGAGGCCAGAAUGGCUGCAGGCUGUGAGCAAGCCUGUGAAUGUGACUUCGUCGGGGCAAACAUCCUGGGACAACAUCCUUUCAUACACUGCAAAUGCUUGCUUUGCCCAUCCAUUUAUUGCAAACCCGAACAACAUGGUGUUCCAUGACACUGUGUCCUUCUGAAGAACGGCAUGGAACACAUUGCUUGCCCCCUCGACGUCUCCGCACUUUGCAUACAUGUCCAUCAAACUGUUGGCCACGUACAAGUAGCAUGCAUAACCCGUUUGGAAUGCACAGCCAUGAAUCAUCCUUCCACUGGCCAUAGAUGCCGCAGCAGCGCAAGCAUGAAGCACAGCACCAAAGGUGAAGUCGUCAGGAUGGAUAUGCCCGUGUUCCAACAUCUUACUAAAUAGUGCAAGGGCCUCAUCCGCACAGCCAUUCCUCGCAAAACCUCCAAUCAUCGAAGUCCAGGAGAUGUCAUUGGUCUCAGGAGCACUUUGAAACAGAGCAGCAGCUUGUUCAAUGUGGCCAAGCCUUGUGUGUGCGUCGAUCAGUGAAUUCCAUGACACAACGGUUCUACUCUCCAUAGACUCGAAGAUCUUGACAGCACAAUCCAGCAAGCUGAACUUACUGUAGAAGGAAAUAAGCGAGUUAUUGACCUCAGGGAUGGCACUCCAGCCACUCUGAACCACAAUCUUGUGGACUGCAGCGCCGGUGGAUGGGCAGGGCAGCUCCGUGCAAGCAUCGAUCAGAAUGCAGAGCGUCGCAUCGUCGCAGGAAAGCCCCGACACCCGCAUCUCGUUGAACAGAAGCAGACACUGCUUGGCAUUGCCACAGCGGGAAUACCCCGUGAGCAGCGUGUUCCAGGCAACACUGCUAACGCUUCCAGCGGGCAUUUCGUCGAACAGCUCGCGCGCGAGCGCCAUGCGGCCCGAUGCGACGUAGCCGUGGAGGAGCGAGCACCAGGAGAGCGCGUUGCGGUCGCGCAUCUCCCGGAAGGCGCGCGCGGCGUCGUCGGCGCGGGCGCACCUGGCGUACAUGGCGACGAGCGCGUUGCCGACGGGGAGCGGCGCGCGCAGGCCGAGCCGGAGGAGGCGGGCGUGGAGCUGCGCGCCGGCGCCGGGCGAGCGGAGGGCGGCCGCCGCGGAGAGCGCGGCGGUGAGGGAGAAGGCGUCCGGACCGCGCAUGGCGGCGAAGAGGGCGAGNNNNNNNNNNNNNNNNNNNNNNNNNNNNNNNNNNNNNNNNNNNNNNNNNNNNNNNNNNNNNNNNNNNNNNNNNNNNNNNNNNNNNNNNNNNNNNNNNNNNACGCGGUUGAUGUAGUGGAACGUCCUCACGUCUCUCGAUCCGCCCCGCGAACAAUCCCGCGAUCAGUCCCACGAUCUAGUACCGAACGGACGGCCCCUCCGCGUUCAGCACACGUACAGCUCGACGAUGCUCUCGGCCUUCUUGAUCCAGCAAGAGAGACGGAGAGGUAGAAGAGUUCUCCGGCAGCGUGACGGCGCUCCGGAGGUUGGUGAUGACCUUGUCUCAGCAGGGCUCCGCCCGAGCUCCGCAGAAACACGAUCUAGAGGAAAAACUAUGGAGGUAUGUGGUCGGGCAGCCGUGAGAAAGUCGUCUCAAAUCUGCCCUAAAAGCCCCAUAUAUAUAGGAGGAGGGAGGGGGACCUUGCCUUGGGGUCCAAGGGAACCCCAAGGGGUCGGCCGAGCCAGGGGGGAGGACUCUCCCCCCCCCCCAAACCGAGUCCUACUUGGUUUGGUGGGAGGGAGUCCUUCCCCCUUCCCACUUCUUCCUCUUUUUUUUUCUUCCUUUGAUUUUUCUUCCUUGGCGCAUAGGAUUUGGUGGGCUGUCCCACCAGCCCACUAAGGGCUGGUGUGACCCCCACAAAUACCUAUGGGCUUCCCCGGAGUGGGUUGCCCCCCUCCGGUGAACUCCCGGAACCCAUUCGUCAUUCCCGGUACAUUCCCGGCAACUCCGAAAACCUUCCGGUAAUCAAAUGAGGUCAUCCUAUAUAUCAAUCUUCGUUUCCGGACCAUUCCGGAAACCCUCGUGACGUCCGUGAUCUCAUCCGGGUCUCCGAACAACAUUCCGUAACCAACCAUAUAACUCAAAUACGCAUAAAACAACGUCGAACCUUNNNNNNNNNNNNNNNNNNNNNNNNNNNNNNNNNNNNNNNNNNNNNNNNNNNNNNNNNNNNNNNNNNNNNNNNNNNNNNNNNNNNNNNNNNNNNNNNNNNNAAUAAUAACUAUACAUUUAUUAUUGCCUCUAGGGCAUAAUUCCAACAUAGAUGUCAUGCAAGUUUUUUUCCCUAAGCACGUAUGACUACAUACGGAAUACAUGCCUACAUUAGAUUGACGAAUGGGAGCUAGUUACUUCUCUCUCCGUGUUAUAACUGUUACAUGAUGAAUCACAUCUGACAUAAUCAUCCAUCACCGAUCCGAUGCCUACGAGUCUUUUACUACUGGUCCUUGCUACGUUACUCUGUUGCUACUGCUGUCACUGCUGCUACUGUUACUCCGUCACUACUGCUGUCACUGCUGCUACUGUUACUUUGUUGCUACUGAUUACAGUUGCUACUGCUGCUAUCAUACUACCUUGCUACUGAUACUUUGCUGCAGUUACUAAAUCUUUCAGGUGUGGUUGAAUUGACAACUCAACUGCUAAUACUUGAGAAUAUUCUUUCGCUUCCCCUUGAGCCGAAUCAAUAAAUUUGGGUUGAAUACUCUACCCUCGAAAACUGUUGCGAUCUCCUAUACUUGUGGGUUAUCAAGACCUUUUUCUGGCACUUUGCUGGGGAAGCACAUCUAUAUUCUCUGAGUCACUUGGGAUUUACGUCUGCUGGUCACUAUGAAGAAUCCGAUAGAUCCAAGAACUAAAGCCUUGCCCUCAACUACGAGGACAGGUAAAAAACUGCCAUCUAGCUCUGCACUUGAUUCACCUUCAGUUAUGAGUAAGUUUGCGACACCGCCCCCUGCUAGAAAUCUUGAUAUGUCGCAUGUGCUUGAUUUUGCUAGUUCUGCUGCCCAUGAUGCUUAUGAUGAUGCUAUGCUUGAUACUGCUUUGCCACUAGGUGCAUUCCUUGAUGUACAAAUUGCUAGAGUUGCUGCUAGAUGUGAUGAUACUUCUGAAACUGCUGAUACUAUUGAAGUAGAACCUGCUAUUUUGCCUGCUAGAACUAGCUCUUCUAGAAAUGAAUUGCCUGAUAUGUCUGAGCGUUAUGUUAUGGAGGGAGAGAUAGCUGAGGACUUUCUUGCGUGUAAGGAUAGCUAUGAUGUUGAUAAAUUACUGCUCAAGUGGAAAGAAAAAUGUAUGAACGCUAGGAUGAAAUAUGACCCGAAGUUUGCUACUUCGCCUAUCUUUGUUACCGAUAAGGAUUAUGAAUUCUCUGUCGACCCUGAGUUAAUCACUCUGGUCGAAUCUGAACCUUUUCACGGUUAUGAGUCUGAAACGGUUGUAGCCCAUCUUACCAAACUGCACAAUAUAGCCACCCUAUUCACGAGUGAGGAAAAGAUCCAUCACUACUAUAUCCUCAAGUUGUUUCCUUUCUCGCUAAAGGAUGAUGCUAAGACUUGGUUCACUUAUCUUUCUCCUGGUUGUGUGCGUAGCCCCCAGGAUAUGGUCUACUACUUCUUUGAAAAAUAUUUCCCUGCCCAUAAGAAGCAAGCUGCCUUGCAGGAAAUAUACAACUUUGCUCAAGCUGAAGAAGAGAGUCUCCCACAAGCUUGGGGGAGGCUCGUCCAACUACUGAAUGCUUUGCCUGAUCACCCUCUUGAUAAGAAUGAAAUAUUUGAUAUCUUCUAUAAUGGACUUACCGAUGCUUCCAGAGACCACCUAGAUACUUGUGUUGGUUGUGUUUUUAGGGAACGAACCGUAGAACAAGCUGAGAUCCUAUUGAAUAACAUCUUGUGCAAUGAGAAUGCUUGGACUAUUCCCGAACCACCUCCUAAGCCAACUCCGAAGAAAAGAGGUAUUCUAUUCCCCAGUCCUGAAGAUAUGCAAGAAGCUAAGAAAUCUAUGCGAGAGAAAGGCAUUAAAUCUGAAGAUGUCAAAAAUCUACCACCUAUCGAAGAGAUCCAUGGUCUUGAUAACCCGAUACAGGUAGUAGAAGUAAAUUCUCUGCGUAGGUUUGAUGAGAGUGAUAUUCCUUUUGAUAAACCUGCUAGCCUAUGCCUAGAUGAAUUUGAUAACUUUGUUGCCAAACAACAGAGUUUCAAUGAUUAUGUUAGCACACAAUUGGAACAAAAUGCUCGUAUGCUUAGUCAUUUAAGUGCUUGUGUGGACAAAAAUGUCAAUGAUCUUAAGCUCUUGAGUAAACAUGCCUCUAUGGUUACUACUCAGGUAGAACAAGUACUUAAGGCUCAUAAUGACUUGCUCAAUGAGUUGAAUGACAAUUAUGUUAGAGUCGUUACUAGAGGCGGUAGAAUGACUCAAGAACCUUUGUAUCCUGAGGGUCAUCCUAAGAGAACUGAAAAGAUUCUCAAGGAGUUAGCAUUGAUGCACCUAGUCAUCCUAGGAAGAAGAAGAAGGAUGAUAGGAACCUGCACGCUAGCAACCCUGUUGCUGCUACACCUGAGAGUCCAAACGAUGUCUCUGUCUCUGAUGCUGAAACAUAAUCUGGUGAUGAACAUGAGCCUAAUGAUAAUAUCGAUAGUGAUGUUCAUGAAGAUGCCCAACAUAGCAAUGAUAAGGAUGUGGAGAUUGAACCUGUUGAUCUUGAUAACCCAGAGCCUAAGAAUAGAAGAUACAAUAAGAAUGACUUUGCUGCUAGGAAGCAUGGUAAAGAAAGGGAACCAUGGGUUCAUAAACCUAUGCCCUUUCCUCCCAAACCAUCCAAGAAAAAGGAUGACGAGGAUUUUGAGCAAUUUUUUGAAAUGAUUAGACAUGUCUUUCUCCUAAUGCGUUUGACAGAUAUGCUCAAGAUGUCUCUGUAUGCUAAGUACAUGAAGGAUAUUGUGACUAAUAUGAGGAGGAUACCUGAGGUUGAGAUUUCCAUCAUGCUCGCUAAUUAUACCUUCAAGGGUGGAACUCCUAAGAAACUAGGUGAUCCCGGUGUGCCCACUAUACCUUGCUCCAUUAAAGGAAACUACGUUAGAACUGCUUUAUGCGACCUUGGGGCCAGUGUUAGUGUUAUGCCUCUCUCUCUUUAUCGUAGACUUGAACUAGAUAAGUUGACAGCCACUGAAAUCUCUCUGCAAAUGGCCGAUAAAUCAAAUGCUUUCCCUAUCGGCAUUUGCGAGGAUGUGCCUGUUGUGGUUGCCAACGUCACUAUCUUAACAGACUUUGUUAUCUUGGAUAUUCCCGCGGACAUGCCAUGGCGGUCAUCCUCGGAAGACCCUUUUUAAACACUGCAGGGGCUGUUAUAGAUUGCAACAAAGGCAAUGUCACUUUCCAUGUCAACGGUAAUGAGCAUACGGUGCACUUUUCGAAGAAACAAUAUCGAGUACAUUGCAUCAGUGCUAUCGAAAAAACUUCAUCGAUUCUUAUUGGGAGCUUUGAAUGCCCUAUUCCUCAUGUUAAGAUGAAGUAUGAUUUGCUUGUUGGGGAGAUACACAUCCCCAUUGAGGUGACCUAGUGACUAUUUGAAAAUUCUCCGGUCUCUUUUUCGAUUCGGAAAAGUUUAUCAAGGAGACUUGAUCAACCUCAUUGACAGAUUUCUUUCGAUGGACCAUGAGAUGGAUGAAUCGAGGAGUCACAAACCUCUAUUCCAAGCUUUCACCUUCGGUUGCUUAGAAUAAAAAUGACAGGUUUAGUUUAGUUUUCCCUGUUUUCUGUUUUAGCGUCCGGUAGAAAAGUACCCCGAAAAUAAAAGUUCUCCAAACGUCCUGAAAAUCAAGUAUGAUUUUUUCUGGAUUUUUUGAAAAAUACUGAGACGAAUAGCUAGUCUGGGGUUGCACCAGUGGGCCACAAGCCCUGGAGGCGCAGGAACCCCCUGGCCGCGCCUACCUGGCUUGUGGGUCCCACGUGCACCCCCUCCACUCAUUCUAGCUCCCAUCUGGUUCUCCUAACUCUAGAAAAAAAUCGUCUUGCAGCUCAAACCCGUGUUCUUGCUCCUCUUGCUGGGAUUUUCGAUCUCCUUGCUCAAAGCACCAUUCUCCGAACUAUUUUGGGAAAUUACUCCUUGGUAAGUGACUCCUCCAUUGUCCAAUUAGUUUUUGCUCUAGUGCCUUGCACUUCGCGUAUUUUUGCUGCCUUGGUGACCAUGUUAUUGAGCUUUGCAUGCUAAUUUUAGCUGGUCCCAAGUGGUUUUGAUGCGUAAUAUGGCCUCUAGGCACUUGUGGGAGUAGUUGCUACGAGUUUCGUUGAGCCUUGUUCACUUUUCCUUAGAAUCACUAAAAUUUCAGAAAUUUUCAGAGAUAGAAAAAGGAAAAGAUGAGGAGGUUCUUAAGAGGCUCUUCAAGCCGUGACCCCAAGGAUGAUGGAAGUGAGAAGAAGCCCAAGUAUCUGGUCCCUCGAGUCGCAGAAGUUCAAGCGUGCGAGUGGCCAAGCGGUGUGUUCUUACGCGCCGCCAGACUUUAUGAGGAAUUUUACUACUUGGUGGAGAACGCGGGCCUUACCGCCUUCGUUGAAGAUAAGUGUCCGCAAUACCUCCUCCUCACUAAUAUCUUCGUACAAAUCUUUAACUUCUAUCCGAGGAAGAAUCCUCCUAUGGUUGAGUUCAAACUUUAUGAUAUCCCCCAGCGCAUGUCACUCCAGGAUUUUUGCAAUGUCUGCAAAUUACCUUACAUUGGGGAUAUUCAUGAACCUCGUCCACGGGACUUGGAGGCUUUCAUCGGUACAAUUGUUGUAGGAGAGGAGAGAGGAGUGUCUUGCGCUAGAGCUAUUAGCAUUCAUUUUCCCGUGCUACGGUACUUCUCAUUAUUCGUGGGAAAAUGUUUGAUUGGUCGUGGGAAAGCUGGGUCACUUAGUUCCCCAGAUCUUGCGGUCUUGGGCGAAGCCCUUUAUAAUGAUAAAACUUAUAGCUUGGGCGCUAUAGUAGCUCAACGGUUGAACACGAACCAUUCUAAAGGCAUUGUCUAUGGAGGUAUCUAUGCUAGUCGUCUUGCUAGACACUUUAAGAUACCUAUUAGACUGGAGGAGGAAGAAGAGAUUCUUCUUCCCGAGAGAUAUCUAGAUUACGAUAGCAUGGUUCGCCAUGACUUUCUUGAUAGAGAUAUAAAUAGAAGGAUGAUCUAUAACCUGGUAUUUAGUCAGGGUACUCGUGAGACUAUUACUUUGCCUGCUCCUUAUUUGUUCAAUCUUCAUGCAUGUAGGUACAUUAUUAUGCCCUUGGACAUCUACGCAUAUUGGGGCUUGGCCCAACCACAGGUGCCCGUGCCCGAGCCACCAGUCGAGUACCAGACGCCGGUUUAUCAGUGGGAGCCAGAGGAGCUCACACAGCAUUGGCAUCCUCAGUCCACUCUGGAGUAUCCCGGAGCUAGUUAUUUCCCUCCUUGGGAGUAGCCCAACUUAGGCCAAAAGCCUAAGCUUGUGGGAGUACGUGUUUCUCACCGACUUUACAUUCUUGCUUAUGCUUUCACUUUGUUCGUCGGUGUUCACACUUUGCCAUUGUAUCAUCCAUGCUAGUUUAUUUCUUUUUCUCAUUUUCUUUUCGUGUGUCUGUCUAGUUUGAGAAAACCCAAAAAGAUUUUCUUUUUCUUCUCUUGCUUGUUGGGAGCUUUCCCGUGUAAAUAGUUUUCUUUUUCAUUGGGUCAAGGUAGAAGACCAUGGUUACAAUGUUUAAUGGCUCUCGCAUGCAUAUAUGUUUAUCUGUUAAAGAGCCAUAUUACUUUGUCUUCUCCUUUGUGUUUGCAUGCAGAUUCCAGCUUAGUCCAAUGCACAAGCACUCUUAUUAUUGUUCACAUCGUUCGGUCGUGAAAGUGAAAGGCAAUAAUGACGAUAUAUGAUGAAGUGACUGAGCCUGGAAAAGCUGGUAUGAACUCGAUCUAUUUUGUUUUUAUAAAUAUGACUAGCUCAUCGUGCCUGAUUCAGCUUUGUUGUGAGAGAAAGAUGUUUGCAACUUAGAGAUCAUAGUUGCUUAUGCCAUGCUUAUUUAGCUAGGAGCUUAUAAUGGUUUGUCUUGGAUGCCCACAUGAACUUUGAGAUGACUAUGAUGUAGUAUGAUAGGAUGGUAUCCUCCUUUGAAUGAUUCAAGUGGCUUGACUUGGCGCAUGUUCACGCAUGUAGUUGAAACAAAAUCACCAUAGCCUCUACGAUGUUCAUGUUCAUGGUGAUUUAUGUCCUACUCAUGCUUGCACUCAAUGUUAGUUAAUCUCGUUGCAUUUUGAUGACCGUUGUCGCUCUCUAGUUGGUCGCUUCCCAGUCUUUUGCUAGCCCUCACUUGUACUAAGCGGGAAUACUGCUUGUGCAUCCACUUCCAUAAACCCAAAGUUGUUCCAUAUGAGUCCACCAUACCUACCUAUAUGCGGUACCUACCUGCCGUUCCAAGUAAAUUUGCAUGUGCCAUUCUCUAAACCUUCAAGAAAUAAUAUGUUUUGCUUGCCCGAACCGCUCAUGUGGUGACAGGGGGCUAUCAAUAUCUUCCGUGCUAGGCGUGUUAUCCUCGAUAUGUGUUUAUUCACUAUCAUUCACGAGAAAGGGGCCGGUAAUUAGAAUGCCUAGUUCCAUGCUCAAAUCGAAAAGAUAAUUGCAAACAAAACUCUCCCUAGAUUGAUGUUGGUAUGGACGGCACCCAAGGAUUCGGCUAGUCGUGGAGUGUGAUUGAUCGGUGGUGGGGGAGUCAAAACUUUACUUUUCUGUUUGGGAACCGCCUAUAGCAUGUGUAGCGUGGAAGAUGAUGAGAACUCUUAGUCAUUGCGUUGACAAUGAAAGCAUGCCACCCAAAAUUAUUAUCUCUGUUUUCAAAGCUUGAGCUCUCGCACCUCUGCAAAUCAACGCUUCCCUCUGCGAAGGGCCUGUCUAUUUAUGUUCCUGUUGAGUCAUCCUCCUCUUAUAAAAGCACCAAUUAGAGAGCACCUCUCUCAUUUUUUAUGCUUUGCUUUUAACUGUGUUGAGUAUGACUCUGACUGGAUGUUCUUUGCCAUGAAUUACAAUGUUUAGUCAGCCCUUGGUCUUUGAAGGUGCUCUGCAUUUAUGUUUUGCGGUCUCAGAAAGAGCUAGCGAGAUACCAUCUGUUCGUACUGCUUCAUGAUUGUUUUGAUUGAAGUGUUGACGUUUGAGACUUAUUAUUAUUUGCUCGCUAGUUGAUUAUGUCGUUGAUAUGAGUUUAUCGUGAGACCUUGAUGUCAUUUGCUUAUGUGGUUUGUUUGUGAUCUUGCUGAAAUUCUGGUUAUGAGUUAGACAUAGUUGCAACCACAAGAUCAAACCGAGUUCGUCAAAUUUUUUCUUUUGUCCCUUUCAGUUUGUCAACUGAAUUGCUUGAGGACAAGUAAGGCUUUAAGCUUGGGGGAGUUGAUACGUCUCCGUUGUAUCUACUUUUCUGAACUCUUCUGCCCUUGUUUUGGACUCUAAUUUGCGUGAUUUGAAUGGAACUAACCCGGACUAACGUUGUUUUCAGCAGAAUUGCCAUGGUGUUGUUUUUGCGCAGAAAUAAAAGUUCUCGGAAUGACCUGAAAAUUUACGGAGAAUUUUUCUGGGAUUUAUGAAAAAUACUGGCGCAAGAAUUAGCGGAGGGAGUGGAGCCGUGAGCCCAUAAGCUCACCAGGCUCGGGCCCCCCUGGCCACGCAUGGCAGGCUUGUGGGGCCCACAAAGCUCCACCGCCUCUCAAUCCAGCUCUAUAUAGUCCGUUUCGUCCGGAAAAAAAUCAAGGAGAAGAGUUCAUCGCAUUUUACGAUACGGAGGCGCCGCCACCUCCUGUUCUUCAUCUGGAGGGCAGAUCUGGAGUCCGUUCUGGGCUCCGGAGAGGGGAGAUCGUCGCCAUCGUCAUCACCAACCUUCCUUCAUCGCCAAUUCCAUGAUGUUCUUCACCGUUCGUGAGUAAUCUUAUCGUAGGCUUGGUGUACGGUGAUGGGUUGGAUGAGAUCUAUCAUGUAAUCGAGUUAGUUUUGACGGGGAUCGAUCCUUAGUAUCCACUAUGUUCUGAGAUUGAUGUUGCUACUACUUUGCCAUGCUUAAUGCUUGUCACUAGGGCCCGGGUGCCAUGAUUUCAGAUCUGAACCUAUUAUGUUGUUGCCAAUAUAUAUGUGUUUUAGAUCCUAUCUUGCAAGUUGUAGUCACCUACUAUGUGUUAUGACCCGGCAACCCCGGAGUGACAAUAGCCGGAACCACUCCCGGAGAUGACCAUAGUAUGAGGAGUUCAUGUAUUCACAAAGUGUUAAUGCGUUGGUCCGGUUCUUUAUUAAAAGGAGAACCUUAAUAUCUCGUAGUUUCCAUUAGGACCCCGCUGCCACGGGAGGGAUGGACAAUAGAUGUCAUGCAAGUUUUUUCCCUAAGCAUGUAUGACUACAUACGGAAUACAUGCCUACAUUAGAUUGACGAACGGGAGCUAGUUACUUAUCUCUCCGUGUUAUAACUGUUACAUGAUGAAUCACAUCCGGCAUAAUCAUCCAUCACCGAUCCAAUGCCUACGAGUGUUUUACUACUGGUCCUUGCUACGUUACUCUGUUGCUACUGCUGUCACUACUGCUACUGUUACUCUGUCACCACUGAUGUCACUGCUGCUACUGUUACUUUGCUGCUACCGGUUACUGUUGGUACUGCUGCUAUCAUACUACCUUGCUACUGAUACUUUGUUGCAAAUACUAAAUCUUUUAGGUGUGGUUGAAUUGACAACUCAACUGCUAAUACUUGAGAAUAUUCUUUCGCUUCCCCUUGAGUCGAAUCAAUAAAUUUGGAUUGAAUACUCUACCCUCGAAAACUGUUGCGAUCCCCUAUACUUGUGGGUUAUCAAGCACCUCCGCCGGCUUGUUUUGCACGACCAUCGUUGACCUUGCAGGGAGGGGGAGUGGGUGGUGUGUAGCCGGUGUUGCAAAUCUCACCUAUGCAGCGGGAGGAACACCUGGUGCUGUAGACCUCGCCGCACCUGGCGACGAUGUCUGCUGCCACGCCGGCGAUGGAGUUCCGUUGCAGCAGGCGAGGCUAAGGGGAAGCUGCAUUGCAACAGGCCACAUCGAUGGCGAGCUGCAUGGCAGCACGAGAGGCUACGAGGACACUGUGAGGUCAUGCCAGUGGUAGAAGUUACGGGAAUGUUGCAUGCCAAAAAGCCACGCUGGCUGCGAAGCUAUGUUGCUAUGGACUAUGGGGACACUUCUGUCAUGCCCCCGGGGUGGAGCUGCGUUUUAGCAGACGGAUUAUGAUGUCGUUGCUGCCAUGCCCAAUGUGAGAGCUACGUUGCAAGAGUGGUCCAUUGCAACAGGGUGGCUGGAGACAACACUGCCAUGACCAACGACGAUGCAACUUCAAGCAGGGGCGGAGCCCAUGGGGGCGAGCAGGGGCCAGACCCCCCCCCNNNNNNNNNNNNNNNNNNNNNNNNNNNNNNNNNNNNNNNNNNNNNNNNNNNNNNNNNNCCCCCCCCCAUCGUUCGGCCACCCCCAUCGAUUUUCAGGGGGGCUGGAUGUAGAAGUUUUGUUAACUUGCGAUAAUUAGUACUAGAUCAUGGAAGUAAUUAUAUUGAUAUAAGUAGUCAAACACCAAGUUGGGAAAAGGCCCAAGCCUAGGAAGCAACUGACAUCGGCCCAUUAGAUGGAUGCGUAACUUUUGUAUUCUAGACCGAGUGCACCUGCACUACUCGAUGAUGUAUUAGUUGACUACCAGUAGUCGGCCCCGUGCGCUAGGGCAUCGUCAGCGUCUGGCGGCGACACAUGUGUUUGUUGAUUGUCCCCCCGUGCGCUAGGGCAUCGCCAGCAUCCGGCCACAAUGCGUGUAUUCGUCGUUUGUCACCCGUGUGUGCUAUGGGGAUCGCCUGCGGCGAGUCUAUGCGCCAAUUUCAUGAUAUCCAUGUGUUAGGCGCUUCAGCUUAUACCAUCAGAAUAACACUAUACCACUCGCGCCGGAUCUAAGGUAAUCAUAUUACGAUUUCAUGUCUUGGAUACCAUGUGUUAUUACUAUUGCUAAAUCUGUAUAUAAAACUGCUAGAUGCUAAAUACUGUUUGUUCAUCGGUUAUAAAUUAUACAUAUCGUCUAUACAUAACAGCCUCAAUAUCACAUAUUUUUAUAUAGAAACUGCCAAUCAAAUAUUUAGCGUAAAUAGAAAUUGCACAGCAAACUAGACAAUAUAAGAUUCUGAAUCUGUUACAUGCAUUUUUUUGUUGUGUUAGUGAUACAUCCAAACUAAUAAAAUUCUACAUGUUUUCUAAGUACAAAAUAUAUGUUAUCACGUGUUGGUCUUGUAUAGGCCCGGGCCCACAGUGGUGCAAACUGUGCGGCCCGUACAGGGCCCAAAAUUUUAGGGGGCCCAAAAAAUUUUAAGUAGGCCACGUACUAAAAAAAAACCUAUGGACUACUCACUACUCGACCAGUGGGCUGCUGGGAGCCAACGAGCCAGCGAGGCUCGAUGUCCCGCUGAGGCCAUCAAGGCAAGUAUCCAUCCAGCCAGAUUCUGCUUCCCCUAAUCACGCUGCUGCCGUUUUUUUGGAUCGUGGCAGCCUGCAGGUUGCCUCUUCGUCCGUUCGUCGCCUCGUCGUUCGUCUCCCCCUCGAGUCGCUCGUCCGCUCACAGGCUGGUCGUCGCCUCGUCGCUCGUCUCCUCCUCGAGUCCCUCGUCCAUUUGCAGGAUGCUCAUCGUGUCGUCGCUCGUCUCCUCGACGCCUCGUACUGUCAUACAAACUACAGACUACAGAGACUUUGCCUCCUCUCAAAAAUUUUAGAUUCGUGGACGUUUUCUUGUCCGAUUGAUCUUCAAGUUCUUUUUAUUCAUCGUCUAAUCGUCUUUAUAUUAUAUUUCAACAAUGCAGAUUUGAAUCAUCAUGGGAAAACAACAAUCUGAUGCCUAUAAACGCAAGAUAAAAACACAAGAACAAAAUUUAAUAAAUCUUAUAAAGAAGGUAUGGACAUAUUUGUUAAAAAAACACCAGAAGUAUCAUCUGGUAAUCGGUCUGUUGAUCCUUCUAGCCUUGCACUUGCAAUUUUUCCUUACAUUGAUUCAAGAUCUGCUCACACAGAGACAGAUAAUAUAGAGGUAGAGACAUAUAAUAUUGAGGCUGAUGAUUAUUUUCAAUAUGAUAUAUUUGACUCAAAAAACUGGAAUUCUCUUGAUUGUAAACAGAUUUAUAUCUUACCACAAAAUGAUCCAAAAAGAGACAAAUCAAUUAAGAAAGGUCCCAAAGAUAGACAUCGUAAAAGGUUUACUGCAGCCUUCUAUACUAGAUUCCUAUAUUUUCACACAGGGCCCCGGUUUUUGUCGGCCCGGCCCUGGUCUUGUAUGAUCAUUGUAUAAAAAAGUGUAUGAAAAUCUCUGGCAGGAGCUCGCCACCAUCAGGGUUAGUUUUCCUGCAUGUGUGUGGUGGGGUGGGCUGUAACUGGAUUUUCCUGCUCCUUUUUGUCGCAAGGCAAUGGGGGCGAAGCAGCCUCUCUAAUAUGUUGUGUAUCGAACGGUUAAGCCAACUUUAGAGUACGAUCCCAUUCGGUCCAGCUCUGUUUAUUUGGGUCAAAACAAACAAACCUCACUAUCCAGCGCGCAUCGUUCUGGACGCAUCUCGUCCGUUUUGUGUCCGGGACGACCCAUUUCCGACGCAAACAUGCGUCCAGUUUGGGUCCUGAUGGACAGCGAGCAGACGCGUUCGAGCCCACCUCUCGUCCGCGUCGGGGACGCAUGGCAGGCGGCCACCUACCUCCCACCCGCCCGUAUUUACUAUGCACGCCCGGUAGGCCCCACCUGUCAUCCACUCAGGCGGGCUAUCGUCGUCCUUCUUAAAUCGGGAAGCCGUGGACCGGCAUCGUACAACGCACGCGUCCACUCCACUGCCUCCUCGGGACCGACACCAAACCCGCGUGCCCGCUCCAAACCCUAGCUUCUCCCCCUCUCUCGAUCUCUCCGGCCGCCGACAGCAAUGGGAUGGUGGAGCACCGGCGGCAAGGGGAAGGGGGCGCACGACCACGAGGCUGGGUCCUCGUCUGGCCGCCGCAGCGCCGCAAGCGAGUCUUCUCCUCCGCGACGGCCUACUCAGGCACCCUUCUCCAUUGCCCCUCCGGACGCCCCGACGCGCUCCCGGCAGUACGUCCACGCGGAUGUGUGCCCUGACGACGAUGACGACAACGGCGGUCCCUGAAGACAUGACGGGCACAACAGCAGCGCGGGGCGGCCCCAUUUUUAUCUAUUUUUUUAAUUAUGUUAAUUAAGGAUUGUGGGUCGUGGGACCGUUAAAUUAUUGAUGUAUAAUUACUAAUGUUUGACUUUAUUUAUAUAUUUUUUUUGUUUUUUUUUGUUUUUCCAAUUUUUUAAUUCCGGAUAAUUUGAUGUGCGGCCACGCGUUGGACACAUCGACCCGGCCACGGACCGAUCCAGACAUGGGCAGGCCAAUUAUCGUCUCAAACGGAUAGAAUUGAGAUCAAACGGACAUUCGGAUGAGGUCACGCGCUGCAAUUGGCGUUAAGGAAGACGAAAUCGAGACAGAACAAGCGGCCAGCAAGCCGACUGAUUUUGGGACGCCUAGCAGCCGGCUACCAACAAAUACACAUGUGUGUCCUAUGAGCACAUCCGAAGGAAUGAACCAACGGAUCUUAAGAUUGAAAGUUCACCACAGACGCAAAUGUUGUAACAGUUCUCGUGCUCUAUUCCGUGAUGACCAUGGAACUAUGGAUGCAUUCGUCGUUUAAUUUAUUCCACUCCAUGGAGAAUAGCGGUUCANNNNNNUCCAUGGAGAAUAGCGGUUCAGCAGAUAACAUCGUUGUGGCACUCUCCAACGGCAGGUGCGUAGCUGCCAACAGGUAUGGAGCACACGUCUACCUCUAGGUAGCUAAGCUAGCUAGGCGAUGUACCCUAGCCUCUGGAGCAGCGCGGAGCGGAGGGCGCCGUCGCCGUCGUCGUCCUGUAGUCCAGCGGGCACGUCGAUGACGACGUCCUGCACCGUCACGCCCUCCAUGCGGUGCACGCACGCGUGCUGCACCUGCAGCUCUAGCGACCGGAGCGCACUCAUCAGCCGCGCCGGCGCGUGCCGGGCUCGUCCCGAGCUCAUCACGCGCACCGCCGCCGCGUCCUUCCCCACCAUCCGCACCUCCACCACAUCGUCGCCAGCCCCGGCGUGGCUGCCUCGGGACGAAGAAGCGGGCCCGUUCGACGCCUCCCACCUAGCGGCGGCCGCCUGCCGGCCCUCCUCCUCGAGCCGCGCGACGCGGGAGCGCAGCUCGGUGAUGUAGGCGACGGCGUCGGCGAGGAGUGAGGCCUUGUCCAUCCGGGACACGGUGGGCACGGCGGCGCGGAGGUCGCAGAAGCGUCGGUUCAGCUUGUCGCGGCGCUGGCGCUCGGCCUCCACGUGGCUGACGGUGAGACCAUCGGGCCGCGGCACGGGCUUCCGCCCACGCCGCUUUGUAGGCGUGGUCGUCGACGCCGGCGGUAGCUCGGAGUCCGGGGAGAGCGACGAGCUCCCGGCAGGCCACAAGAAAUCUACAUCCUCGCUCUUGGCCGGCACUGCGGUGUCGCCGAGCAGCCAUUGCUCGGGGACCUCGCAGGAGGCGAACUCGAGGAGCUGGUGGUGGGACCCUUCGGCGGUAGAGAACUGGGUAGGCGGCGAUGGCGGGAAGAACGGGGAGCACGGCGAUAGCAGCUCGUCCAUGGCCGGCACGCCGCUGUACCCUGUACGUCUCGCUAUGCUAACUGAAGAGCUCGAAGUGGCAAAUUAGCGGCCGGAGAUGUGUGGUGUGGUUUACUGUGGGCGAGUGUCUUAUACAGGUGGCAUAUUUGCAGUUGAGACCUUGCUUACAUGUAGGAGUAUGUGUCAUGUUAAAUGCAUGUAUCUGUCCUUCUCGAUUUUAAUUCCCUCUCGCGAAAAACAUGUCCCUUUGGGAUUAGAAGUACGAAAGAGAUUGGAAGUUUGGAACCAAUAGCUAAGGCUAUCUCCAAUGUAUCGAUGUGCUAAGCACAUUAAAAGACUUAGCAACUAAAACAUAUUGUUGCGAACGGACUAAAUCUGGGUCGUCAAUUAGCAAACCGUCGUUAGGACGUGAUUAGUCACUUAUUAGUCCAAAACGUCGUACGGACGCGUCCGUCCGUACAGGCGUCUUUUUGUACAGACACCUCUUCGCAUGCGUCCCAAACCUUGUAUAUAUAUUUCAGAUCAAUGAAAGAGAGACAGUGAUUCGCACAAUAUUUUGCUUUCGUUGUUUCACACGUUAUCAAGCACUGCUCUGCCAGAAAGAUAAAGAAGAAAUAGAUUUUACGGGAAAAUAAUCCAAUGAAAGAAGAAUUAUGUUUGGUGGACAGUUGUACCACUAACACAAUUUUAAGGGAAAUAAAAUAUUUCCAAACUCUAACUAAGAGAAAAGGGAAUAUUGUGACAAUCGCCGGUCGCGAUGCAUCAAUUAUUGGUUCAGGACGAGCCACACUUGUUCUACCUAUGGGUACUACGAUUGUAAUUGAGGAUGCACUCUUGUAUCCUGAAUCUACACGCACCCUUCUAAGUUUCAAAGACCUCAGAUCAAAUAAUUUUCAUGUGGAAACAAUUUCUGAAAAUAAUUCUGAAUAUUUGCUUUUAACAAAAAGCAAUGGGUUCUGAGAAACAAAUUCUUGAAAAAUUCCCCUCACUUUCAUCUGGAUUAUAUUACAGUUAUAUAAAACCCGUACCACAUGUUGCGUACAAAAUAAUUUUUCAAGACCUUGAUAAAUUCAAGACUUGGCAUGAUCGCCUAGGUCAUCCUGGCAUAGGGAUGAUGAGAAAAAUUAUUGACAAUUCUAUUGGUCACAGCCUUCCAACUAAAAAUUUUCCAAAAUCAUCAGAUUUUGUGUCCACCGCAUGUGCAACUCGAAAAUUAAUUAUAAGACCAUCUUAUCUUAAGGUAAAAAGUGAGUCACUUAACUUUCUUCAACGCAUUCAAGGAGAUAUAUGUGGUCCAAUUCAAUCACUAUCUGGACCUUUUAGAUAUUUCAUGAUGCUCAUAGAUGCAUCUACUAGAUGGUCAGAUGUAUGUCUAUUGUCCACACGAAAUCAUGCUUUUGCCAAGAUAAUUGCUCAAAUUAUCAAAUUAAGAGCAAAUCAUUCUGAAAAUAGGAUAAAAACAAUUCGAAUGGACAAUGCCGCUGAAUUCUCUUCACGAGCAUUCAAUGAAUACUGCAUGGCUAUGGGCAUUCAUUUAGAACAUUCUGUGCCUUAUGUCCAUACUCAAAAUGGUUUGGCUGAGUCUCUCAUCAAAAGAGUAAAAUUAGUUGCUCGACCACUAUUACAGAAUUGUAAUUUACCAGCAUCUUGUUGGGCACAUGCAGUAUUACACGCCGCAGAUCUGAUACAAAUCAGACCAACUGCAUAUCAUACAACCUCCCCACUGCAACAAGUACGUGGCACUCAGCCAAGUAUUUCCCAUCUGCGAAAAUUCGGUUGCGCAGUAUACGUACCGAUAUCACCACCGCAACGUACAUCCAUGGGCCCCCACAAAAAACUAGGGAUCUAUGUGGGUUAUAAUUCUCCGUCAAUUAUUAAAUAUCUUGAACCUCUUACAGGGGACCUGUUUACUGCCGGCUAAGCUGAUUCAAUUUUUGAUGAGGACCAUUUCCCGACAUUAGGGGGAGAAUCAAACCACAAAGAAUACCAGGAAAUAGAUUGGAAUGUAACAGGCAUUCAGUCCUUAGAUCCACGUACUAAAGAAUCUGAAACUGAAGUUCAGAGGAUCAUAGACUUGCAACACAUUGCAAAUAAUUUGCCAGAUGCAUUUACUGACCAUAAAGGUGUCACUAAAUCACAUAUUCCCGCUGUUAAUGCACCAGAACGAGUGGAGGUACCAACUAAAACCACUCAAACCCCAAAUGAGAGUAAGAGGGGGAUAAAUCUGGUUAGCCGGAAUAUAGCUUCUCAAAAGCCUCUGCGGAAACAGAAGAAACCAAAUCCUGUACCAGUAAAUGCAAUUCAACCUCAAGUUGAAGGACACCAACCAGAUGCUCAACAUCUUGAACCUAGCAUAAAUGCGCAUAAAAACAUAAUAGCUGGGACAUCGGAACACCAUGACUCUAUUGUUGUGGGAAAUCACAUAGAGUCUGAAGGUAUAAAAGAAAUUUCCAUAAACUAUAUAGAAUCAGGAGAAUCAUAUAAUCGAGAGACUACAAUUGUCGACAUAUAUUUUGCCUCUGAAAUUGCUGAAACCCUUCAACUGGAUCCAGAACCAAAGACCGUCAGGGAGUGCCUCAAGCGUCCUGAUUGGCCUAAAUGGAAGGAAGCAAUUGAGGCAGAACUGCACUCGCUCAACCAAAGAGAGGUGUUUUCCUCAGUAAUACCUACUCCUCAGAAUGUCUUCCCUGUGGGAGCAAAAUGGGUUUUGUCCGAAAAAGGAACGAAAACAAUGAGGUGGUGAGAUACAAAGCGAGGCUUGUAGCACAAGGGUUCACGCAGAGACCCGGCAUCGAUUAUGAUGAUACAUACUCUCCUGUUAUGAGUGGAAUAACGUUUCGAUACUUAAUAUCUAUGGCAGUACAAAUGAGUUUAUCUAUGCAGUUGAUAGAUGUAGUGACAGCAUACUUAUAUGGGUCACUCAAAUCGGACAUAUAUAUGAAAGUCUCUGAAAGACUUAAAAUGCCGAAUCCAAAAGCAAAUCGCAACGCAUGUUGUGUAAAAUUACAGAAGUCACUAUAUGGCUUAAAACAGUCGGGUAGAAUGUGGUAUAACCGACUAAGUGAGUUCCUUAUUCAGAAAGGCUACUCAAAUAAUGAUGAUUGCCCUUGUGUAUUUAUAAAGAAGUCCUCAAAUGGAUUUUGCAUCAUCUCAGUGUAUGUUGAUGACCUCAAUAUCAUUGGAAGUACAUCUGAUAUCGAAGAAGCACGCAAUCAUCUAAUGGCGGAAUUUGAGAUGAAAGAUUUGGGAAAAACCAAAUUCUGCUUAGGCUUACAGCUUGAGCACCUUCCCUCAGGAAUUUUAGUAUACCAACCUGCUUAUAUUCAAAAGGUUUUGGAAAAAUUUAAUAUGGAUAAAUCAUAUCCAACCAAAACACCCAUGGUUGUCAGAUCCCUUGAUAUGAAUAAAGAUCCUUUUAGACCUUGGGAUAAUGACGAAGAGAUAUUGGGACCUGAGUUCCCAUAUCUCAGUGCCAUUGGUGCGCUAAUGUACCUUGCAAAUUGCACGAGGCCUGAUAUUGCAUUUGCGGUAAAUUUACUAGCUAGACAUAGCGCUACUCCAACAAAACGUCAUUGGAUGGGAGUAAAGAAUAUCCUUACAUAUUUACAUGGCACAAAAAACCUUGGCUUAUUCUAUCACAAAAACCAAGGUAUGACUAUGGUAGGAUAUACUGACGCUGGCUAUCUAUAUGAUCCUCACAAUGCCAGGUCACAGACAGGUUUCGUAUUCUUAUAUGGUGGAACUGCUUUUUCGUGGAAGUCAACAAAACAGACUCUCGUAGCAACUUCCACUAAUCAUUCUGAAAUUAUUGCAUUAUUUGAAGCAUCAAAAGAAUGUGUAUGGCUUCGUAGGAUGAUUAACCACAUUCAAACUACAUGUGGUGUUGGUUCAUUAGGAUCACCAACUAUUAUUUAUGAAGAUAAUGCAGCUUGUAUUGCUCAAAUGCAAAUGGGUUAUAUAAAAAGCAAUAUCACAAAACACAUUUCUCCUAAAUUGUUCUAUCCUCAUGAAUUACAGAAAAAAUGGAGAAAUUGAUAUUUUGCAAACUAAAUCAUGUGACAGUCUAGCAGAUUUGUUCACAAAGUCUUUACCAAAUUCAACGUUCCAGAAAUACAUUCAUGGAAUUGGUAUGAGACGACUUCGUGAUUUGCAAAGUUCAGGGGGAGAAAUCUCCUGAAAAUAUAACCCUUUAAUUAUCAUCAGAUAAUGAAUAUUGUACUCUUUUCCUUUAUGAGUUUUUCCAAGAGGUUUCUCAUAAAAGGUUUUUAACGAGACAAUUAAAUACAAGCAUUGAUGCAUGCCAUAUCAUAUUUCUCCUUAUAUUUUUCCUACUAGGUUUUAAAGGAGUUUUUCAUGGCACAUCUCAUUGCACUCUUUUCAUUAUGAGUUUCUUUGAAAUUUUCUCUCAUAAUGUUUUUAAUGAGGCAAUAUCUUCAUUAAUAUCAUAUGCUAUACUUGCUAUUUUUCCUAUUAAGGUUUUUAAAGGAAAGUAUCUAAAGCAUAUUUAUUGUCCUCUAAAACUCACUAAUAAUUUUCUCCUUCUUUGAAGGUUUUUCUCAUAUGAGUUAUCAAGAGACAAUAAUCACUAUAUGUUGUAUUAUUUUCUCCUUAUAAUUUUUCCCAUUGGGUUUAAAAGGAGUUUUAACAACAUAUCUAUACAUUUCUCCUCAUAUUUUUUUCCCACAGGGUUUUUGGGGGAGAAUCUCAAGAAUUGACUGAUGGAUAUACAAGGAGUUUUCAAUAAUGGAUUACUCAAGAUGGCGUUGUACAAGGGGGAGUGUUGCGAACGGACUAAAUCUGGGCCGUCAAUUAGCAAACCGUCAUUAGGACGUGAUUAGUCAGUUAUUAGUCUAAAACGUCGUACGGAUGCGUCCGUCCGUACAAGCGCCUUUUUGUACAGACGCCUCUUCGCAUGCGUCCCAAACCUUGUAUAUAUAUUUCAGAUCAAUGAAAGAGAGACAGUGAUCCGCACAACAUUUUGCUUUCGUUGUUUCACACAUAUAAGGUUGUCCGUAAUGGGAGUAUCAUAGCUAGUAUCAUGCAUGCGAACUAAGCAAUUUUGAUGAAGUGGCAUAGAAUUAAAUGAAGAAAAAGAAGGUUGAGUAUCAUAUUAUGAUACUGUAUCAUAUUAAAUGAUGUGCUACUAUGUGGCUUGCAUGACAAUAAAUGAACUAUCUUAUGACACUAACAUAUGAUACUAUGCAUUACGGGUGUGGUAUCAUACACUAGUAUUAUAUGCAUAAUACUAGUAUAUGAUACUACCCAUUACAACCAGCCUAAUGCAUAGGUGUUUAACUUGUUGUUGCUAAGUAUCCUUCACUUAAUGAUUUAGGAACUAAAGUUAUUCAUACAUUGGCGUGUUUCUUUCAUUUAAGUGUUUUGUCUAAGUUCAUGCGCUUGGCAUUGUUUCUUCAUGAGGUUACUACACUCAUCUCUUUCCUUUUAAUUAUCUUGCACAUCACAUUUUCCAUCUACAUUGCAGCCUUAGCACCUAUACAAGGUGGAGCACCAGAUGUAGUCAUUUUGCUUUCCGAAGCAGAUGUAGUCAUUUAUAACUUGAUUUCGAUAUACAAAUGGAAAACAUGUAAGAGCAUCACCAACGACGAUCCGCAAACCGUCCGCAUAUGUCCUAAUUGUGUUGUUCGGAUCACGAAAGACAUCCAACGCGGGCCUGUAUCGGUCCGCAAGUCAGUUCGGACGCACUUUCUCCCGCAAACCGGAACCAAAUGGGAGACUUUGCUGGAGUACGAACACACGAAACUUCACUUUUUGCCCCCCUCCCCCGGCCCACCCAAAAGGAAGGCGUGCCCCCUCCCCCGGCCCACCCAAAAGGAAGGCGGAGCACGCGCUUUGUAGCAACCCGCACUGUUUCCGCACAAAAAUCGUCCACUCUCUUCUUCCAUCCCCUGCCGCUCUCCGACUAAUUCCCACUCUUUUGUCCCACCCUCUCCUUCCUUCCGUCGUCGAUGCAUGGAACCACCGGAGAUGGAGGCGUCGGAUGAUCCGAGCAUCACGCUCACCCAAAGAUGAACUCGGCUACGCGGUAGGAUCACCGCGUCAAAGCGAAGGCCGCAAAGGAGGAGAGGAUUAAGAAGCGAUUGGCCACCGGUGGGCUUGGUGGUGGCGUUGUGUGUGGCGGUCGUGAUGGUCAUGGAGGGCGUGGCAGACGUCGCCGGACGAGCACACCCAUGGUACAUACGGCACCGUGGAUGGAGCAUUAUAAGCCUCCAUACUACUACGCCGCCAAGCAUCUCGGAACCCUCUCCGAUAAGGUUCCUUUCAUCAUUGUCGUAAAUGGGAUGUCGUUCUUCUCCGAGUAUUGUUCAUUGCAGCUCGUGUGGGCGCGAACAAUGGUUGGGGAGCAGAUGGAUGACCGCACAUUGUUCGCUACAAUGCCUAGAGCGGAGGAGGGGGUGAAGUACUAUGAUAUGGACACGGAGAGGGUCAACAUGUUGGAAAUAUGCCCUAAAGGCAAUAAUAAAUUGGUUAUUAUUAUAUUUUCUUGUUCAUGAUAGUCGUUUAUUGUCCAUGCUAGAAUUGUAUUGAUUGGAAACUCAAAUACAUGUGUGGAUACAUAGACAACACACUUUCCCUAGUGAGCCUCUGAAGGACUAGCUCGUUGACCAAAGAUGGUCAAGGUUUCCUGAUCGUAGAAUGAGAUGUAGUUUGAUAACGGGAUCACAUCAUUAGGAGAAUGAUGUGAUGGACAAGACCCAAACUAUGAACGUAGCAUAUGAUCGUGUCGUUUAUUGCUACUGUUUUCUGCAUGUCAAAGUAUCUGUUCCUAUGACCAUGAGAUCAUGUAACUCACUGACACCGGAGGAAUGCCUUAUGUGUAUCAAACGUCGCAACGUAAUUGGGUGACUAUAAAGGUGCUCUACAGGUAUCUCCGAAGGUGUCUUUUGGGUUGGCAUGGAUCAAGACUGGGAUUUGUCACUCCCUAGACGUUGCCACCCUACCCUCCUCCCUUAAAAACUUCGGCCUCCACCAAAGGAAGCCGGUAGGCAAUCCCUGCCCAUUAGAUAGCAAACCCUGAUCUUCCCGCUCGUGAGACAAGAGAUCGACAUCCUGGAGCACGGCGUUGGCCCUAGAUGACGACCAUAUAAGAAGCGUAGUGUGGAUUACGGAGCGGCGACACGAGGACGAUGGUGGUCGGGUAGCCGGCGGUGGCCCGAGGAGGUGCCGAGGUUGCGAUGACCUCGUUCUUCGGGCAAGAGGCCAGUCAAGAAGGACAUGUUGUGUCUUGAAGUGAGAGAUUGGCGGUUGAUGAUGCGUAGUAGCAUGGUGGCUAGUAGGCGACCAAGGGGUAGAUGUCUGGUCGAGAUCAAGUCAUUGUGACGUUGUGUGAUGGUAGUGCUGGAGUUUGGUGAUUGGGGCGAGCGUUGAUUUCUUCUUCAUCGGAAGUGGCCUCUGUGAUCAUGAGGGAGAUGUAGAGGCUAGAUUUCGAGAUAGUGAUGUCCUUUCUGAGGCAUGCGGCGGUAUAGGACGCCCCCUCCACCUCUAGAGUCGGUUCGGUCUAUCUCCCUAGGUGCUGCACACGACGACUCUUGUGGAUGUGCUGAGUUAUGCAUGCCACCGCGAGGUGAUACGCACAUCGGCUCAUGCAGAGGCACCAAGUCAUGAUUCUGCGGGCAGGUGCUACACACUCUUGCUCCUAUAGACGCGACAAGUCAUGCAUGUGGCUGCUAUAACGAUGGUGCGAUAGUGAAGGGAGGCGAGACGAAGUGGUGCGUCUUGUCCUUCCGGUACCUUCUCUAGAGAUAACCGGGCAAGGGAUGAUGGUAGAGGCGGCUUCAACACCGAGUAUGCGCACUCCGAUGGAACAUAAGUCCCCUGAUUAGACUAUGUCAACAUGUGACUGCAUUGUGACCUUGCCAAAUAUGUUGGAUCGAAGCUCGGCUUAUGGGACGAAAUUCCGAGACCAAACUAUGUUUGGACUCAUCACUACCGGUGCAUGGAUGCCGCUUCCUUCGUGAAUGAUUAUCUUAGGAGUUGUGUAGUUUGCCUUUGUUCCUGUUUGUUUCCAUAGGGUUAGUGUUUGCUUAGUGUAUGUAAUGUCGUGAGGCAAGCGACCUUUCUUUUUUCUUUCCAAGUCAAAUUUGUUCGGUUGUUGGAGUUUGUUUUAUGAAUGAUAUAUGACAUGUGAUGCAAAACCUAGGGUUAUCCUCCUUUCCUAAAAAAUAUGCACACAUGUAUUAACAUGAUUUUCCGUUUGUCUCUUCUUGAGAGAAGUCUGUUUAUGUGGAGAAAUGUUCAUUGAGAGAUCCUUUAAACAUGUUCAUGUUAUUACACUUGAUAAAUCAUGUGCCGACUCUAAGUCCAUGAUUGGUUUGUUGACACAUGCCGAUAUUUGAAAAUAUUGAAAUGCCAAAUAUUGGCUAACGAUUGCUUAUUUACCCAUUUUUCCCGUCAGCCCCACAAAAAAGUUGCCAGUUUUUGAUAAACUUUGAUUUUUGCCACAUGUCAACAAACCAAUCAUGCUCUAAGUUGAUCGUACGCAUAAGGACUUAGACAUGACAUGGAACUAUACUUUGCACAUAGGUGUGCACUCCUUGUAGCCAAAAGGACAAAAAUGCAUAUACAUUUGGACACGUUACGUACGUGCUUCACGUGUGCGCCCUUUGGCCGGUGCAGUGAGCAUGCGCCCGUACACAGCCCUGAAAGCAUCCGCACGCAAGCGUCUAUGUAGGUGGAAAAGUCAGCGUUCUCUAUCUCCUUCAAAUAUCUGUUGUCACUUGUCAGUUUGUCACGUCCUAGCACCAUCCAUAUAUGGUAUGUGAAAACUUUAAACUAUUUUUUCUGUAUCUAAAUGAUUGUAAUUAAAGAAAACUAAUCUAAGUAUGCUAUUUAAUUACCCAUAAUUUUUCUUAAAGUUAAUCACCGAUAAAUCUUGAAGCUUAGGCCAUUUUCAAUGCAUUGGUGCUAAGAUGAGGUGCUAAGCAUAUUAAAUAGUUUAUCAAUUGAAGUCCACAAUGCAUAGUUGCUUAGUUUAUUGUACUACUAAAGUUUUGCAUAUUUAAUGCUUUUACAACUAAAGUUGUGCAUGCAUUGGUGCAUUUCCUUUAUUUAAUUGGUUUACCUAGUUUCACGCGCUUAACAUUGUUUUUUUCUGGGGUCACCACACUCAUCUCUCUCCUAUUAAUUAACAUGUCACAUCAGAUUUUUUGCCUAUGUGACAGCCUUAACACAUGUACAAGGUGGAGCAUUGGGAGUAGCCUUACCGAUGUGUUGUGCUGCUUUGCUUAGAGCAAGUACAAUAAGGUACAGUCAGCAGGCUGUAAGAAUUAAAAUACUAUAUUUUUGCUGAGUUGGAUGAGAGAGAAGAGGAGAGAGAAGGAAAGCGGGCUCUUCGUGAAGAGUCAGCUGUAGCACGUGCUCCUAGGUGAUUUGUGAGAAUGAAAGAUGGACCAUAUAUGAUAAAAAUAGUACUAUUUUAUAGCUAAUUAUUAUAAAAGCUAGCUAUAAGAUGAGCUAUAAGACUGCUUAUAGCCAGCAGUUGGCUAUACUAUUAAUCAUGCUCUUAGACGCGUAGGGAUAAGAAUGGACACGUUGGACGUUUUGCCAUGUCCGGGAGAGACUGGCCGACUGCAACGAGGAGAUUCGUUGACAUUUCAUUCCGCAAAAGAUAUUCCUUUGGCAUUUCUCCACAUAGAUGGGUGCCAGCAGGGCCAUAGCCCAGCCCGUGCACUCACGUACGUCAAGUGUGGGAAAUGGCCGAACGCAUGAUGCCGUUGCAGCCAACGGGGCGCAGAUAGAGGCCAGGGCAUGCAUGCCGCACUCCGGCGAGCUCGAAGGGACCGGACAAUUGGAGGAGGUCCAGGAGGGACACGUGUAGUAUGGUCCUACAACAGCGCGGCAGGCAAAGGGCCUGGCCUGGUCCUGGUCCUGGUCCAUCGUCCACGCGACGUAGGUCGUGGACCAACAACGUAGUACGACGCUCCGCCCCGGACGGACGUGUUAUCUUUACUAAAUGGCCCCUAAAGGAUUUUAUGUCGCACAUUGACCCUCCAAAAAACUUGUUUCGUCCUCUGAUCCUCACAUUCAUUUCCCGAUCUGCAUCAUAUGGUUCUCCAACGUGUUUAUAUUUUUUAAUUGUUCUAUGCUAUUAUGUUAUUAUUUUAGGAUACUUUUUAUAUUAUUAUUUACCAACUUAUAUUAUUUUUGAGCACUAACUUAUUGACCCGGUGUCUAGUGCCAGUUUCUGUUUUUUUUGUGUGUUUUUUGUUUCACAUAAAUUCCAUAUCGAGCGAAGUUAAAACGCGAUAAAAACUUACGGAGACUAUUUUGGAAUAUAUGUGAAUUUUGGGAGUUAGAAUCAACGCAAGACGAUCCUCAAGGGAGGCACAAGCCAAGAGGGCGCGGUCUGGGAGGGUCGCCCCUCAUGGCUCUGUGUCCACCCCUUAAGUCGGUCGGAGCUUUCUUUUGGCCGCAACAAAGAUAUUUUUUUAAUAAAAAUUCCCUCAAAAAUUAAUUGUGGUCGGAUUUUGGGAUAUCAGGUUAUUGAAGUAACGGUGAAGGGCCAGAAACAAGUCGUGCAAACAGGAGAGAAACACACACAGACACGCACACACACACACACACAUAGAGAGAGAGAGAGAUCCAAUCCCGGAGGGGCUGCUGCCCUCCGGGUCCCAUGGCGGCCUUGGACCAGAGGAGAAACCCUCCUCCCACCUAGGGAGGAGGCCAAGGAAGAAGAAGAAGAAGAAGGAGGAGGAGGGGGCUCUCUCCCCUCUCUCCCGAUGGCACCGGAGAGCUGCCGGGGUAACCCUCGUGACGGGGGUCCACACCAACAACUUCGCCGCCGUCACCACCAACUCUCUCCUCCUCUAUGCGAUGGUGUAAAAUCUCUCUUCCUUGUUGUAAUCUCUACUUGAACAUGGUGCUUAAUGCUAUAUAUUAUUAUCCAAUGAUGUGUGGCUAUCCUAUGAUGUUUGAGUAGAUUCCUUUUUGUCCUACGGGUUAAUUGUGAUAUGAUGUUAUUGAUAUGAAUCGUGUGUUGAUAUGAUGCUAUCCUAAGGUGUUUUCCGUUAGGCGCACACUUGAAAGAUUCACGCUGGAGGGUUUGCAAUAUAUUCUUGAUUCGCUUAUAGUGGGUAGCUAGAGUGACAAAAUCUUACACCUGAGUAAGGAAGUUGUGCGCAUGUGGAAGUAAAGAGGACUUGAUGUUUAAUGCUAUGGUUGGGUUUACCUUAAUGGUUUCUAGUAGUUGUGGAUGCUUGUUAGAGGCCCAAUUGUAAGUGCAAAUGAUCCAAGUACGGAAAGUGUGCUAGCGUAUGCCUCUCCCUCAUUGCAUAUGAUAUGUAUCUAUUAUGUUAUAUUCAAUUGCCUAUUGACAAUCUUCCUAUUGCGUUGUAGAGAAAAUCUGUCUACUAAAUAGCCCCUUACUUUUAUUCACUUGCUCUUUUUUUUCUUGCAAAACUAUCUAUUUCACCUAGUAAGUACUUCUAGUCUCCUUCCCGAAAAAUAGGUUCAUACUUGUUCUAGAUAAAGUAAGCGUUAGCGUGCGUAGAAUUGUAUCAGUGGUCGAUAGAACUUGAGAGAAUAUUAAUUCUACCUUUAGCUCCUUAUUGAGCUCGGCACUUACUUAUCGAAAAAGACUACAAACGAUCCCUUACACUUGUGGGUUAUCAAGACCCUUUUCUGGGGUCAUUGUCGGUGAGAAAUAGCGUAGUGGUCGAUAUUCUCGUGUGCUUGUUUUCUUUAUCACAAAGUAAUUUUUAUUUUCUGUUAUUGAUUGUUUUAUAUCUUUAGUUAUGGACAUGGAACACAAAACACCCAAAAAAAUAGUUAUACUUGCUACUCAUGGAGAUGGGGAACCUCCUAAAAUUCUCGAUGCUAGUUAUGUGAAACACAUUAAUUACUGCUUUGAUAAUACUGAGAAAUCCUCAUUCAACUUGAUAAUUGGAGACACGUUGGAUCAGCGUGAGUACUUUAGGGAUUAUCAUUUGUCUCAAAAAGGAAAACACUUAUGGGAUCAAAUUAAAAUGUUGCGUUGGUAUGUUUGGGAUUUAUGCGUGAUAAGUGAUUAUACUUGUUGCUCUAAAAGCAAGGGUCUAAACCUUCCCUUUCAAUGUAAAUUUAAUGAUAAUAGAACCAUAGACUCUUAUGCUAAUGGUAUAUAUGAUUACUAUGAUGUGAACAAAAUAAAAGAAUUUGUUGCCUUUAAGGGUGCAUAUUAAAUUGCUUCUUUGAUUGGAAAGUAUGAUGAUAUUCCUUAUAAAUCUGAAAAUUUUGACAUACUUAAAUAUUGCUAUGAGAAUUAUGAAUAAAAUGUUGGUAUUAAUGAAUUUCUUGAAAGAAUGACCGUUGCCUUGGAAUAGAUUAACAUUUUGCAGGAAUCUAUGGAAGAAGAAAUUGUUGAAUCUCUGAGCUCAUUAGAUGAAAAAGAUGACGAGGAGAGCGAAGAGAGGGAGGGUUGCAGCACCCAAUGCCACAGCACGGCCUCUCCCUCUCCCUAUAGAUCGUCUCUUCCUCUAGAUAUUCCGGUAGUGCUUGGCGAAGCCCUGUCGGGACAGCAACAUCACCAUCACCGUCAUAUCGUCGCGCUGCCAGGGGACUCAUCUACCACUCCGCCCUCGCUUUCUGGAUCGAGAAGGAGAAUACGUCAUCGGGUUGUACGUGUGCUGAAUGCGGAGGUGCCGUCAGUUCGAAACUUGAUCGGGAGUUUGCGGGACAGAUCGUGAUAGGAUCGCGAAGACGUUCGACUACAUCAACCGUGUUUCUUAACGCUUUCGCUCAGCGAUCUACAAGGGUAUGUAGAUUCAAUCUCUCCUCUUGUAGAUGUGCGUCUCCUAGAUUGAUCUUGGUAAGCGUAGGAAUUUUUUUGUUUCCUAUGCAACGUUCCCCAACACUUCUAUCUGUGUUAACAUGGGAAAUCUCACAAACACAUUAGUCCCUCAACCACGUUUGUCUUCAAUACUCCAAAACCAACAAGUGGUGGAACUAGAUGCACUUACGAUCUCCCCCUUUUUGGUCACUGGUGACAAACUGGCUGAAGUUUUCAACGGGGAUAAGAAUAUGUGAAGAUAAAUACUUGGAGAUUAUGAGAGCUCUCCCUCAAGAUGUUCUUAUGAAGGUUUUUCUUUGAAUGCAAAAGCACAUGGUAGGUUGUAGUUAGUGGAUAUCUCCUCCUAUAUCUUGGAAUCCAUUCACUAUGCAUUUUAAAGGUUUCAUGAAGAUUCUGUAAUGCAUAAUGAAAAAUAGGCAUCUGCUGAAUGACUUCAGACGCAUAUGAUAAGAUAUGGAAUAGCGCCAAAGAUACGAUAAACAUAGAAUAUGAAGACGUCCAUCAAGACUUAAGUUUUACAACCCAAAAGUGCAAUUGUUCAGAACAAGAGUUCUAAACUUAACAAAAUAGCAGCACCCAACCCUUAUAGACCCAUUCGAAUACUAUCAAUCCAAUGCUUCUCCCCCUUUGUCAUGGGAUGACCAAAAAGGGCGAAGACAUUGGGAACUACUCGUCCCCAGCUUGUGAAUACGUUGGUGCAGCAGGGUCAUCAAAGGUUGGUGCAGGUUCGCCUGGUUUAGUGUCGAUGCGAUCUGUUGGUGCAACAGGGGAAGUACAUCAUCAGUGUCAUUGUUUGCAAGAUUGGUAUGACCGGAUACUGCUGAAGAAGAGUAGUAACUUUAUUCGAUGGAUGGUGUCUUGCAUCAUUUCUCCGUACGAGGAGGAGGGGCACAAAAUUUGAAGUAUUUUUCAUAGCCAUCCUCACGAAGAUCUUCCUCCGGAGACAUGAGAGUCAAUUUCUUCCAAGAAUGCCUACAAGUUUCAUGUGCAACAAAGAUAUUCUUGGUGGAGAGGUUGCGAAUGCGAUUGAUAUCUGUUGCCAUAGAGUGCAUUUGUCUUCGCGUCACUCAUGGUGACAAUCCUACUUUUGUAUGAGCGAAACAAGAAGCUCUUGAUUAGUCAUAGCAUGUUCCCGUCUGGGUUGGGGAUGUUGAGGCAGAGUGCUAGCAGUGGCUUCAGUUGAGGUGGCACUUGGUUGUGGUUGACGGAAUGUGCCAAUCAGUCUUGCCUUGACAGGAUCACAAGGAAUGUGAAGCCCUUCAAUAUGUGUGGUGCCACUAGUGCCUUCAAUAAUGGGAUUCUUGCCCUUGGAUGGAUAAAUGUCUUUGUGUCUGACUUCCACAUCCAGAAGAUAUAUUCCAUGAUUAUGAGCGGAGGGUAGAAACCUUGUAUUUGUUAUGCGCUUAAUGAAGUGCAUGAUCCAUGGUGCAUAGAUCUUGAGUUCAGAGAUUGAUGCUAUUGGCAGCCAGGGUUCUCAAAAAUAAGUCUUGAAGAUUGAACCUGAUGCCAUAGACGACAUUGUAGAUCAACGUCUUCAAUGCCCCUUAAACCUUGCUUGAAGAAUAAUGUCAUUUGAUUGGCCAUAUGGUGUGACAAAGAAUAUGGUAGAUAGUCUUUGGUAGAUAUUGAAGAUCAUCAACAAAGAAUGUUGUGGGCAAGUCCGCAUCUGGGUCUAAAGGUGAAAGGACGUGGAUGUCGCCUAGAGGGGGGGUGAAUAGGCGCUUUAAAAUAAUUAAGGUUUAGGCUUGAACAAAUGCGGAAUAAAACUAACGUUUAAUAUGUCAAGCACAAAACCUCAAACAACUAGGCUCACCUAUGUGCACCAACAACUUAUGCUAAGCAAGAUAAACAACUAAGUGAUAGCAAGAUCUAUGACAAGAGACAAUAUGGCUAUCACAAAGUAAAGUGCAUAAGUAAAGGGUUCGGGUAAGAGAUAACCGAGGCACUCGGAGACGAUGAUGUAUCCCGAAGUUCACACCCUUGCGGAUGCUAAUCUCCGUUGGAGCGGUGUGGAGGCACAAUGCUCCCCAAGAUGCCACUAAGGCCACCGUAAUCUCCUCACGCCCUCGCACAAUGCAAGAUCCCGUGAUUCCACUAAGGGACCCUUGAGGGCGGUCACCGAACCCGUACAAAUUGCAAACCUUGGGGGCGGUCACCGAACCCGUACACGUGGCAACCCUUGGGGGCGGUUACCGGUACCCGUACAAAUUGCUCGGGGCAAUCUCCACAACCUAAUUGGAGACCCCGACGCUUGCCCGGAGCUUCACACCACAAUGAUUGAGCUUCGAGACACCACCAAGCUUCUAGGACACCAAAGCAUCCACGAAGAACAAUAUCUAUGGUACUAAGUACCAAAGGUAAUAAGCUUCUCAAACUUCACUUCCACGUAUCACCGUGGAGAACUCAAACCGAUGCAACCAAUGCAAUGGCAAGAACACACGAAGUGGUCAAGUCCCUCACACUCAAAUCCCUCCACAACAACGAAAGCUAUGGAGAAAUAUGAGAGGAAGAACAAGGAGCUCACAAAGAACUCCAAGAUCUAGAUCCAAGGGGUUCCCCUCACAUAGAGGAGAAAGUGAUUGGUGGAGAUGUGGAUCUAGAUCUCCUCUCUCUUUUCCCUCAAGAACAAGCAAGAAUCAUUGGAGGGAUUGAGAGUAAGCAAGCUCUAAGAAUGUCAACAAUGGAGGUAGAACAAGAGCUCAACGGAUGGAUAAGGCCAAGGGGCAAGAAGACCCCCUUUAUAUAGUGGGGGAAGGAAUCAGACCGUUACCCCCACUUACAACCCGAGUCCAGCGGUACUACCGCUGACCCUGCAGAGGUACUACCGCUGAGCCCAUGGUAGCGCAAAGAUACUACCGGGCCAAUCACCGCCAAGAAAGUCUUCGCAAAAAGGUCCGACGAAGUACAGCCGCUAGGAAGGCCGUACUAAGCUCCUGGAGCGGUACUACCGCUGACCAGGGGCGGUACUACCGCCAGCACAGCGGUACUACCGCCAGCUCUAGCGGUACUACCGCCAGCUCUAGCGGUACUACCGCUAGGGCCAGCGGUACUACCGCUCGCCACUGAAACAACCAUAACUUUCGCAUACGAGCUCCGAAUCGAGCAAACCCAAGCUUGUUGAAUUAAGACCAUGCUGAUAUGAAAAUGCCAAUGAUCUAGAGAUGUGAGACCUCUAUAAAUGAAGAACCGGCAAAAACUCCAACAUCGAAAACAUCAUAGUAGUUGCAUAUGGACUCCGUUUUUGAUGAACUCGAGCUUGUCAUGAAGAUGACCAUAAGCUCUAAAACUCACAAAGAGAAACACCAAAUAAGAACCAAGAAGUAUGAUGCAAGGAUGCAAAUGGUUUGAGCUCUCAACGAACGAUACGAUCAAGCUAAUCACUUGAGAGCCCCCUUGACAGUACAUCAUUCUAUCCUAAACAGAAAACCUAUCAAGGGAAAACCUAUACCUUGCACCUCAAUCUCUUGAGCUAGAUGAUGAUGAUCUUGGCUUCCUCAAGAUGGACCACCUUUCUUGAUUGCGUUGGCUUGAUGAAGACUAGGUUAUUGCUCCCCCAUACUCACUAUGGAUGAGCCACUCUUCAACAUACCUUCACAAGUCCAUUGCCACCACAAUGGACGGCAAGCUUCAAGCACGAUAUAUUCGUGUUGAUCCUCUUGAACUUGCACACCGCAAUCUUGAUGACGAUCACCACUUGACGUCAUCCUUCAUGGGUUGUAUGAGAUCUUCAUUUUGACACAAGCCCAUGGAAACACACCUAACCCACACAUAGAACUCUCACGAAGACCAUGGGUUAGUACACAAACACGUAAUGGAUAAUGCUUACCAUACCAUGGGAUCACUUGAUCCCUCUCGGUACAUCUUGUACGCUUUGUGUGUUGAUCAUCUUGAUUUACUCUUUGUCUGAGAUCUUGAUCAACCUUGUGUCUCUAUGACCAUUCUUUGGAUAAUACCUUGAAUACCACCUUGGUCAUCAUAUAAACUCCUUGAACCCAACAGAUGGACUUCAAUAAGUGCCUAUGGACAAAUCCUAUAAAUAUAACUUAAGGCAACCAUUAGUCCAUAGGAAUUGUCAUCAAUUACCAAAACCACAUAUGGAGAUAUAUGCUCUAACAAAAGGCUUCAUAAGUGUCAAAAUUUCAGACAUGUUAGGCUCACGCAUUUGAAAGAUGCUUCUUAUGGCUUCUUCAUAGGUGGGAGAUUUUGGAUCAAGAUCUUAGCCUGAUGCAGCAAGUGGAGUGGUGGCAAAGAAUUACAUAGCAAGAGCUUUCACAUGCCCAUCAUGGAUCAUGAAAUCCAUAACCCAUGUCUUCAGAUCUCAUCCAUAGCCAAAGAUGUGGAGAGUUGCAUAAAAUUGAAGAAUUGGUUCUUAAUUCCAAUCUUCAUGAUCAACAGCAAACGACAACAAUCCAACAUCUCAAAGACAAUUGAAGGCCUGGUCAAAACAAGGAAGACCACUCAUGGCUUCCAUGCUGAGAUGCUUGGGGGGAUCCUUUUUGGUCAUAUAGCACACAUGUAUAAUAGGUACGUUGAGGUACACUCCAGAAGUGAUCAGAUUGAAUCUUUAGACGCGUAUAAGGAUUCUUUUUAGAAUCAAGGAAAGUGUUGUCGAGCCGGAAUUCCCUCACGCUAAAGACAAGAGGACGUGUUGUUCCUAGUUGUCAAAGACUUGGAAGCCUAGGCAUUGGAUUCAUAACUUUUGGGCGACGAAAGAUGUUUAAUUCAUAUUGUGGACCCAUUCUGUUGGGUGGUGAAACAAGCUUGGGCCAUUUUGUUGGCACCAUCUCUCCCGCCCUAUUGCGAUCCAUGACAAUAUUGUCAGCAUUGUCGUCGGUCAAUGGCGUAGCACGCACAGGAGAACCAUCAGGGGAUGGAGCAUUGGCUUCUCCAUCAGUAAUCGGUGCUUCUAGAGGUGCAACGGUGUCAUCAGCAGCAAUGUCUUCACAUGCACUCGCUUCGAUCUAAGGUUGUUCACGAGCAACAUGUUCAAGUAUGAGAACUUCAUCGACUGAUGCAGUCAGAGUCACACGCACUUCAUCUUCUGGAAUGAUUUACAUUGAAGAUAUAGGUGGCCUUGGUCCUUUGUGAAUCCUUUUGAGAGGCGAUGCAUGUUCAGUUGUUUCAACUUCCAUGGGAGCAAAUGGGAAUUUAGGAGAUCUUGCCACUAGAGUUGGAAAUGGACUAGGCAGAGUGCUAGGAUUGGCUUCAGGCACGUUUCACCUUAGUGGAGUGCCAAUGUCCACAAAUUCACUGCCUUCAUGCAUUGGCGAUGAUACCAUUGGUGCAUCACGUUGAGGCACAUCAGUUUCUAUUUCAACAUUGUCUUCGGCAGAAGCAACGUUUUCAGCAGGNNNNNNNNNNNNNNNNNNNNNNNNNNNNAGCAGGAUCACCUGCAUUGUCUUCGGUUGCGGUGGUUUCAGCAGCUGGUGCAUCAUCUGUUGUUUGAGCCUUUAUGGUAACAGACUCAUGAAGAACAACUUGCCUCUCGACAUUUUCCUAGGGAUUUUAUCUCAACAAAUUUAAAUAAUCUCUAAAAUAAAUUCUCUUAUGCCACCGAGUAAACAAUUUGAUUAGGGACUAGUAGCGAAGGGAAUUAAAUCAAUAUAAAUUUGUGUUUAAAAGAUAUUAGCAAUCUAGGGUUUUGAGCAAAUUCAAAAUCUACUAUGCAAAUUUUAAAACUUCUGAAUCUAUGCAAAACUUCAUGUUAUUUGUGACAUGUUGCCAAAAGAAUCAACUAAAAACAAUCAAAAACUUAAAAGAUAUUAGCAAAACAAAGUCAUGAACUCCUCUCGAUUUGAAAUAAAGCAAAUAAAACAAAACAAGAAUUAAGUAUCGGCCAGGGGUGAUGUGGCACAUUCCUAUUGUGGCAGCGAAGUGUGCGCGAGAAAGAACACAGCGGCUAACUGAACACUAGCGUGUACCGGUUCGUGAGUUUAAGUGAUCUAAUCUAGAUCGUUCAUUGCAGAUCUGACGGUGGACACGAGAGAGAAGCUUACAACGGCGACGAUGGAGUUCUCCAGCGAGGCAGAUGGCUUGGGGUUGACGGCGAUGGUGCUCCAAUGGUCUUCCGGCAAUGGUGUCAGCUCCAAUCGAUGCACGCGAAGACGAUGGUGAGGUUGGUGGCAUCGGACGGUGUCGGGGCAGACUGCGGCGAGCGGCACGAGCUCAACGGGCUUCGGGCAUGGCAAAAACUAUGACGAGAUGUUGGGGUGGCAGUGGAGCAUGGAGGAAGGGUUUUAGGGAGGAAUCGGGUGCGGGAGGUCGGGGCUUUAUAGGAGAGGCAUUUGGUGGGGUCAAACGGAACGGGAGCGGCGAGAUGGAUCAGAUCCGGAGAUACGUCGGAAAGGGAAGGUGAGGUCGGGUAAAGGAAGGCGCUGACCGAGGGGGGUUCGGGUCGGGCAGGUGGGGUCGGUGCGCGAGAGGUAGGUGACCGAUUCGUUCGCGAUUCGGAUCCGAUCAGAGAGAAAAUGAAAAAUAAAGCAAAGAAAGUAUAUAUAAUAUAUACCUAUUAUAUAUCAACAAGUUCAGAAAAAAUAGCUCUACAACAUGAACAUAUUUUCAAGAAUUUUUGAAAUACUUAAUAUUUUUUUCCAAAAUUCAAAAAUGUCGUUGAUCCAAAGAUCAAAUAUUUUCCAAACAUUUUUCUGAGUUUGUAAAUUCAAAUGAAAUCAAAUUUGCCCCUGGUUUUGAGUGUGAUGUUUCUCCUCUCUUUAUUUUUAAUAUGAUCAUGUGCAUUUGAAUUUAUUCCAAUUCAAAAAUUGAAAUGGAUCGAAUUUGCAAAUGGAAAUACUCCAAAUGGAAACUUUUAAGAACUUUCAAAUCCCAUUUCAAAUUCUUCCAUUGAAGAAGUCGUGUCAUAUUCUCUCUAUGAUUUUAAAUUUGAAUUGGAUUUGAAUUCAAAAGCAAGGAAGAAAGUUUUGGGAAAGUCAUUUUAUCCCCUCUCUUCUAUUUUCCAAAAGUUUUCAAAUUCACUCAGUUUCACACAAUAAUUCAGACAAUCAAUCAAUAUAGUUCAUUUAAUAUGACAUUCCAAAAUUUAGAAUUUUGGGACGUUACACGCAAUCCUUCAAUGUUUUGCACCCAGAUGUCUCCUCAUUUCGCUUAGUGCUACAGAUAUAAAUGGUUGGUGGAACAAGAUCUCCGGGAAGUGGAAACGCAAAACUGGCCCAUGAUGAUAACUCGGUGGCGGCUUGCAUUGCUUAAAACCACUGGAAAGGGAGGAAUCACGGAAUUUUGAGAGGAAGGGGGUAAACCAUCCUUGGUUUGUGAAGCAUCAUAAUUUUUCUUGAAAGGAUUUAUCUGCUUGAUCUACUCCCUUUAACAGUGCGUUAUCCAAGAUGGGAUUUAUUUUCCAAGCGAAUGAGAUAAUUGUCCCCGGUUUGCGUAGCAUGAUGAAAUUUUUUUAGACACACGAAGCAUAAUGAUCUAAGCCUCCUGGACAAGCCCGUUGGAGACAUGGCCCUUAAUCUUCGUGCAGUCCAGACCCAGUUGCACCUUUGCAACAUCUGUUUUACACUGUUUCCCUCUUCUUAAUCGGGAAGCAGAACAUUUGCUGCGCUUGUGAAAAAAUUAUAUCCGGAUCACUACAUGGGUAGUGGUUCAGCAAGAUCCACCUUCAAUUUCACUGACUGAUAAAUAUGCUAGGACAAAAGAAACUGCUUACUGUUCCUCGUGAAGAAACGAUGUAGUUUAUGGAGUAUGUACGAGUCUUCCCAGAUUUUGCGUUUCCAUACAUAUAUUACGACCAAAAGGGUGCAACACGGCCACUUUUAUAACCGGAUGAGCACUUGUCCGUUGUCACCAAGUUCCCAUCGAUCUUUCGUACCUGGACCCGAGUGGCCUGGACGCUGCAGCUGAAGAACACUGUACCGAGUUUCAGACGGUGCCUCUGAGUCGAACAUUGUGUGGACCUGGCACGGCGCCUCAUCCCAUCAGACAAGGAGGCACCCGUAUCUUUCCGCAUUGUACAUACGAAUUGUAAGGCAGAAGCUGUGCUGGUGCUGGUGCUGGUGCUGCUCUAGCUCUACCCUGUGCACAAAGCCAUGCUACAGUGACAGAAUUCCUCUGCGCAUCAAGCAUUCCUGNNNNNNNNNNNNNNNNNNNNNNNNUCAAGCAUUCCUGCACGGCCAAGGUUUUAAAUUAUGUACUCUCACCAUCAUGGCCCAUGAAUUGGUUGUUCGGUUCGCCCGACAAACAAACCAACCAACAAGACGUAGUACUUGCUGGUCAGACAGAAACGGGCGUGUCCAUUAAAUCCUCUCGGAAAAGGAGUAUUUUUGAAGAAAAAAAAAGGUAAGCAACUCGCACGGGGUGAACUGAAGAUAACACUGGCAAGAGUUAGAGUAGCAACGAACUGACAAGGAAAAACAGACAAGGAUUCAGUACAACAGCAAGAGUUCCGCGUGGUAAAAAGGUCUCAGAAGUCUCAUGCUACAGUAGGCAAGUUGUGCUAGGUUUCCAUGGAACACUUGCCACAGAAGAGAUUUGAUUCUAGAUCUUACCCUCCCAGAGGCACUCAGGGGAGGGGCCGCCGUUGUUGCGGUUGUUUCCAGAGGCGGCGCGCGCUAGGAGAUCACCAAGGUGGGGCGGUGGCUGGAGGCCCAUGGCGGAAGCACGCUCCCAGCGCUGAAGCCUGUUCACACCGAUGCAUGGGCCAAACUUCAUGUCCAUGUCAAACUGCCGCAGCUGCUCCUCUUGCUCACUGAAAUCAUCUGCAGCAUCAUAAGCAAGAGUUAUUGUUUGCAAACAUAAAGCACUUGUGAGUUUAAACUGUAUGCAUAACAAUCUCUCCAGCGGGUACCUUUGAGGUCAAAGGAUCCGUGAGAAAUUAGUGCUGCUGUCUGAGCCUUAUUCGAGGCCCCAACAGAGGCCCCUCCAGUAUAAUUCUGUGGUUUCUUCUUAGAAGAUGCUGAAGUUUUGCCGGCACCUCCUUUCUUCUUCUGCCGGUAGAAAUCUUUCACGCCAGUAGAAGCCAUUCUUGUCUAUUAUUCAGUCCUACCUGUGUUUUCCUGUCAAAGACCCCCAACGGAAACUUAAAAUCACUUCUGCUGUAGCUUUUGUGUUUCAUUUGCAUUUUAUUCAUUUCACCACAAAGAAUGCUAUGAGCUAUAAUAAGUACGAUGUGAACAUGACAACAGCAGAAACCUUUCAUGGUUUGUUCAUAGGUCUUACAUAGCCAAGUCCUUAUUCCCGAACACUAACGACCCAAUUUAAUAGAAGGAAUCUGAUAGCUGACGUUGUUCUAUCUACGAGAAUAUCAGUUUUUCUGUGACGACUUGUAAACGGCAUACAGUAUGAUUUAAGACUACGAUAAACUAGGUGCGAAACAGUUACUGCAAGAAGCAGCAACUACCAAGUAAUAUUUGCACAUAGGUUGUAAGACAUUAACCCAGCCAGUUCAAGAGUAAAUAGUCCGUUUGCCUGCCAACGUCAGAACAAAUGGAGCAAUCAUCUGACAAAAACAUGGAGCAUAAAUAAAACAGCAAGCAGGCAUGAAGAGAAGACAUAAAGCAUCAUUGUUCCCCAUCAGCAUAUAGUAUACCGACGACAACCAAACUACAAAAGGCCUACCUAUCUCUGUCAUUUCAAGGUCUAUUAAGCAGUGAGUUUAAGACACUGAAAUGCAUUGAUACAAGAGACACAUCUUGGUUCUUGAAACUCUGUAAAACAAAAACUCAUACUACUAACUAGUUAUGCCCAUGGUCAGCCACCGAACCCGAUGCUCCAAAACCAGAAUUGGCACUCUAGUGGAGAUGUCAUUUGUUCUACUUCCAUCACCCCCUGGGCUUAAAUACACAUAAUGUGCUCUUCUCUUAAGAACACCCCACCCCCCCCCCNNNNNNNNNNNNNNNNNNNNNNNNNNNNNNNNAAGAACCCCCCCCCCCCCCCCCCCUCCCUCCCUCUGGAAAAUCGGCCAAAAAGAGAGGCAAAACGAUACUAAUAAAACACAAUGAUAGCGGCUACUCCCCUUGCAAAUCUGAGGCUGUACCUCCAACUCCAGGCGGUCGCUCAACCAUUACAGUGUACAAAACCUAUCCCAAUCCCUUCCUGGUAAAGAAAUGUAUCCCCUAGACCUAGAAUCUCCCUCCCUCGAACUUGCCGCUGCGGUACAAAAUUAGGCGGUGAACGGCUGGGUUCUACGCAGGGAGGAACUCGGAAGUUGAUUGGAUGGAGCGGAGGGCGUACCAGGGGAGGCGGCGGAGCGGACCGAGCGGAGAGCCGGAGAACGGCGGCGAGGUCAGGUCGGUAGCGAAUCAGGUCUUCGCCUCUUUCGCGUUUGACUACGACGAUACUACAGUACUACUUUGUAUCGUGGCGUAAGAUAUGUAACGUAAACAUGCUGGCCCAGCGACGGCCCAUCAAGUCAGUGGGCGCUUAUAAACCAGACGUAGGGCAACCCAUCAAGUCGGGAAUUCCUACCUGCCGCUCGCUGCGGCAGGGGGUCGCUCCCAAGCACACGCAGGCGUCCUACUGGGCCUGCCCAUCUUUUUUUCUAAAGAAAAACGAUAAUUUCCUUUUUCAUUUCUUUUUUACUGUUUCUUCUUUCCUUUACUGCUUUUCCGCACCUUUUUUGGCUCCUUUUUCUUCCCGUUUCCUUUUUUAUUUUUGUAUCAAAACGAACAAAUGUUCAAUUUCUCAAUCUUUUUUUGAAAUACUAAAUGAUUUUUAAAUCAGAGAACAAAAAAUAAGGAGCUUUAUUUUUUGAAAAGUCAUGAACAAAUUUGGAGACGCGGACAAUUUUCUAAAGCAUGAACAUUUUUUGAAUCUUGAUAAAGUUUUUUGAAACAGAGAACAAUUUUGAAAAAACACAAACAAAUUGAAAGCACGACAUUUUUUGAAUUUUUAGAAGAAACAAAUUAAAGCACAAACAUUUUUUGAAUCUUGAGAACAAAAUUUUCAAAAAUAUAACAAUUUUGACAAACCCCAAACAAAUUUGAAAGCGCAAAUAAAGUUUUCAAGCACAAACAUCUUUUGAAUUUCUAGAACAAAUUUUGAAAUCAAAAACAAAAAUGAAAAAUCGUGAACAUAUUUGAAAGCGUGAAUAAAUUUUUUAAAGCAUGCCCAUUAUUUGAAUUUUGAGAUCAAAAUUUUGAAAUGAAGAACAAUUUUGAAAAACUCCGAACAAAUUUGGAAGCGCGAACAAUAUUUUCAAGCACAAACAUUUCCUGAAUCUUGAGAACAAAAUUUUGAAAUGGAGAACAUAUUUGAAAAACCCCGAACAAAUUUGGAAGCGCGAACAAUAUUUUCAAGCACAAACAUUUCCUGAAUCUUGAGAACAAAAUUUUGAAAUGGAGAACAUAUUUGAAAAACCCCGAACAAAUUUGGAAGCGCGAACAAAUUUUUAAAGCACGAACAUUGUUUGAAUUUUGAGGAGUUUCGAAACCAAUAACAAUUCUCAAAAAUCCUGAACUAAUUUGAAAGCGCAGACAAUUUUUUAAAGCACGAACAUUUUUUGAAUAUUAAUAACAAAUUUGAAUCUCAAGAAGAAAAUUUGAAGAAGUUUUCAAGUUGUGUACAAAUUUUGAGAAAAGAGAAACAUUCUCCAUAAAACAGGAACAUUUUUAUAAAAAAGUGAAAACAAUAACAUUUUCUGAAAACACAGACCAAUUUAAGAAAAAAUGAACUUUUUAAAAAAAACGAGCAAUUUUUUUUAAUACGAGAACAACUUUUGAAACACGAACACUUUUAAAAAUAUGAACACAUUUUGAAAGCAAGACGAAUUUUUGAAGCGCAAACAAUUAAAUAUAAAUAUUGAAAACGGGAACGUUUUUUGAAAUUCAAAACAAAUAUUAGAAAAUGUCAAACACAAAUAUAGGAAAAGGAAAAAAGGAAUAAAAGUGAAUGAAAUAAUGAAUACCAAAACAAAUAACAUUUUCUAAAAUUCGAAUAAUUGUUCUGAAAAUGUCGAACAUUUUUUUCAAAUCGCGAAAAAAAAUAGAAUUUAGAAAUGUUUUUGAAAAAUGGAAUUUUUUUACAAUUCCGAUUUUUUCUAUAAAAUUAAGAACAUUUUCUGAAUUUCAACAACAAUUAUCAAACAUGAACUUACUUUAAAAAAUAACCAUAGAAAAAAUGAGAAACAGAAAAAAGGACAAAAAAAGGGGGAAACGAAACAGAAAAAAGGACAAAAAAAAAAGCAAAAGAGGAACUGCCUGCAGAGGGAGAUGGGCCUCAAUGUGGUGAUUAAAGUAAUUAUAUUUCCAUUCCUCAAUGUGGUGAUUGAAAUAAUUAUAUUUCCAUUCCUUUGCUCACUUUUUUCCAACUGUUACAAUUAUCCUUGAUACCUAUAGAAAAGAUACAUUGGUCUAAAGAGUUUUGUGCAUUGUAAUAUUUGCACACAAUGUGUCUUCGUACCCACAGUAUACUAGGAUAUGAUUCCUGACUUGUUCACAUGCCACAAAUCUAAUUUUGAUUGUUUACAAUUAUCGGUGUUAAUGAUGCUUGUUCUUGUAAUUGACAUAAAGAAAGAAAAAUAUUAGUGUAGAUUCAUUGAUCUUAGAGUUCAAGAUUUAUGUUAGAAAUUGAAUGUGUCCUCGUUAAGAGGAGUUAAUCGUGUCCUUGUUGGGUUCGACACUCUUACUCAUCGAAAGGACUACGAUAGAUCCCCUGUAAUUAUGGGUCAUCAGGGACCCACAUGAACGUGGGUAGGCCCCACACCCCUAGUCAAGGUGCACCAAGAUCCCCCCUUAGAAGGAAUAAGAUCAUAUCCCGAAGGGAUAAGAUCAAGAUCCCUAAAAAAGGGGGAUAACAAUCGGUGGGGAAGGGAAAGGAUGGGACUUCUUUCCUCCCACAUUUGCCAACGCCCCAAUGGACUUGGAGGGCAAGAAACCGACCCCCUCCACCCCUAUAUAUAGUGGGAAGGCGCAUGGGAGCUUAACCCUAGCCCCUGGCGCAGCCCUCCCCCUCCUACACCUCCUCCUGCUCCAUAGUGCUUAGCAAAGCUGUGCCGGAGAACCACGAGCUCUACCGCCACCACACCGUCGUGCUGCCGGAGUUCUCCCACAACUUCUCCUCUCCCCUUGUUGGAUGAAGAAGGAGGAGACGUCCCCGGGUUGUACAUGUGUUGAACGCGGAGGCGCCGUUCGUUUGACGCUUGGAUCGGAUCUUCUGCGAUUUGGAUCAUCAUGAGUACAACUCCAUCAACAGCGUUCUUUGCAACGCUUCCGCUUAGCGAUCUUCAAGGGUAUAAAGAUGCACUCCCUCUCUCUCGUUGCUAGCAUCUCCUAGAUUGAUCUUGGUGACACAUAGGAUUUUUUUUGAAUUAUUACUACGUUCCCCAACAACUACCGCCAAAGAGUAGUAGUAAAAAACUACUACCACUCUUCCUACGGUACUAACGCUGGCACUAGCGGUACUACCGCUGUAAGUGCAUCUAGUGCGCCUUAGUGAUUUUGGUGGUUUGAAGACUUAUAGGUUAAGUAUCUAAUGUGUUUACGAGUGUACACAGGAUCUAUAAGUCACUGAGGAGUUUGAAAUAUUUGAGGAAUAUCGACCCCUAAAAAUGUAUAUCUUCGGUUGAAGAAAUUGGUCUAAAGCUGAAAAAUUGAAUCGCGAAGAAUCCGCGAUGAAAUUGAUAUUCCUCAUGAAGAUAUUGAAAUUGAGGAAUUCGGUGUGUCCUAAAGAAAAUCAUUCUGAAGACUUUGAAGCAUGAGGAUUUACUCUUUCUGUUUUAUUUUCUUCACACUUGAGUAAUAGGAACACCGUACUGUUAAAGGGGGUCGAAGUUACACUCUGGAAUGAAUUUCUUCAUGAUGCUCAACCCAAGCCUAAUCCUACCAAAAGCCUCAAGUGAGGAAUACGAGUGACAUGAGGACUCUCACAGUUGAGGGUUCCGACCGUUUCGAUAGCCACGCCACAUCAUUGGUCUUAUCCACACCAACGGUCAUAUUAUUUAAGGGCAUUAGUGUCAAAUCAUGUCAGGAUGCUCCCAGGCUAUAAAUAGCCGCCCCCACAACCAUUAGCUGGUUGGCUGCUCUGUUAGAAACUGACACUUGUCAUAAGAGCAACCCAAUUCCUCAGAGUCUUCGAGAGAAAUUUAUCAGUGAGGAAAUACCCCAAACACCAAACCACAAACUUAGAACCAAGUGAUUGAGCAUCACUGAAGAAGUUGUUCGUGUGUGGUACUGAAGCCUUUUACCUUUGAGGACUGUGCAUCCUCCAAACGGUUAGGCGUCAUGGUCUAGAGCAAUCGAGCAGUCAAUUGUGGAUCGCCGGGUGACCAAGUUUGUGAGGGUUUGGAAGUCUGCCCUGAAGACUUACCACGAGUGUUGGGUGAGGGCUGUGUGUUCUUAGCCCAAGGAGAAUACGGUAGGGACUGUGUGUCCCGGGACUGUGUGUCUUUUGGUUUCAAUACCAAACCGCUCCAAACCAGAUGUACGACUGUCAUAGCAGUUGGAACUCGGUCAUCAACUACUGUCUUCGCUGUGAAACGGAUUCUAAUUCCUCAACCCUUUACAUUCCUCAGAUUAUGUGUUGAUGACUUUCACUGUGACUGUUUGAAUAAUUUGCUGAAGACUUUCUCUGAAAUUCCUCAACCCCAAAUUCUUCAAACUAGUUAAUCCUCAUCUAUUUUCUGCCUGCCUGCUCACUGUGCAAUCUGUUUUCACAUUCCUCACACUGAAAAACUAUUGUUGUGAAACUUUGCACUUCUGAUCCUUUACUGUUUCCAAUGUAAGUUAGUCAUUAGUGAGGAAUUUCGUCAAAAGGAAUUUCCUGAGUAAUGAAAUUCUAAAAAUCUCCUAUUCACCCCCCUCUAGUCGAUAUAACGCACUUUCAACCGCUGGACACAGAAACUGCCAUAACUUUCGCAUAUGAGCUUCGAAUCAAAUGAACUGCAAGCACUGGGAGCUCGAGACAUUACUGAUCACGAAGUUGUGAAGAAACUGCUAAGAUCUUUGGAUUCUUCAUUUGAUACUUUAGUACUGAUGAUUCAAGAAAGACCAGACUACAAGAUGCUUGAUCCAGCUGAUAUACUCGAAAGACUCAAUACUCAUGAAUUCCAUGUAGAAGAAAAGAAAGAUCUAUAUGGACCAAGCUAUUCUAGACCACGUGCACUGAAGACUAGAGCAAUUUCCUCAUCUGAGGAAGAAAAUUCGGAUGAUAGCAUUGGUGACCCUGAAGAAUUUGGACAGGAGCUUGCAAUGCUCGUGAGGAAAUUCCAGAGGUUUACACGACGUGGUCAGUUCGGUAAAUCUUCAAGAAGAGACAUGAGGAAAUCAGAAUCUUCAUCUGAGGACUACAAGAAAAGAACCUGCCACAAAUGCAAGAAAUCAGGUCAUUACAUUGCUGAAUGUCCCCGUUGGGGAAAGGAAUCAAAGAAGAAGAAAUACAAGGAUGACAGUUCUGAUGACUCGUAGAAGAAGAAGAAAUCUUCAAAAUCCUCAUCUUCAAAGCCCUCAUCGCACAAGAAGACUAGUUUCAGAAAGGCUCGGGCACUUAUUGGCAAGGAAAUGGAUUCCGAGGCAGAAUCAGAGGAAUGUGAUGAAGAAGAGGGUUCUGAUGAAGACUCAGAAUCCGGACAGGCUAGUCUUGCACUUGCAACCACUUUCGUGAGCAAGUCAAUCUUCAACCUUGAAGAAGAUGACAACACCAUCCACAGUGAUGACUAUGCUGAUGACUUUGCUCCAACCUAUUGCUUCAUGGCAAAAGGUUCAAAGGUACCGAAUGAUGCUUCCUCCUCUGAUUCAAGUGACUCUGAACCUAAUGAUUAUAAAAAACCCAGUUACAGUAAACUUGCUAUCAUUGCCACUAAACAACAAACUGCCCUGGAAAAGCUUCAGAAACUGCUAGAUAGAAGUGAUGAUCUGUUGAAUGAUGAAAUGAAUCUUACCCAAAUCCUCACUGAAGAUGUGAAAAGUCUUCAGUCUAGAUUUGAUAAUCUUCAAGAUCGUUAUGAUACCCUCCUCGCUGAUCAUGAAAAACUUUCCUAUGAAUUUAUUCAAAGGAAGCUUGAUCUAGAGAAGUUGAGGAUUUCUCAUGAUGAUCUUCGUAUAGAAAAUGAUUCAUUUCUAGCUCAACAGAUCAGCGCUGCUCAAGCUGAAUUCAUUCCUCCAUGUCUUAAAUGCAUUGAAUGCGAAACUGCUAAUUCUUCACCAGAAUCAUCAAAUGCUUCUAUUGCUACAAAUUCUUCAACUGCACCUGUAGUGUCACUUGAGGAAAACACAAAUGUUACUGAUGAAAAUGCAGGGUUGAAGGAAUUGUAUGUGACAGGCAUAUACAAAAGCCUCAAAGGACAUCAAACCCUUUGUGAUGUUCUCAAAAAGCAGAUCUUGAACAGGAACCCGAGGAAAGAAGGAAUUGCCUUUGAGAGGAAAUUAAAUGCACAUGGAUCUUAUUGGAAACCUGAGCAGUAUCCAAAAACCUCAUGGGUUGCUGCUACUGGGCCUCCUUUUGAUCCAUCCAAUCUAACUGGCUUUUCAUGUGAAUUAUCCUAUUCCUCACAUGAGUCAUUUGACUCCAACUAUAAACUGUUCAAAUAUCAAUCUGGUGAAGUAUUUGCUCGAUAUGUUGGAACUAACUGCAGGAAUGGCCCUCCUUUGAGGAAAAUCUGGGUUCCCAAAAGUUGUCUUGAAAAUCUUCAGGUGAAUGUCCUCAUGACACCACCAAUGAAGAAUCUGAACCCCAGAUCAAAAUCCUCAGGAGGACCAAAGUCUUCAAGAGGAUCAAAAUCCUCAACUGAUCAAAAUUAUGCUCAUUCCCGUGCUAAUACUUCUAACAUGCAGGGAAACUACAAGGAAUAUGAAUAUGAGCGUUACUCUUCAAAUCAUUAUGUUCGUAAGUCCUCAAACCAGUUCUCUGCAUAUUCAUAUGAGUACUUUAACCCCCCUACUGUUAAGAGAAGUGCAUUAGCUUCAAUGCCACCUUUUUCAUAUGGUACUCGCAGGAUGAUGAAUGCUUUACCACCCCUUCAGAUGUGGAUGGUGAAGAAAUCGAACUAAUCACUUCUGCAGGUCAGGUCUCCACUUGAAAAUCACCAUCUGAAGAAUUUGCUGGAGACCUGAGGAAAUGCUUGAUAGGACGCAAGCUAAUAUUGAUGAAAUAGAAAUAUUUCACACGUCUUUUUUAAUUCUGUUAUGAUGAAAUUCUUAUCUUAUGAAAUUGAUAUCAUAUUCUUCAAAUCUGAAGUGUAUGAGAUGGUAAGCUGUACUAAUUCAUCUACAGGAUGACAAACCCAAGAAUACUGUGUGGGUUCUUGAUAGUGGCUGCACCCAUCACAUGACUGGUGAUAAAAGCUUGCUGAUGAAUAUGCCACUAACUCCAUCACCUCUGAAGCAAAUCACAUAUGCUGACAAAGGUAAAAGCAAGGUAUUGGGACUUGGCAAAGUGGCUAUUUCCAAGGAUAGGCAUAUGGACAAAGUGAUGCUUGUUGAAUCCCUUGGUUUUAACCUCAUGUCAGUCUCGAUGCUUUGUGAUCUUGAUAUGAUUGUUAUCUUUGGUAGAUAUAGAUGUGUAGUCUUCAUGGAAUCUGACAGAUCCAAAGUCUUCGAAGGUGUAAGAAGAGGGGAUUUGUGCAUUGUUGAUUUCUCUACAAGUCCUCAACCAGCCACUUGCUUACUAGCAAAGACCUCAGAAGGAUGGGUGUGGCACCGAAGACUAGGUCAUGCAGGCAUGAGGAAUUUGCACACGCUUGCGAAGAAGAAGCAUGUCAUCGGCAUCGAAUCAGUCAAAUUCCUCAAGAAUCAUCUCUGCGGUGCAUGUGAAUCUGGGAAAAUGACCAGAUCCAAGAAUCCCUCGAAGACUAUCAUGACCACUACACGUCCCUUAGAAUUGCUUCAUAUGGAUCUAUUUGGACCUACUCACUAUGCCACACUAACCAAUGCAGCAUCUUUAUAUGGCUUCGUCAUAGUUGAUGAUUAUUCCAGAUAUACAUGGGUGCAUAUCAUCAUAUAUAAAACUGAAGUGCAGGAAAUCUUCGAACGAUUUUCUUCAAGGGCCUCGACGAACUUUGGCAUCAAGAUCAAACAUAUCAGGAGUGAUAAUGGAAUAGGGUUCAAAAACACUGGUCUCGAUGAUUAUCUUGAUGAACUUGGUAUUACUCACGAAUUAUCUGCUCCUUAUAUUCCUCAGCAGAACGGUGUCGUCGAGAGGAAGAACAGGACUCUGGUUGAGAUGGCAAGAACUAUGCUUGAAGAAUAUCAGACUCCUCGUCGCUUUUGGCCUGAAGCAAUCAACACUGCAUGCCAUAUCAUCAACAGGGUAUAUCUUCACAAAUUCCUCAAGAAAACCUCAUAUGAACUCAUCACUGAUAAGAAACCCAAUGUAAGUUAUUUCAAAGUCUUCGGUGCAAAAUGUUGGAUUAGAGAUCCUCACCAUAGCUCAAAAUUUGCACCUAAGGCACAUGAGGGUUUUAUGCUCGGUUAUGGAAAGGACUCGCACACCUACAGAGUCUUCAACAACUAUCACAACAAAGUUGUUGAGACUGUAGAUGUGCGGUUCGAUGAAACUAAUGGCUCGCAAAGAGAGCAAUUGCCUUGUGAUCCAGAUAAGUUGUCUCCUGAGGAAGCAAUAAAGCUCAAGCCUACUGAAGACAUUGUUCCCACUGAGGAAAUUGAUGAAGAAACCAUCCCCAUCACUGAUGAAAAUCAAGAAGAUGCUCUUGAGGAAAUUGCUCCAGAACCUCUUCCUCAGCCCAGACGAAAUCCUCAACCAGCUCAUCCGAGGAUUGCAAAUGAAGUAGAACUUGACAAAAUCCUCAACGACAUCAACGCGCCAGGUCCUCUCACUCGCUCAAAAGCUUCACACUUAGUUAACUUUUGUGGGCAUUUUUCCUUUGUAUCUAUCACAAAACCCUCAAAAGUUGUUGAGGCUUUCUUGGAACCGGAGUGGAUCCAAGCUAUGCAAGACGAACUUCUUCAAUUCAAGCUGAAUGACGUAUGGGAGCUAGUCAAACGACCAGAUCCUCGCAAGCACAACAUCAUCGGAACAAAGUGGAUUUUCCGAAACAAGCAAGAUGAGGAUGGUCAAGUGGUGAGGAAUAAGGCAUGACUCGUAGCCCAAGGCUACAUCCAGGUUGAAGGAAUAGAUUUCGAUGAAACUUCUGCACCUGUUGCUAGACUUGAAGCUAUUCGAAUACUACUUGCUUAUGCUAAUCAUCAUAACAUCAUCUUAUAUCAAAUGGAUGUGAAAAGUGCAUUCCUCAAUGGUAAGCUUGAGGAAGAAGUAUAUGUUGCUCAACCCCCAGGUUUUGAGGAUUCAAAGAAUCCAGACAAAGUAUUCAGACUCAAAAAGGCGCUCUAUGGUCUCAAGCAAGCCCCUCGGGCAUGGUAUGACACAUUGAAGGAAUUCCUCAUGAAGAAAGGCUUCAAACCUGGUUCACUCGAUCCAACUCUUUUCACUAAAUCCUAUGAUAAUGAGCUAUUUGUGUGCCAAAUAUAUGUCGAUGAUAUCAUAUUUGGCUGUACUGACAAACGAUACAGUGAUGAAUUUGCUUACAUGAUGAGUGAAAAAUAUCAGAUGUCUAUGAUGGGGGAGCUGAAAUUCUUCUUAGGUCUUCAAAUUCGUCAACAACGCAAUGGAAUCUUCAUAUCACAGGAGAAAUACCUCAAGGAUGUUCUGAGGAAAUUCGACAUGCAUGAAUGCAAAGGUGCCAAGACUCCAAUGCCUACAAACGGACACCUCGGCACUGAUGAAAAUGGUAAAGAAUUCGAUAAACAGGUAUAUCGCUCUAUGAUUGGCACUUUAUUGUAUCUGUGUGCAUCUAGGCCAGAUAUAAUGCUUAGUGUUUGCAUGUGUGCACGUUUUCAAGCAAAAUCGAAGGAAUCACACCAUAAGGUUGUGAAAGCAUAUUCUUCGAUACUUAGCUCACACACCAACACUAGGAUUAUGGUAUCCCAAGGGCUCAAAUCUUCAUCUGGUAGGGUAUUCUGAUUCUGACUAUGCUGGUGAUCAUGUGGAUCGCAAGUCAACUUCUGGUACAUGUCAUUUCCUCCGAAGAUCACUAGUUUGCUAGUCCUUAAAGAAGCAGAAUUGUGUAUCACUCUCCACUGCCGAAGCUGAGUACAUUGCUGCUGGUUCAUGCUGUGCUCAAUUACUAUGGAUGAAGCAAACCCUCAAGGACUACGGCAUCAACAUGAAGAAUGUGCUUCUCUACUGCGACAAUGAGAGUGCAAUCAAGAUUGCAUACAACCCAGUACAACACUCGAAGACCAAGCACAUCCAGAUUUGUCAUCAUUUUCUUCGGGACCAUGUCCUCAAGGGCAAUAUCCUCAUCGACCAUGUGAAGACUGAUGAUCAACCGGCAGAUAUCUUCACUAAGCCCUUGGAUGAUAAAAGGUUUUGCAAGUUGCGGUGUGAGCUAAAUAUCUUAGAAUCUUCAAAUGUUUUGUAAAAACAUGCACACAUCCUAACACUUAUGCAAAAUUGAUGACUUAGAUGUGCAACACAUGAUGAAUCGAUUUUCUUCAACUAAUGAAGAAUAUCACUCUGAAUGUGGAGAAAUCAACGAAGAAAUUGAUUCUCACGGCCCUACGACAAUUGUACGCGGCGUCUGUAAUCAACAUUCUUAUAUGGUGGGUCACGCCACCGCCCAACGUGAAAUUCCUCAAGUUGAUUUUCUUCAAAGUUCCAUUUCCUCAAAACUUGUUUUUCUUCAAAAACACUUGAUGACUUUCGUUUAACUACAUAGACUGUGAUUUCAAGUCCUCAACAGCAUUCACUUAUAGCUAUUUCUUCAAGUUGAUAUUUCAUCUAAGUGAAUGUGAUCGGACCCUACUUUCCCUCUAUGCUAUUCUCAUCCAGUCUAUUCGAUUCUUCAUAUGCGUUCUGCUUGAAACUUUGUUCAAAAUCCUCACUGCGUCCUUGUCAGCUGAUGAUUUUGUAACUAAAAUCCUCAACUCUUCAAAAAUGUUUCUUUAAUGCACAGUAACCGAACCCCACUUCCCACGUUCGGAUAACCACGAUCUCCACUAUCUCCACCGCCUUGCUCGGGAGCUACACGUGUCCUGCGGAGACGUAGAGGCAGGGGUUGUUUGGUCCGAAUUCUUCGCGCCGACAGUAACUGCCUGGCUAUAAAUAUGUCCUUAUACCCCUCGGCAAACACUUCUUCGCUCCAUUGCUCUCCUGCUAUAGCAAAAGCCCCGAACCCUAGCGCCACCGGUGGAAGUCUCAUCGCCGGCAAAGAAGAGCUUCACUGCCUCGACUUCUCCGUCGCCGGAACCACGCCGGAGUCGGACCAUCUUCGUCCGCCGCCGCCGUAGACGUCCUCUGCUGCCGGGUUAGGGCGCAUUGGACACGCACCGAAGAGCUUCUCUCUGCAACUCUUCUCUGUUCUUCGUGCGCGCCAUCUAGGGUAAAUAAAAACCCUAUUUUUACAGCAAGUUAGAUCUACUAUUUUACAUCUCAGAUGUGAAAUCUAUUUUUCCUCAAGAAUCCAUAUGCAUCUGAUUCCUCAAACACUGCCUAUCACCACACUGUUGAUGAACUUCACUAAGCAUCUAAGAUUUUCACGAGAUUCCUCAAUUGUGUGAAUUUUUGGAUCUGUACAACUCUGGAACCCAAGAACGGUAUGCUUAGGCAAAUUCCUCAACCACUGGUUAAAUGUUAGAAUUAUGCCCUAGAGGCAAUAAUAAAUAUAGUUAUUAUUAUAAUUCNNNNNNNNNNNNNNNNNNNNNNNNNNNNNNNNNNNNNNNNNNNNNNNNNNNNNNNNNNNNNNNNNNNNNNNNNNNNNNNNNNNNNNNNNNNNNNNNNNNNUAAAGUGAAUGCAGCUGUUUCUAAUGCAUAACCCCAAAACGAUAACGACAAAUCAGUAAGAGACAUCAUAGAUCGCACCAUUUCUAAUAAAGUACGAUUACGACGUUCGGACACACCAUUACGCUGUGGUGUUCCAGGCGGUGUUAACUGCGAAACAAUUCCACAUUGUCUUAAGUGAGUACCAAACUCGAAACUCAGAUACUCACCCCCACGAUCAGACCGUAGGAACUUGAUCUUCUUGUUACGAUGAUUUUCCACUUCACUCUGAAAUUGCUUGAACUUUUCAAAUGUUUCAGACUUGUGCUUCAUCAAGUAGACAUAACCAUAUCUACUCAAAUCGUCAGUGAAGGUGAGAAAAUAACGAUAUCCGCCGCGUGCCUCCACGCUCAUCGGACCACACACAUCGGUAUGUAUGAUUUCCAAUAAGUCACUUGCACGCUCCAUUGUUCCGGAGAACGGAGCUUUAGUCAUCUUGCCCAUGAGGCAUGGUUCGCAAGUGUCAAGUGAAUCAAAGUCAAGUGACUCCAAAAGUCCAUUAGCAUGGAGUUUCUUCAUGCGCUUUACACCAAUAUGACCCAAGCGGCAGUGCCACAAAAAUAUGGCGCUAUCAUUGUUUACUCUAACUCUUUUGGUCUCAAUGUUAUGUAUAUGUGUAUCGCUAUCGAGAUUCAAUAUGAACAAUCCUCUCACAUUCGGUGCAUGACCAUAAAAGAUGUUACUCAUAGAAAUAGAACAACCAUUAUUCUCAGACUUAAAAGAGUAACCGUCUCGCAAUAAACAAGAUCCAGAUAUAAUGUUCAUGCUCAACGCAGGCACUAAAUAACAAUGAUUUAGGUUCAUCACUAAUCCCGAUGGUAGGUGAAGUGACAUGGUGCCGACGGCGAUUGCAUCAACCUUGGAACCGUUUCCUACGCGCAUCGUCACUUCGUCUUUCGCCAGCCUCCGUCUAUUCAUCAGUUCCUGCUUCGAGUUGCAAAUGUGAGCAACAGAACCGGUAUCGAAUACCCAGGCACUACUACGAGAGCUGGUUAAGUACACAUCAAUAACAUGUAUAUCAAAUAUACCUGAUUUUUCUUUGCCCGCCUUCUUAUCUGCCAGAUACUUGGGGCAAUUGCGCUUCCAGUGACCCAUACCCUUGCAAUAGAAGCACUCUGUUUCAGGCUUAGGUCCAGCCUUGGGUUUCUUCGGCGGAUUGGCAACAGGCUUGCCGCUCUUCUUCGAAUUGCCCUUCUUGCCUUUGCCGUUUCUCUUGAAACUAGUGGUCUUGCUCACCAUCAACACUUGAUGUUCUUUACGGAGUUCAGACUCUGCGACUUUCAGCAUCGCAAACAACUCGCCGGGAGACUUUUUCAUCCCUUGCAUGUUGUAGUUCAACACGAAGCUUUUAUAGCUUGGCGGUAGUGAUUGGAGGAUUCUGUCAGUGAUAGCUUCUUGCGGGAGUUCAAUCCCCAGUUCAGCUAGACGGUUUGAGUACCCAGACAUUUUGAGCACAUGUUCACUNNNNNNNNNNNNNNNNNNNNNNNNNNNNNNNNNNNNNNNNNNNNNNNNNNNNNNNNNNNNNNNNNNNNNNNNNNNNNNNNNNNNNNNNNNNNNNNNNNNNGCCGCCAGGAUAGCCGAUUCUCUCUAGCGGACUGAUUCAGAGGCUCGUAGAGGAAUCGAGCAGAUCCGCGCCUUGUUGCUUAUGGUGCAAUAGCAAAAUUCGGCGAUCUCCCAGUCGCACAACAGGAUCCACAACAGUUCUGUUCAAGCGAACACGCAUCGGUCGGUUUUCAGUCCCGACUCUCACCAGCGAUGCAGAGGGGGCAGCCGUUCCAAGGACCCGAGUCGGAAUACGCUUCCCAUUUGGUCUCAUCCCGAAGAUCGUCGCCGUUCGCGUACUCCUCCAUGGUGUGGGCCUUACGGGCCCCGGCAUUACGAUGAUCGUCGUUCGGGCGGUGGCGCGCAUGAUCCAAGGCCUGAUGCAAGAGGGUACAUCACCCAGACGAAGGUCGACAAAAGUCGAGCCCACCGUGAUGGUCAGGAUAGAGACCAUCCGAGUGGAAGCAGGACCGUUGUUUCUGGCCCCGAGUGCUUCAGUCGGGCCAUCCGCUCAGCUGACAUCCCUCCCAACUUCUGAUUGGUGACGGGAAUCAGCAAAUUCACAGGAGAGUCCAAACCAGAAACUUGGUUGGACGACUACAGAGUGGCGGUCCAGAUCGGUGGCCGAGAUGACCAUGUCGCCAUGAAAUAUCUCCCACUGAUGCUCGACGGUUCGGUGCGAGCUUGGCUAAACUAGUUAGCUCCGUCAAGGAUCUACAGUUGGGCAGAUCUGGCCCGAGUCUUCAUAAGGACCUUUCAGGGAAUGUGCAAACGCCCUGCUGGUCUCGUGGAGCUUCAUCACUGUGUCCAGAAGCAAAACGAGCCCUUGCGCGAUUUCAUCCAGCACUGGACGACCCUCUACCACAAGGUGGAGAAUGUCACAGAGCACCAAGCAGUCUGUGCCUUCAAGGUAGGCGUUCAAUACAGAGAUCUGUACCUGAAGUUUGGUCGGACAGGCGACAUCUCCAUGAGCAAGAUGAUGGAGAUAGCCACGCGCUAUGAAAUGGCGAAGAGGAGGACCACAUAUGUAGCGGCAAGCAUAAGUCAGUCGCCGAUGGAGAUGGGAACAACUGUUGGAAGCAGAAGCAGAAUUCUCAAUCCACUCCGCAGGCAUAGGCAGCAGCCGUCACAAAUGCCAAGUUCAAAGGCAAGGGGAAAGCACAAUACGCCCCCAAGAAGAGGCAAUCAGGAAAUUCCAUCCUAGAUCAACCGUGUCCAAUCCACACGAAGACAGAUGAAGAAGGCAAUGUCAUAUUGUCGAAGCAUACCACUCGGCAGUGUCGCCUCCUGAUCCAAGGAUUCGGCGAAGGACAACCGAGUGAGAAGGACACCGAGCAGGAUGAUGAGGACAAGGAGGAUCCGUUCCCCCUAGUCCAUGCAACAUUGAUGAUUUUUGUUGAUGUGGAAAGCAAAAGUCGACUGAAGCUGGUCAACAGGGAGGUAAACAUGGCAACCCCAUCCACUCCCACGUUCCUCAAGUGGUCACAGACUGUGAUCACCUUUGAUCAGUCAGACCACCCAGCACACGUACCCACCCCAGGGAGGCAGGCUCUGGUCAUCGACUCGGUGGUGGAAGGAGUUAGGCUGCGCAAAUUCCUCAUGGACGGCGGCAGCGGCUUNNNNNNNNNNNNNNNNNNNNNNNNNNNNNNNNNNNNNNNNNNNNNNNNNNNNNNNNNNNNNNNNNNNNNNNNNNNNNNNNNNNNNNNNNNNNNNNNNNNNACGCACACACUACAUGUACUAUGUUCGUUUCGUUUCAUUUUCUUUGUUSCGMRAARGGGUUAGGUUUUGGGAAGUUUGGGGUACCGUUGGGGUCGUUAGUUCGAGGAUGUAGGUGGGCAACGGGUASGCACACGGCAUGCACACAGGAGAUGCGGUCACUGAUCACGUAAGCUACUUGGUGAGUUUCUUGCACGAGGCCGAUGAUUUUCUUGAAGAAAAACUCAACGACCGAUGACGAGAGCUAGGGAGCGAGUGCGACACCAUACAACCGCGCAACUUCUGUAUGAUGCAAACCUUGACCUUUCGAAUCAUCUAGUUGCCUUCCCCGCCAAAAUUCUAGUUAAAUUUGGUGCGAUCACCCUCGGAGUGUGAAAAAACGGGUUCGGUUUGGUCCUAUGUUCAAACUGAAAAUGGUUGGAUGCAGAGAAGCAGCCAGGGAUUGGAUGGUUGGAUCAUCUCUAACAGAUUCCUUAAAAAUGGUUAAAUUUCAUAAGAAAUAACGUACAGUUGUCAACAAACAUCUCAAGUAACUAUUUUCAAACCGAAUAGUAGCCCGUAAAAGUGGUUAAAUCCGUAAACCCCUGAGCAUCCACCCCAUGACUCCUUUAUUUCCAUAUUUGGAGGCAGAACUGAGGAUACCUUAAAAACCGGUCAACGUUACUCCCUCCCUCCGUCCACAAAUAAGUGUACAUAUAGAUUUUUACUUAGUUAAAUUUUUUAAAAUUUGAUCAAUUUUAUAGAAAAUAGUAGCAACAUAUAUGGCAUAAAAAUGAUAUAUUUAAAAACUUCAUGUAAAGACGAAUCUAUUGAUACUUAUUUGAUGUCAUAAAUGCUAACACUUUUCUCAAUAAAGUUAGUCAAAGUUUAACUAGUUUGACUGACAGAAAAGGAAAAAGUACACUUAUUACCGGACGGAGGGAGUAUAUGAUAAAGGAUUUUGUCGUGCGCACACGGGCUCCGAUGACCUUUCACCAUGAAACUCGCCAACUCGAGCAGCUACGGACUAGCUAGCUACGCUAGAUCGAUUUGUAUUUGGCUGCUUCGUGUGCUGUUCGUCGGCUUUUUAGAGCGAGCUAGUUGAUCGUGGAUAUGAACGAGAUGAAGAAGAAGACUGAGACAAAUAUAAGCAAAUAUUCAGUUUUAUAGUUUAAGUUUGAGAGGUUUGUUCGACCGCAACUCAAAUCGAUUCUUAAAAUGCGUUUUUUUCUGAAUUGAAAACCGCGCUUCAGUUUCACGAUUUAAGGGUUCUGCUGGAGGUGCUCUUAGGAGGGUGUCCGUGCCCCGGGCUAUCACUCAUCAAACCUCGGGUAAUGGGCAUCAUUUAAAAAAAUAAGAGACGACAUUCUGGUGUGAGUGCACGCAUGCAUGAGUCUACAUUGUAACAUGUGUUUAAAAAAGGAUUUUGUUUUAGAGGAUUUGAUGCUUAUGAUCACCUAGUCAAGGAAAUGAGUUAAGAAACUCGGUAACUGGUUUCUUGUAAUCGGUGUUUUCCAUGUUGAUAAUUUUCUUCGUCGAAAAUUAAGAUAAUUUGGAAACAAAAAUAGGAAAAGAGUUUCUUUUGUUGAAAACUAAGAUAAUUUGAAAUGAAAACUAGGAAAAGGUGAUUUAAAAUAUAAAAAAUAUAUGUGACCAAAAACAAGAAACCGGUUGUGUAUAAAACUGCAAGCUUACACAAGGAAUUUUGACUUGAAAUUUAUCGGGAAACAUCCAUAAUCACAUAAGAACUCUAAAAUGUUUAGACAAAUGUGAAAUAUUCCACAUAAGGAUUCGAAAACUUUUGAGAACUUUUAGAAGUAAAAAAAUGUUUAUAUCUAGUCCCAUGUUCAAACUAAAAAUGGUAUGAUACUAUACAUUGGACAAAUGAAGUAGAAAAGUAAGGAAAAAAGGAAGUGUUGUAAAUAAAUAGUCGAAAACUUAAGUGAUUCGAAGGAAAACAAUGAAAAGUAAUGUUAAAAACUUACGGAUAUACAAAAGAAAAAAAGAAACCAAUUGUGAAAAAGGUAUACAUUCAUAGAAACAUGAUAUUUCAAAAUUGAAAUUGUCUUGGAACAUCUAUAACAUCAAAAAUUCUGAAAUACCGUUAUAGUGUAAAAAAACUGUCUGCAUGGAUUGUUUUUGUCUAGUUCACCUCUGUUUUUAGAAUAAAUGUGUCUGUUAGGCAUAAAAUUCAUAGGAGAUAUUAGCAUUUCUUUAAUAUUUUUAGCUCCUUGUUUGUUUUCAAGUUUCUUGUUUUCCCUACUUAUUUUUGCUAAGUGUAUGUCUUUUGCGUGAAUAAGUGGAUGCAACCUCGUCAUAAAAAACAUUACUUGGGUAAUUAACCAACUUCUAGACAAUUUGACAAUUUUUUAUGCUUUCAAAAACAAGAAURGCCAAUACAGAGUUAAGAUAUGACGAGGUUAUUUGGGUAAUUGACCAACUUUUAGACAAUUAUUUAUGUUCUCGGAAACAAGAAGUUGAGAUAUCAAACGGUUAUUUGGGUAAUUGACCAACUUUUAGACAAUUAGUUUGACCCACAAAAUAAUCGCCAAAAUAAGGGUUUGCACGGAAAAUGUUGCCACACAAGACCCUGCAAACGCGUCCGACCCGCAAACUUUUUUGACGGGCGCGGCAAAAUCCCCUCCCGACCCACGAAAACACAGGUUUCCGCCUCGCCUAUAGGAUGCCCUGCAUUCGAGGGAAGCGGUUAGCGGGACGGACAUUUCAGCCCACGCCCUUUCCCCACCCCCUUCCGCUGCCGCGCCGCCAUUAGUUCCCCCUAUCCCCCGUCGGUGAUUCUGCCGAAUCUACCGGGUGAAUCGCGCCGCUGGGCACCACUGUCCUCUUCCGCCAAGCCGCUACAUCGACUCCCCCGGAUCCGCCAAUCCACGGCGGCGGGAGAGCCACCGCCGGAGAUGGACUUGAGCCUGUGCGAGAAGUUUCCGCUCGAGGAUUCAUCCGAUUCGGACGACCCAGAUGUUGAGACGAUGUUCUCAUAUUUUGCCAGCAUAGUUUGGUGAUGGCCCUCGCCGUGAAGGAGCACGAAGACGAGCACCGAAAGAGGCGGCGUGGAUCAACUAUUAGUCGUCUUUGCAUUCCUCGAAAUAGCCAUCUCGGCAACGAGAUGCUGAUGCGAGACUACUUCGCCGCCAAUCCAACAUACCCGCCGCACCUCUUCGGGAGAAGGUACCGUAUGUGCAGAUCCAUGUUUGUUAAAAAAAGUUAAGCUUGCGAGGCUAAUUGUCGAUAUUUUACUCAAAGAAGGAAUGUCGCGGGCUUGAAGGGAUUUAGUGCAUAUCAGAAAAUCUCGGCAGCUAUGCGGGUAAUUUCAUACGGCGUUCCGGCUGACUAUACCGAUGAGUACCUUCGCAUUGGGGAAGACAGUACAAUUGAGUCGGUGCGUAGGUUUGCCAAAAUGAUUGUCCGUGUCUUUGAUCCUGAAUAUCUUUGGGCACCGAACGAGGAAGACACAAAAAAUUGAUGACAUUUAACGAAAGAAGAGGAUGGCUCGCAUGCUAGGAAGCAUAGAUUGUAUGCAUUGGACUUGAAAAAAUUGUCCAAAAGCAUGGCAAGGAAUGUACCGUGGCAAGUCUCGUGAUGCAACAAUUGUGCUAGAGGUCGUACCUUCACAUGAUUUAUGGAAUUGGCCUUGAUUUUUUGGUAUGCCGGGUACUCUAAAUGAUAUAUAUCAAUGUGUUGCAACGGUCUCAUUUGCUUGCUAGGCUUGCUAGUGGUGAUGCUCCAGCUUGCAAAUACACUAUCAAUGGGCAUGAAUACACAAAAGGAUACUAUCUUGCAUAUGGUAUAUACCCUUCUUGGUGCACAUUUGUGAAGAGCAUCAAAGACCCCCAAAGUAGAAAGGAGUCUGAAUUCGCAAGGGCACAAGAGGCAGCCUGAAAAGACAUUGAAAGAGCAUGUGGGGUUUUGCAAUCUAGGUUUGCCAUUGUUCGUGGUCCUGCUCGAUUUUGGGACAAACGAUCCUUAAAAAACAUCAUGACAUGUUGUGUUAUUCUUCAUAAUAUGAUUCUCGAAUAUGAGAGAGGCAUGAACUUGGAGUUCUUCUAUGCAAUGUGGACAGUCGUGUCAAACCAGCUAGAGACCCUAACCGAAUUAGAGCUUUUCUUUAGACCUACAGUGUAAUGACCCAGAUGUAACCCUUGCCUUUUGUGGAACCCUUUCCUAUUUUGGGUCAUGAUGGCAAUGCUAUAAGAGUAUCAUUUCAUGCGGUCAUUUCAUGUCAUCACUUUUGGAUCAUGCCAUUCAUUGCAUUCAUGUUUUCUCCUUUGUGUUGAUGUUGUUGCUUGAUCCUUCAUUAGUGGAGUGUGUUGUGUUUGAUGUGGUGAUGUCUUCAAAACAUUGUUGCUUUCAACUAGGUUUCAAAAACCCCUUCUUCUUUAUUUAUUCGAGCUCAUGUUUAACUUGCUCAAAAUCUAUUUUAGAAAUGUUGUUCAUUUUGUAGUUUUACCUUGUGGAUGAGGGAUACUGUUUUGGGGUUUUUAAAACUUAAAUGAAUGGGAGUUUAAAUACAAAAACAGCAUAGAUUUUCUGUUUUUGCAUUUAAAUUACUUGCUCUAAAAAUCUGGUUUUUAUUUUUUUUAAAUAGGGCAUAAUUCCCUUAUGCCCUGUGUGCUUUAGUUUUUAUUUUUCCAAACACUCUGGAGCACUGGGCUUUUUGCUUUCUGCUUGGUUUAAAUAAAAUAGGAAAAACCCUUGUUUUAUUUUUUUCCUAUCAUGCGCUAGAUAGGAGUGGGCUUCCUUUUCUCUCCCUGGGCCGCCUCCUUUUCUCCCGAGCCAGGCCCACCCGGCGACCCUCUUCUUCCUCCUCGCUGUCGUCACUGUGUACGACGCCACCUCCACCACUGAUCUUCCUCCCCCUUCGAUCUGGUGGCUCCAAGCAUGCCUCCCGAGGUCAUAUAAGGAGCCGGUGCCUCCCUGCGUCUAGGGUUCUAUUUUCCCCUCCUCUUCUCCCUCUAGCGCCGCCAGGAACAUAGCAGAGCAUCCCCAUCGCCAUGGAGACCUCCGGCCCGAGCUCGACGCCGGCGUAGCCUCGACCUCGCCUCCUCCCCGAAGCUGCCGGGAGCAAGAGGACUGAUGUCCCAUAAGCGUAUGGGAUCGCAACAGUUUUCGAGGGUAGAGUAUUCAACCCAAAUUUAUUGAUUCGMCAAGACGGGAAGCGAAAGAAUAUUCUCAAGUAUUAGCAGUUGAAUGUGUCAGAUUCAACCACACCUGAAAGAUUAGUGUCUGCAAGCAAAGUAUCAGUAGCAAGGUAGUAUGAUAGCAACGGUGCCAGAAACGAUCUGUUGACGGCAGACUAUUCCUAACUGUUGUAUCAAUGGCGCUAGCACGUUGACGGGGGAUUAUUCUUUAGAAGAAUGCUUCCCCGGCUACGGCUCCAACAAAGUCUUGCAACAAGUAACAGCGGAGUAGCAAGGAACAGCAGUAGCAGCAUCAACAAAGUAACAAGUAACAGCAGUAGCAAAGUGGCCCAAUCCCUUUGUAGCAAGGGACAAGCCUAGGCAAAGUAACGUAGCGAGGACCAGUAGUAAAAGACUCGUACGCAGUGGAUCGGUGAUGGAUGAGUAUGACGGAUGUGAUUCAUCAUGUAAUAGCUAUAACACGGAGAGAUAUGUAACUAGCUCCCUUUCAUCAAUCUAAUGUAGGCAUGUAUUCCAUAUGUAGUCAUACGUGCUUAGGGAAAAGAACUUGCAUGACAUCUAUUUUCCAUCCCUCCCGUGGCAGCGGGGUCCUAAUGGAAACUACGGGAUAUUAAGGUUCUCCUUUUAAUAAAGAACCGGACCAACGCAUUAACACGCAGUGAAUACAUGAACUCCUCAUACUAUGGUCAUCUCCGGGAGUGGUUCCGGCUAUUGUCACUCCGGGGUUGCCGGGUCAUAACACAUAGUAGGUGACUACAACUUGCAAGAUAGGAUCUAAAACACACAUAUAUUGGCGACAACAUAAUAGGUUAAGAUCUGAAAUCAUGACACUCGGGUCCUAGUGACAAGCAUUAAGCAUUGCCAAGUAGUAGCAACAUCAAUCUAGAACAUAGUGGAUACUAGGGAUCAAUCCCCGUCAAGAACUAACUCGAUUACAUGAUAGAUCUCAUCCAACUCAUCACCUUCCAGCAAGCCUACGAUGAGAUUACUCACGAACGAUGAAGAGCAUCAUGGAAUUGUCGAUGGAGAAAGGUUGAUGAUGACGAUGGCGACGAUUUCCCCUCUCCGGAGCCCGAAACGGACUCCAGAUCUCCUCCAGAUGAAGAACAAGAUGUGGCGGCGCCUCUGUAUCGCAAAACGCGAUGAAACCUUCUCUUUGAUUUUUUCCAGGCGAAACGGAAGAUAUAGAGCUGAGUUUGGGGGCGGUGGUGCCACGUGGGCCCCACAAGCCUGCACGGUGAGGCCUAGGGGGGUGGCCACGACCUGUGGACUUGUGGCCCACUCGCACGCCCCCUCAGGUGGAUUUUUGCGCAUGUAGUUUUCUUUUAUUCCAGAAAAAAUCUCCGUAAAUUUUCAGGACAUUCCGAGAACUUCUAUUUCUGCACAAAAACAACACCAUGGCAAUUCUGCUGAAAACAGCGUCAGUCCGGGUUAGUUCCAUUCAAAACAAGCAAAUUAGAGUCCAAAACAAGGGCAAAAGAGUUCGGAAAAGUAGAUACGACGGAGACGUAUCAAGGACCCAGGAGGGGUUCCAUUUUUGCUCAGAGCGGGAGCAGGGUCUUCUUCCACGACGUCCACGACGGCCGGCGUCCUCGUCAACUCCGGCGGCCUCUCCGUGCAGCAACACGUCGUCGGGCCUUCUUCCUCCACGGCGUCUCCCUCUCCUCGGCACCCUAGGUGACGCGCGGUUCCCUUCUCCUUCGUUUUCCCCUUGUAGCCGAGGCCCCGCCGUCGGUAGCCAUGUCCGCCGGCGAGCUGCUCGUGCAUGCGGUGCGUCUGUAGUGGUAACACCAGGAGUAGUUACAGGUUCAGCAGCNNNNNNNNNNNNNNNNNNNNNNNNNNNNNNNNNNNNNNNNNNNNNNNNNNNNNNNNNNNNNNNNNNNNNNNNNNNNNNNNNNNNNNNNNNNNNNNNNNNNCCUUUUGGGGCAUCGCCCUCAAAAUAGGAAAGGGCCGUAUCUUAGUCGUUACAUACAGGGAGAUUGAAAAUGCAAACACCGAGUGCCAACUUCAGAAGGAUCUCAUUGAGCACCAUUGACAAAGGGCUGGGCAUUAACUCAUUCUAUUUUUCCAUUCAUUUUCAUUUCAUUCAUGUGUGAUUUGUAUACGGGACAAGUUUUGUAUUCAUGUGUGACAUUCAUUUAGUUUGCUACGGUGAUUUGAAUAAUUAUUGUACUUUAGAUGAUUACUGUAUUUGUAAUAUUGGCAUUUUACUUAUAUUGCACAUGAUGAGUAAUUCUAAUUUACGGGGUAUCCGGGUUGUGGGUCGACGCGGUGGCGCCCAAGCAGACCCCGCAUUGACGAUCCGUAUAAUAGCAUCUUCUGUGAAUAUCCUUUUAUACGUAUCCAUUUUGGAGGGUCUACCUCUAUCCACGCCCGCGUCGAUCCGCAAAAACCGUUUUUCAUGAACUGUAAAAUAUUUUUUGCGGAUCGGCAUUAUACGAGGUCUUCUGGAGAUGCUCUUAGCGCAUCCUCAAAGCGAACCCUCAAAGCUUUGGUACACCGUGUCCGAACCAGUUUUGCUAACCUUUAUAAUUUAAUGGGACUUUAAACGUCUGCAGAUUAGUGUGGACCCCGAUUUUUGACAAAUUUAAAACAGAAUUGAGGAAGCUAUGGUGAAGUCGCGACAUGCAAUUGACCAAUAAAAAGCCCCUUCACGGUCCUCCUCUAUUUUCUCUCUAGUCACAUGCAUGACCACCCUCCUCCUCUCAACCGAACACAACAACACAAUAUCCCACUACAUGCAUAGUCCUCUUCUACUCUCUCUCUCUCUCUCUCUUCUUUCAUAUUAGUAAUUAUAAAUAAAAWUAAAACAACUAWUGCUAAAAACUAACUUAKUUGCGGUCGGUUACCGGUUUAGGGGUCUAGUGUUAGGAAAUCGUACCCUUAAGUAAAACGAAAUUAGNNNNNNNNNNNNNNNNNNNNNNNNNNNNNNNNNNNNNNNNNNNNNNNNNNNNNNNNNNNNNNNNNNNNNNNNNNNNNNNNNNNNNNNNNNNNNNNNNNNNCGGGUUUGGGGGGGUUCCGGGGGGGUAGGGGGUCGGGUAGGGGCCGGGAAGGGAAGGGAGGACCGGGACGGGUACGGUACGUUAGUGUAGUGGUGUGGUGUGGUGGUGURGGGGGGGGGGGSGCGGACGGCGCGACCGCACGUUGUGGUGUGGUGACGCACACACUAUGGGGGGUUCGUGCUCUGAUCUGCGGCUUGGAUACGUAAGGGGCUUGCGUUGGCGUGGCCUGGAGCGCAAGCAAGAGCCUGGAAGCGGCGGGGAAAAGGGGGCGAUGCGUAGCGGGGCCGUUGACCUUGGGGCUUGGCGCGCGCCUUCGGUGGUGCCCUCUCUGGUCUGGUGCAGUGGGUGGGCUGGCGCGCGCCGUCUUCCUCCGUGCGGUUUUCUAGAGCGCGUGCGAUGACGGUGACGGUGACGGUGACGGUCAUCCAACACGUGCAUCAAACAUCCGCGAACUGAUGAGAAUGCACCAAUUAACCCGUGGUUAGAUGGAUAGAAAGGCAGUGGUAUUACAGUCCAUCAGGCUUGAAGUCUUGAUACUCGUAUUUCUGAAUUUAUUCGGUAUUUUUUAUGACGCGUAUUUAAUGGAAGAAGACGUGACACUUGCUCUAUACUUUGUUAAAAAAAGAAGAAUUGAUAAGGCGUAUGAAAUCUCACAAACCAAAAACAAAACGAUAGACAAUCCAGAUGUAUCACGUGGACGUCCGACAUCUUUGCCCACAAUAAACCCUCUUUCUCGUUCCGCUUUCGCUAGAAGUAAGAACCAGUAAUAUAUUAUGAUUUCUACGUUUCAAGCCUUUCUUAGCUAUUUUAUUAUUCAACUAACAAUGUUCUUAUUUUCUUGGAUCAUAUGUGUAAGUGCAUCUAGUGCCAUCCUUUGUUGGUUUUGGAGUAUUGAAGACAAGCGUGAUUGAGGGAUUUAAUGUGUUUGUGAGAGUUCACAGGAUAACACGGAUAAAAAUCCAUGAAGAUUUGGUUUAACCAUCGAAGACGACCCCUAAAAAUAUCUGAAGACACUGAAGAUGGUUGAAGGCAACAAUAGGUGCGCGAAGAUAUAUGCAUGAAGCUAAUGAAACGUGAAGACGAAGUCUUUUGGUAGUUCCUUUUUUUCUUUCCUUAGUCAUAUGAACCAAUAUAUUGUUAAGUGGGGUCUAAGUGAUUGAAGUCAGAAUCUGACGUGAUGCUCAACCCAAACACCUAUGUCUUCGAGUGAAUACAAUAAGAAGAAAUCUCUUUCAGAGUUGGUUGAGUCAACAUUGCUUGUACCCCAAGUAAUGUUGCCAUGUGAGUCGUUGAAAUCCGACCACUGUGACAUGUGUCGGUUGGCCAUUGACCCAGGAUAAUUUCGGUCAUAUCAUGUCGGGUUGCCUGUUGGCUAUAAAUAACCCAUCGCCUCCAUCAUAAGUUGGUGGCUACUCAGAGUUAUUAUACAAUUAUUGUCGUUUUGGAGCGUCCCACUUCUAAGACAUUAAGAGCGAGAGCUAUCGUGCAAGGAUAAACCCAAACACCUAGAGCCAGAGUGUUUGGAGCAUCAUCGAAGUCAUUCUGUUCUAAGAGAACUAAAGAUUUAUUACCCUUAAAGACUGUGAUCUUCUAGCCUGUUAGUCGUCGUGGUCUAGAGCAUCCAAGAGUUACUCUGGAUUAUCGGGUGAUCGAGUUUUUGAAGGUUUCAAAAGUCUACCUUGAAGAUUUACCAGAGUGAUUGGGCGAGGUCUAAGAGACCUUGGCUCAAGGGGAAUAAGGUGAAGAUGAGGUCUUUAUAGUUAAAUCUCAGCCUCCCCAACCAGACGUACAGUUGUCACAACAACUGGAACUGGUCCACAAAUCUUGUGUCUUCGUCAAGCAGUUGGUUCUAUCUUUUCACUCCUUUACAUACUAUUUAGUAUUGUGAAGCCAUUGCUUGCUUAUUCUUGUAUGAAGACAUUCACCAAAGACAUUCAUCUGAUUUGCAUUUGUCUUCAUACUGCUCAAGUUUAUCUUUGAUUCACUUUUGUUUGCAUGAUGAAUGUGCCAUACUUGCCUGAAUGUCUCCGUAUCAUUACAUGCAUUGCCUAGCUCCUUGACUGUAAUCCCUAACUGAUCCUAAGUCAUUUUUGCUCACUUCGAAGACAUUUACUGGCUCAACUAGGCUUAGGGUUUUGGUUUGGAACUGGGGAUUUUAAAGCGGCGGGACGAUUUGAGCAAUUUCUUUCUCUUGUAGCUACCUAGGACAACCACUUCUAAGGAAUGGAGCGGGGUAGGUGAAGACAUGCAUGUUCAUGAUCGACAUAAAUUUCCAUCCGUAAAGUUAUGAGCUUUUGAAUAUGGUACAGUGGGAGGAAGUUUCAGCCACAUACAAAGAAGGUUAGCCUAACUCCCGCCGUUAGAAAUCAUUUGUUAUAUUAGGUGUGAUUCAAACACUUGAUUUUUUAUUUUGGAUGUGAUUAAGACACUGCCAUAGUUCUACGACUGUGAGUGCCAUUUUAAUUGAUAUCAAUAGCAAUACAUUAUAAAAGUUGUUUGGAUCACAUGGUAGGAAUUCACAAGAUGACUAUAAAACAUAACAUUUAGAGACUUGGUGCAAAAAACAUUUUUCACAAACUCUUUUAACUUGAAGGCAUAUUGACAGUAAGAAAACUAUAUGCUACAUGAUUUGAGAUGACAUAAAAAUUUACAGCAUGGUAGUAGACACGAUGCACUUCAUUUUAUUCAACAUGAGCAAAGGUGUUAGAGCAUAUUUAUCCAUAUGUGGUUUUGGUAAUUGAUGACAAUCUCUAUUGUCCAUAACGCUUUUGUGUACUAACCCAUGGUCUUCAUGAGAGUUCUAUGUGGGAUUAGGUGUGUUCCCAUGGGUUUGCGUUAAGAGGAAGAUCUCAUUCAACCUAUGAAGGAUGACAUCAAGUGGUGAUCGUCAUCAAUAUUGCGGUGUGCAAGUUCAAGUGGAGCAUCACGAAGAUAUCAUGCUUGAAGCUUGUCGUCCAUUCUGGUGGCAAUGGACUUGUAAGAUGUGCUGAAGAGUGGCUCACCCAUAGUGAGUAUGGGGAGCAAUCAACUAGUCUUCAUCAAACCAACACAAUCGACGAAGGUGGUCCAUCUUGAGGAAGCCAAGAUCAUCGUCAUCUAGCUCAAGAGGACUAGGUGCAAGGUACGGGUUUGCCCUUGAUAGGUUUAUCUAUUUUAGGAUAGAUUACCAUAUGUCAAGGGGGGCUCUUAAGUGAGUAGCUUGAUCGUAUCGUUCGUUGAGAGCUCAAACCAUUUGCAUCCUUGCAUUAUAUUUGUUUGUUCUUGUUUCGUGUUUCUCUUUGUGAGUUUUAGAGCUUAUGGUCAUCUUCAGGACAAGCUCGAGUUCAUCGAAAACGGACUCCAUAUGCAUCUUCUAUGAUGUUUUCGAUGUUGGAAGUUUUUGUCGGUUCUUCAUUCAUAGAGGUCUCACAUCUCUAUAACAUUGGCAUUUUCACAACUGCAUGUUCUUAAGAUUUCCAACAAGCUUGAUAGCUCUUGUCGUCCAGAAUCCACUGUUUUGAUAGCUCUUGUCGUUCUGAAUCCAACAAGCUUGAGUUUGCUCGAUUCGAAGCUCAUAUGCGAAAGUUAUGGCAGUUUUUGUGUCCAGCGGUUGAAAGUGCAUUAUAUCGACUAGAGGGGGGUGAAUAGGAGAUUUUUAGAAUUUCAUCACUGAGGAAAUUCCUUUUGAGGAAAUCCCUCACUGAUGACUAACUUACAGCGGAAACAGUAAAGGAUCAGAAGUGCAAAGUUUCACAACAGCAGUUUUUCAGUGUGAGGAAUGUGAAAACAGAUUGCACAGUGAGCAGGCAUGCAGAAAACAGAUGAGGAUUAACUAGCGUGAAGAAUUUGGGGUUGAGGAAUUUCAGAGAAAGUCUUCAGCAAAUUCUUCAAACAGUCACAGUGAAAGUCAUCAACACAUAAUCUGAGAAAUGUAAAGGGUUGAGGAAUUAGAACCCGUUUCACAGCGAAGACAGUAGUUGAUGACCGAGUUCCAACUGCUGUGACAGUCGUACAUCUGGUUUGGAGUGGCUUGGUAUUGAAACCAAAAGACACACAGUCCCUACCGUAUUCUCCUUGGGCUAAGAACACACAGUCCUCACCCAACACUCGUGGUAAGUCUUCAGGGCAGACUUCCAAACCCUCACAAACUUGGUCACCCGGCGAUCCACAAUUGACUGCUGGAUUGCUCUAGACCAUGAUGCCUAACCGUCUCGAGGAUGCACAGUCCUCAAAGGUAAAAGGCUUCAGUCCCACACAGGAACAACUUCUUCAGUGAUGCUCAAUCACUUGGUUCUAAGUUUGUGGUUUGGUGUUUGGGGUAUUUCCUCACUGAUAAAUUUCUCUCGAAGACUCUGAGGAAUUGGGUUGCUCUUAUGACAAGUGUCAGUUUCUAACGGAGCAGCCAACCAGCUAAUGGUUGUGGGGGCGGCUAUUUAUAGCCUGGGAGCAUCCCGACAUGAUUUGACACUAAUGCCCUUAAAUAAUAUGACCGUUGGUGUGGAUAAGACCAAUGAUGUGGCGUGGCUAUCGAAACGGUCGGAACCCUCAACUGUGAGAGUCCUCAUGUCACUCGUAUUCCUCACUUGAGGCUUUUGGUAGGAUUAGGCUUGGGUUGAGCAUCAUGAGGAAAUUCAUUCCAGAGUGUAACUUCCACCCCCUUUAACAGUAUGGUGUUCCUAUUACUCAAGUGUGAAGAAAAUAAAACAGAAAGAGUAAAUCUUCAUGCUUCAAAGUCUUCAGAAUGAUUUUCUUCAGGACACACCGAAUUCCUCAAUUUCAAUAUCUUCAUGAGGAAUAUCAAUUUCAUCGCGGAUUCUUUGCGAUUCAAUUCUUCAGCUUUAGACCAAUUUCUUCAACCGAAGAUAUACAUUUUUAGGGGUCGAUAUUCCUCAAAUAUUUCAAACUCCUCAGUGACUUAUAGAUCCUGUGUACACUCAUAAACACAUUAGAUACUUAACCUAUAAGUCUUCAAACCACCAAAAUCACUAAGGGGCACUAGAUGCACUUACAGCGGUAGUACCGCUAGUGCCAGCGUUAGUACCGUAGGCACAGUGGUAGUAGUUUUUUAUACUACUCUUUGGCGGUAGUUGAUAGGAAUACCAUGAAUGAUGUUGAAGAGGAUAUUCUUCAUGAGGCCUACACCAUCUUCUUCAUCAUCGUGUCCCUUGAUUGGUGCAAGGACGCUGCAGAGGAUUCUGUAAACAGAUCUUGGUUCAUACUUGAGUUCGUGGACAGGAAGGUUUUUCUCGGUGGUUGCCCUUUAGCCAAAGGCUUCAUGAGGACUUCCAUCAUCCUGUUGGGCAGCUCACGCUCACCAUAAAGCUUCACAACCUCCUCUCAGGGAAUUGAUACUGGCAAUUCACGCAGUAGCUCAGUAGCAGGAGCCUUGUAGUGAGUGUUUUGUGUCAUCCAGUCAAACACCCAGGUGUUAAUGUCUUCAGGAUCGCCAGAUAUGUGAAGAGUGGCAUAAAACUGAAGAAUGAGCUCACUGUUCCAAUCAGAGAUGUCUGAGCACAUUGGUAGCAGUCCAGCUUCAUGAAGAACAUUGAGGACUGGAACCAGGCAUGGAAUUGCUUCAAGUUCAACAUGAGGAAUAUGCUUGUGCUGGAAUAUCUUAUUUCUUCCACACAGCACAGAGGCAUAGUAAUUCAGCUGUGUCCUCGUCCAAAACUUCAGAUGUCUGAUUUGAGGCUUGUCAUAGGGAUUUUCUCCAAUGAAGUACAUGUGUUCUUCAAAGAAGUUCUCCUUUUGAAACUUUGGACGCUUGGAGAAUGGCUGAUGCUGCAUUGGCUGAAGAUUUUGCUGAGGAACUGGAGGGGAGACAACAAUUGCAGUCUCGGGGUUGAGCACGACGAAAGCAUUGUCUUGGUCAAGUGCAUUUUCCUCAACAUUGUCCUCAGGGUGAGGAAUUUCAUCAGCUUGGGCUUCAGGCUGAGGAGCUUGCUCAUGUUGUGCUUCAUGUUGAGGAAUGGGAUCUGGCUGGGCAUCAGGCUGAGGAAUUUCAUCAACUGGAGCAUCCUGUUGAGGGUUCUGCUCCGGAGAAGGAAUAGGUUCAUUCUGAGCCUCAGUGUGUAGAUCUUGUUCAGGUGGAGGAGUUGGUCAGCCUGUUCCUCAUCUUGAGGAUUUUUCUCAGGACUUUGAAUUUCAUCAGCUUGAGGAAUUUCACUUUGCUCUUCCUCAGCUUGCGUGGUGACAGAGACAGUUUCAUCAGCUGGUGCAGCUGAUCCUUGUACAGUGUCUUCCUGAGGAAUGGAGUGCUGAGGACUGUCGUCAAUACGAAUUUCUUCGUCAGUAUGUUCCUCAGAUGCAGCAUCCUUCAUUUCCUCAUCUGGCCCUUUCUCUUGGUCUUCAAAGGUGACCAUUUCAUAAGAUGGAGCGACGUUGAGGGGCACAGGGUCCAGUGGAGCAUUAUCUUCAAGCGCUUUGAGGCGCUUGGCCUCAGUGUUUUCUUCUGCUGAGGAGGCCUUUCUCUUUUUGGCUUCCUUCUCCGCGGCCCUCGUCUUCUUCACGUCUGAUGCAGACGGAGUCAUCUUCUACACCUUUGAAGCUUUUGGUGAAGGGGUUCUCUUGACAAAUUCAUCAGCUGGCUUUGAGGAACCAGCUGGAGUAGAGUCAUCAGCUUGCUUUGAUGCAGCAGCUGGAUCAGGGGCAGUCUCACCAGCUGUAGUAGAUUCAUCAGCUGGAUUUUCCAUGGUGAUUUCUUCAAUAGCCGGUACAUCCACACGGCUUUCUUGGGGUAUUUCCUUAGCUUGAGGAGUUUCAUCAGCUUGAGGAGAUUCAUAGGCUGGCUCUUCAAUCAGAGGCUGAGGAGUUGGUACUAGAGGGGCAGCCUUCUUGUUGUAGUCGUCAACAACUUUAGUGGCAAAUUUGAUGAAACUGCUUUUGAGACUCUGACGACCAGAUAGCUUGGAGUACUUAUCUGUCAAAGUCUUCAACUCGGCCUGUGUUGACACCAGUGCAUCAGGCGUCAAGUUGAGGAGAUUCUGCUUGAGGAAUUUCUCCUUUUUGAGCUUAGCAACCUUGGCCUGCUUGGCUUGCUGCUCCUUCCACUUGGCCUCAUUGAUGAAUGUGGCCACCAUGUGGCUGAUGCCAGGGGAAGUUUCAAAUCAUCAAGCGGAGUGUUAGGGUCCUCAUACCAGAUGUUUAUGUAGUCUAGGAGGACCUUGGGGUCCAUGGCCAGAGGAAUGGCGCUACCAGAAGCUUGAGCUACCCUCUCCUGCUUGUUUCUGAUUAUAGCUUGCAGGGUUUCAUCAUCAUAUUCAUCACUACCCUCUGAUGCAGACGGGACUGUGAUGAUUUUACUGGGGCUUGGUUGUGUUCCUCUUUCAGCAGACACCUGAGUCUUCAUAGGAGGUGGUGCAGACUUUGUCUCCGAGCUGGUUGCAGUUGGGAGUGAGGACCUGGAGGUAGCGGGCAGUGGCUUCAUGACCGGCUUCAGUUCUGGUUUUGAAACCUGUGGUGGUGCUGAGGAUUUUGGCGCUGAGGGUUUUGUAACUGUUGCCUGAGAUGGUUUCUCUUGAGGCUUUGGAGCCUUUGGUUUUGACGGCACAGACUUUGGUUGAGGAAUUGCUGAACCAGAGGUCUCAGCGGCAGAGGAAGUAGUUGCAGUUGAAGCAGUAGCUGAGGAUUCAUUGAAUUUCCUCACCGCAGCAUCUGCCUGCUUCUUAAUCUUAGCCAAGUGCUUGUCCUUUUCAUCAGGAUAGUCAUCAAGGGUCUUGAGGCUUGAGGGAUGUGCUACUUGAUGAGCCUCAAGUGGAGCCCGUUUGCCAGGAGGCUUCAGAGCGAAUUUCUUCGCAUACUUGGCAGUGACGAAUAUGUAUUCCUUCCACUCCUUUGCCCAUAGGCGUUCUAUCUUCUGAAGCCGAAUCUUUCUCUUUGCCAUUGUUUCAGAUUCAUCAGGUGUGCAAUAGUCUAAGUAAAUAUCCUCAGGGAUAUCCAAGGCUGUAUUCUGCUCAAGUUUCUUGCCUCCCUUUUGUUUCCUGUCAUCCUCCAUUUUCUUCAGCUGAGGAUUUUGCUGAUGAUAUUGAACUCUUGAGGAUUCUAAUGAGACUUGAAGAUUUUCUUCAAGAAACGCUGCAAAUGAGUUAAUGUGAUGAGAACCGAGAGAUUCAUCAGCUGACAUGUGUGUACCUGUGAACAAAGUAUAGUUGCGAGGAAUUUGGAGAGGUCAUAUGCUUUCUCAGAUUUGAAGAAAAUGAAAAAGUUUGACACUUGAGGAAUUUAAUGUUGGGGAACGUCGCAUGGGAAACAAAAAUUUUCCUACGCGCACGAAGACCUAUCAUGGUGAUGUCCAUCUACGAGAGGGGAUGAGUGAUCUACGUACCCUUGUAGACCGUACAGCAGAAGCGUUAGUGAACGCGGUUGAUUUAGUGGAACGUCCUCACGUCCUUCGAUCCGCCCCGCGAACAAUCCCGCGAUCAGUCCCACGAUCUAGUACCGAACGGACAGCACCUCCGCGUUCAGCACACGUACAGCUCGACGAUGAUCUCGGCCUUCUUGAUCCAACAAGAGAGACGGAGAGGUAGAAGAAUUCUCCGGCAGCAUGACGGCGCUCCGGAGGUUGGUGAUGACCUUGUCUCGGCAGGGCUCUGCCCGAGCUCCGCAGAAACGCGAUCUAGAGGAAAAACCGUGGAGGUAUGUGGUCGAGCUGCCGUGGAAAAGUCGUCUCAAAUCAGCCCUAAAACCUCCGUAUAUAUAGAAGGGAGAGGGGGGGCCUUGCCUUGGGGCUCAAGGAGCCCCAAGGGGGUCGGCCGAGCCAAGGGGGGAAGGUCUCCCCCCCUAAACCGAGUUGGACUUGGUUUGGUGGGUGGGAGUCCUUCCUUCCCUUCCCACCUCCUUCUUUUUUUUCUUUCUCUUUGAUUUUUCUUCCAAUGCGCAUAGGGCCCUUUUGGGCUGUCCCACCAGCCCACUAAGGGCUGGUGCGCCACCCUCAAGGCCUAUGGGCUUCCCCGGGGUGGGUUGCCCCCCCCGGUGAACUCCCGGAACCCAUUCGUCAUUCCCGGUACAUUCCCGGUAACUCCGAAAACCUUCCGGUAAUCAAAUGAGGUCAUCCUAUAUAUCAAUCUUCGUUUCCGGACCAUUCCGGAAACCCUCGUGACGUCCGUGAUCUCAUCCGGGACUCCGAACAACAUUCGGUAACCAACCAUAUAACUCAAAUACGCAUAAAACAACGUCGAACCUUAAUUGUGCAGACCCUGCGGGUUCGAGAACUAUGUAUACAUGACCCGAGAGACUUCUCGGUCAAUAUCCAAUAGCGGGACCUGGAUGCCCAUAUUGGAUCCUACAUAUUCUACGAAGAUCUCAUCGUUUGAACCUCAGUGCCAAGGAUUCAUAUAAUCCCGUAUGUCAUUCCCUUUGUCCUUCGGUAUGUUACUUGCCCGAGAUUCGAUCGUCAGUAUCCGUAUACCUAUUUCAAUUUCGUUUACCGACAAGUCUCUUUACUCGUUCCGUAAUACAAGAUCGCGCAACUUACACUAAGUCACAUUGCUUGCAAGGCUUGUGUGUGAUGUUGUAUUACCGAGUAGGCCCCGAGAUACCUCUCCGUCACAUGGAGUGACAAAUCCCAGUCUUGAUCCAUACUAACUCAACGAACACCUUCGGAGAUACCUGUAGAGCAUCUUUAUAGUCACCCAGUUACGUUGCGACGUUUGAUACACACAAAGCAUUCCUCCGGUGUAAGUGAGUUAUAUGAUCUCAUGGUCAUAGGAACAAAUACUUGACACGCAGAAAACAGUAGCAACAAAAUGACACGAUCAACAUGCUACGUCUAUUAGUUUGGGUCUAGUCCAUCACGUGAUUCUCCUAAUGACGUGAUCCAGUUAUCAAGCAACAACACCUUGUUCAUAAUCAGAAGACACUGACUAUCUUUGAUCAACUGGCUAGCCAACUAGAGGCUUGCUAGGGACAGUGUUUUGUCUAUGUAUCCACACAUGUAAAUGAGUCUUCAUUCAAUACAAUUAUAGCAUGGAUAAUAAACGAUUAUCUUGAUACAGGAAUUAUAAUAAUAACUAUAUUUAUUAUUGCCUCUAGGGCAUAAUUCCAACAGUCUCCCACUUGCACUAGAGUCAAUAAUCUAGCCCUCACAUCAUCAUGCGAAUUACAUUGUAAUAAAUCUAACACCCAUACAGUUCUGGUGUUGAUCAUGCUUAGCCCGUGGAAGAGGUUUAGUCAGCGGGUCUGCUACAUUCAGAUCUGUGUGCACUUUGCAUAUAUUUACGUCCUCCCCUUUGACGUAGUCGCGGAUGAGGUCGAAGCGUCGUUUGAUGUGUCUGGACUUCUUGUGAAACCGUGGUUCCUUUGCUAAGGCAAUGGCACCCGUGUUGUCACAGAACAAGGUUAUUGGAUUCAAUGCGCUCGGCACCACUCCAAGAUCCGUCAUGAAUUGCUUCAUCCAGACACCCUCCUUAGCCGCCUCCGAGGCAGCCAUGUACUCCGCUUCACAUGUAGAAUCUGCUACGACGCUUUGCUUGGAACUGCACCAGCUUACCGCACCCCCAUUAAGAAUAAAUACGUAUCCGGUUUGCGACUUAGAGUCGUCCGGAUCUGUGUCAAAGCUUGCAUCGACGUAACCUUUUACGGCGAGCUCUUCGUCACCUCCAUACACGAGAAACAUCUCCUUAGUCCUUUUCAGGUACUUCAGGAUAUUCUUGACCGCUGUCCAGUGAUCCACUCCUGGAUUACUCUGGAACCUACCUGCCAUACUUAUGGCCAGGCUAACGUCCGGUCUAGUGCACAGCAUUGCAUACAUGAUAGAACCUAUGGAUGAAGCAUAGGGGACGGAGCGCAUAUGCUCUCUAUCUUCAUCAGUUGCUGGGCACUAAGUCUUACUCAAUCUCGUACCUUGUAAAACUGGCAAGAACCCUUUCUUGGACUGUUCCAUUUUGAACCUCUUCAAAACUUUAUCAAGGUAUGUGCUUUGUGAAAGUCCUAUCAGGCGUUUUGAUCUAUCCCUAUAGAUCUUAAUGCCUAGAAUGUAAGCAGCUUCUCCUAGGUCCUUCAUAGAGAAACUUUUAUUCAAGUAAUCCUUUAUGCUCUCCAAAAACUCCACGUUAUUUCCAAUCAGCAAUAUGUCAUCCACAUAUAAUAUUAGAAACGCCACAGAGCUCCCACUCACUUUCUUGUAAAUACAAGAUUCUCCAACCACUUGUAUAAACCCAAAUGCUUUGAUCACCUCAUCAAAGCGUUUGUUCCAACUCCGAGAUGCUUGCACCAGUCCAUAAAUGGAUUGCUGGAGCUUGCACACCUUGUUAGCAUUCUUAGGAUUGACAAAACCUUCGGGUUGCAUCAUAUACAAUUCUUCCUUAAGGAAACCGUUAAGGAACGCCGUUUUGACAUCCAUCUGCCAGAUUUCAUAAUCGAAAAAUGCAGCUAUUGCUAACAUGAUUCUGACGGACUUAAGCAUCGCUACGGGUGAGAAUGUCUCAUCGUAGUCAACUCCUUGAACUUGUGAAAAACCCUUUGCCACAAGUCGAGCUUUAUAAACGGUCACAUUGCCGUCAGCGUCUGUUUUCCUCUUAAAGAUCCAUUUGUUCUGAAUAGCCUUGCGGCCCUCAGGCAGUACCUCCAAAGUCCACACUUUGUUCUCAUACAUGGAUCCUAUCUCGAACUUCAUGGCUUCUAGCCAUUUGUUGGAAUCUGGGCCCACCAUUGCUUCUUCAUAAUUUGCAGGUUCAUUGUUGUCCAACAACAUGAUUGACAAGACGGGAUUACCGUACCACUCUAGAGCAGCACGUGGUCUCGUCGACCUGCGUGGUUCGACAGAAACUUGAACCGGAGUUUCAUGAUCAUCAUCAUUAACUUCCUCCUCAACCGGCGUCGCAACGACAGAGGUUUCCCCUUGCCCUGCGCCACCAUCCAGAGGGAUGAGAGGUUCGAUAACCUCAUCAAGCUCUAUCUUCCUCCCACUCAAUUCUCUCGAGAGAAACUCCUUCUCGAGAAAAGCUCUGUUUUUAGCAACAAACACUUUGCCCUCGGAUUUGAGAUAGAAGGUGUACCCAACUGUCUCUUUUGGGUAACCUAUGAAGACGCACUUUUCCGCUUUGGGUUCCAGCUUUUCAGGCUGAAGCUUUUUGACAUAAGCAUCACAUCCCCAAACUUUAAGAAACGACAACUUUGGCCUUUUGCCAUACCACAGUUCGUAUGGUGUCGUCUCAACGGAUUUUGAUGGUGCCCUAUUUAAAGUGAAUGCAGCUGUUUCUAAUGCAUAACCCCAAAACGAUAACGGCAAAUCGGUAAGAGACAUUAUAGAUCGAACCAUCUCUAAUAAAGUACGAUUAUGACGUUCGAACACACCAUUACGCUGUGGUGUUCCAGGCGGUGUCAACUGUGAAACAAUUCCACAUUUUCUUAAGUGAGCACCAAACUCGAAACUCAGAUAUUCACCUGUUGGAGAACGUCGCACGGGAAACAAAAAUUUUCCUACGCGCACGAAGACCUAUCAUGGUGAUGUCCAUCUAUGAGAGGGGAUGAAUGAUCUAUGUACCCUUGUAGACCGUACAGCAGAAGCGUUAGAGAACGCGGUUGAUGUAGUGGAACGUCCUCACGUCCCUCGAUCCGCCCCGCGAACAAUCCUGCGAUCAGUCCCACGAUCUAGUACCGAACGGACGGCACCUCCGCGUUCAGCACACGUACAGCUCGACGAUGAUCUCGGCCUUCUUGAUCCAGCAAGAGAGACGGAGAGGUAGAAGAGUUCUCCGGCAGCGUGACGGCGCUCCGAAGGUUGGUGAUGACCUUGUCUCAGCAGGGCUCCGCCCGAGCUCCGCAGAAACGCGAUCUAGAGGAAAAAUCGUGGAGGUAUGUGGUCGGGCUGCCGUGGAAAAGUCGUCUCAAAUCAGCCCUAAAACCUCCAUAUAUAUAGGUGGGAGGGAGGGGACCUUGCCUUGGGGCUCAAGGAGCCCCAAGGGGGUCGGCCGAGUCCAAGGGGGGAGGACUCCCCCCCAAACCGAGUUGGACUUGGUUUGGUGGGAGGGAGUCCCCCUUCCUUCCCACCUCCUCCUUUUUUUUUCUUUCUCUUCGAUUUUUAUCUCUAUGGCGCAUAGGGCACUUGUGGACUGUCCCACCAGCCCACUAAGGGCUGGUGUGCCUCCCUCAAGGCCUAUGGGCUUCCCCGGGGUGGGUUGCCCCCCCCGGUGAACUCCCGGAACCCAUUCGUCAUUCCCGGCACAUUCCCGGUAACUCCAAAAACCUUCCGGUAAUCAAAUGAGGUCAUCCUAUAUAUCAAUCUUCGUUUUCGGACCAUUUCGGAAACCCUCGUGACGUCCGUGAUCUCAUCUGGGACUCCGAACAACAUUCGGUAACCAACCAUAUAACUCAAAUACGCAUAAAACAACGUCGAACCUUAAGUGUGCAGACCCUGCGGGUUCGAGAACUAUGUAGACAUGACCCGAGAGACUCCUCGGUCAAUAUCCAAUAGCGGGACCUGGAUGCCCAUAUUGGAUCCUACAUAUUCUACGAAGAUCUUAUCGUUUGAACCUCAGUGCCAAGGAUUCAUAUAAUCCCGUAUGUCAUUCCCUUUGUCCUUCGGUAUGUUACUUGCCCGAGAUUCGAUCGUCAGUAUCCGUAUACCUAUUUCAAUCUCGUUUACCGGCAAGUCUCUUUACUCGUUCCGUAAUACAAGAUCCCGCAACUUACACUAAGUUACAUUGCUUGCAAGGCUUGUGUGUGAUGUUGUAUUACCGAGUGGGCCCUGAGAUACCUCUCCGUCACACGGAGUGACAAAUCCCAGUCUUGAUCCAUACUAACUCAACUAACACCUUCGGAGAUACCUGUAGAGCAUAUUUAUAGUCACCCAGUUACGUUGCGACGUUUGAUACACACAAAGUAUUCCUCCGGUGUCAGUGAGUUAUAUGAUCUCAUGGUCAUAGGAAUAAAUACUUGACACGCAGAAAACAGUAGCAACAAAAUGACACGAUCAACAUGCUACGUCUAUUAGUUUGGGUCUAGUCCAUCACGUGAUUCUCCUAAUGACGUGAUCCAGUUAUCAAGCAACAACACCUUGUUCAUAAUCAGAAGACACUGACUAUCAUAGAUCAACUGGCUAGCCAACUAGAGGCAUGCUAGGGACGGUGUUUUGUCUAUGUAUCCACACAUGUAAAUGAGUCUUCAUUCAAUACAAUUAUAGCAUGGAUAAUAAACGAUUAUCUUGAUACAGGAAUUAUAAUAAUAACUAUAUUUAUCAUUGCCUCUAGGGCAUAAUUCCAACAGUCUCCCACUUGCACUAGAGUCAAUAAUCUAGCCCUCACAUCACUAUGUGAAUUACAUUGUAAUAAAUCUAACACCCAUACAGUUCUGGUGUCGAUCAUGUUUUGGCCGUGGAAGAGGUUUAGUCAGCGGGUCUGCUACAUUCAGAUCCGUGUGCACUUUGCAUAUAUUUACGUCCUCUUCCUCGACGUAGUCGCGGAUGAGGUUGAAGCGUCGUUUGAUGUGUCUGGUCUUCUUGUGAAACCGUGGUUCCUUUGCUAAGGCAAUGGCACCCGUGUUGUCAGAGAACAAGGUUAUUGGAUCCAGUGCGCUUGGCACCACUCCAAGAUCCGUCAUGAACUGCUUCAUCCAGACACCCUCCUUAGCCGCCUCCGAGGCAGCCAUGUACUCCGCUUCACAUGUAGAAUCUGCUACGACGCUUUGCUUGGAACUGCACCAGCUUACCGCACCCCCAUUAAGAAUAAAUACGUAUCCGGUUUGCGACUUAGAGUCGUCCGGAUCUGUGUCAAAGCUUGCAUCGACGUAACCUUUUACGGCGAGCUCUUCGUCACCUCCAUACACGAGAAACAUCUCCUUAGUCCUUUUCAGGUACUUCAGGAUAUUCUUGACCGCUGUCCGGUGAUCCACUGCUGGAUUACUCUGGAACCUACCUGUCAUACUUAUGGCCAGGCUAACAUCCGGUCUAGUGCACAGCAUUGCAUACAUGAUAGAACCUAUGGCUGAAGCAUAGGGGACGGAGCGCAUAUGCUCUCUAUCUUCAUCAGUUGCUGGGCACUGAGUCUUACUCAAUCUCGUACCUUGCAGAACUGGCAAGAACCCUUUCUUGGACUGUUCCAUUUUGAACCUCUUCAAAACUUUAUCAAGGUAUGUGCUUUGUGAAAGUCCUAUCAGGCGUUUUGAUCUAUCCCUAUAGAUCUUAAUGCCUAGAAUGUAAGCAGCUUCUCCUAGGUCCUUCAUAGAGAAACUUUUAUUCAAGUAACCUUUUAUGCUCUCCAAUAACUCUACGUUAUUUCCAAUCAGCAAUAUGUCAUCCACAUAUAAUAUUAGAAACGCCACAGAGCUCCCACUCACUUUCUUGUAAAUACAAGAUUCUCCAACCACUUGUAUAAACCCAAAUGCUUUGAUCACCUCAUCAAAGCGUUUGUUCCAAAUCCGAGAUGCUUGCACCAGUCCGUAAAUAGGAUCGCUGGAGCUUGCACACUUUGUUAGCAUUCUUAGGAUCGACAAAACCUUCGGGUUGCAUCAUAUACAACUCUUCCUUAAGGAAACCGUUAAGGAACGCCGUUUUGACAUCCAUUUGCCAGAUUUCAUAAUCGAAAAAUGCAGCUAUUGCUAACAUGAUUCUGACGGACUUAAGCAUCGCUAGGGUGAGAAUGUCUCAUCGUAGUCAACUCCUUGAACAUGUGAAAAACCCUUUGCCACAAGUCGAGCUUUAUAAACGGUCACAUUGCCGUCAGCGUCUGUUUUCCUCUUAAAGAUCUAUUUGUUCUGAAUAGCCUUGCGGCCCUCAGGAAGUACCUCCAAAGUCCACACUUUGUUCUCAUACAUGGAUCCUAUCUCAGACUUCAUGGCUUCUAGCCAUUUGUUGGAAUCUGGGCCCACCAUUGCUUCUUCAUAAUUUGCAGGUUCAUUGUUGUCUAACAACAUGAUUGAUAAGACGGGAUUACCGUACCACUCUGGAGCAGCACGUGAUCUCGUCGACCUGCGUGGUUCAACAAAAACUUGAACUGGAGUUUCAUGAUCAUCGUCAUUAACUUCCUCCUCAACCGGCGUCGCAACGACAGAGGUUUCCCCUUGCCCUGCGCCACCAUCCAGAGGGAUGAGAGGUUCGACAACCUCGUCAAGUUCUAUCUUCCUCCCACUCAAUUCUCUCGAGAGAAACUCCUUCUCGAGAAAAGCUCUGUUUUUAGCAACAAACACUUUGCCCUCGGAUUUGAGAUAGAAGGUGUACCCAACUGUCUCUUUUGGGUAACCUAUGAAGACGCACUUUUCCGCUUUGGGUUCCAGCUUUUCAGGCUGAAGCUUUUUGACAUAAGCAUCACAUCCUCAAACUUUAAGAAACGACAACUUUGGCCUUUUGCCAUACCACAGUUCGUAUGGUGUCGUCUCAACGGAUUUUGAUGGUGCCCUAUUUAAAGUGAAUGCAGCUGUUUCUAAUGCAUAACCCCAAAAUGAUAACGACAAAUCAGUAAGAGACAUCAUAGAUCGCACCAUCUCUAAUAAAGUAUGAUUACGACGUUCGGACACACCAUUACGCUGUGGUGUUCCAGGCGGUGUUAACUAUGAAACAAUUCCACAUUUUCUUAAGUGAUCACCAAACUCGAAACUCAGAUAUUCACCCCCACGAUCAGACCGUAGGAACUUGAUCUUCUUGUUACGAUGAUUUUCAACUUCACUCUGAAAUUGCUUGAACUUUUCAAAUGUUUCAGACUUGUGCUUCAUCAAGUAGACAUAACCAUAUCUACUCAAAUCGUCAGUGAAGGUGAGAAAAUAACGAUAUCCGCCGCGUGCCUCCACGCUCAUCGGACCACACACAUCGGUAUGUAUGAUUUCCAACAAGUCACUUGCAUGCUCCAUUGUUCCGGAGAACGGAGUCUUAGUCAUCUUGCCCAUGAGGCAUGGUUUGCACGUGUCAAGUGAAUCAAAGUCAAGUGACUCCAAAAGUCCAUCGGCAUGGAGUUUCUUCAUGCGCUUUACACCAAUAUGACCUAAGCGGCAGUGCCACAAAAAUGUGGCGCUAUCAUUGUUAACUCUAACUCUUUUGGUCUCAAUGUUAUGUAUGUGUGUAUCGCUAUCAAGAUUCAAUAUGAACAAUCAUCUCACAUUGGGUGCAUGACCAUAAAAGAUGUUACUCAUAGAAAUAGAACAACCAUUAUUCUGUGACUUAAAAGAGUAACCGUCUCGCAAUAAACAAGAUCCAGAUAUAAUGUUCAUGCUCAACACAGGCACUAAAUAACAAUGAUUCAAGUUCAUAACUAAUCCUGAUGGUAACUGAAGUGAAACUGUGCCGACGGCGAUUGCAUCAACCUUGGAACCAUUUCCUACGCGCAUCGUCACUUCAUCUUUCGCCAGCCUUCGUCUAUUCCGCAGUUCCUGUUUCGAGUUGCAAAUAUGAGCAACAGAACCGGUAUCGAAUACCAAUGCACUACUACGAGAGCCGGUUAAGUACACAUCAAUAACAUGUAUAUCAAAUAUACCUGAUUUUUCUUUGCCCGCCUUCUUAUCUGCCAGAUACUUGGGGCAAUUGCGCUUCCAGUGACCCAUACCCUUGCAAUAGUAACACUCCGUUUCAGGCUUAGGUCCAGCUUUGGGUUUCUUCGUCGGAUUGGCAACAGGCUUGCCGCUCUUCUUUGAAUUACCCUUCUUGCCUUUGCCGUUUCUCUUGAAACUAGUGGUCUUAUUCAUCAUCAACACUUGAUGCUCUUUACGGAGUUCAGACUCUGCGACUUUCAGCAUCGCAAACAACUCGCCAGGAGACUUGUUCAUCCCUUGCAUGUUGUAGUUCAACACAAAGCCUUUAUAGCUUGGCGGCAGUGAUUGAAGGAUUCUAUCAGUGAUAGCCUCUUGCGGGAGUUCAAUCCCCAGCUCAGCUAGACGGUUUGAGUACCCAGACAUUUUGAGCACAUGUUCACUGACAGACGAGUUCUCCUCCAUCUUGCAAGCAUAGAAUUUAUCGGAGGUCUCAUACCUCUCGAUCCGGGCGUUCUUCUGAAAGAUAAACUUCAACUCCUGGAACAUCUCAAAUGCUCUAUGACGCUCAAAGCGACGUUGAAGUCCCGGUUCUAAGCCAUACAAGACUGCACAUUGAACUACUGAGUAGUCCUGCUUACGUGAUAACCAAGUGUUCUUAACAUCCUGAUCAGCCGUAGCGGGUGGUUCAUCUCCUAGCGCAGCAUUAAGAACAUAAUCCUUCUUCCCAGCUUGUAAGAUUAGCUUAAGAUUACGAGCCCAGUCUACAAAGUUGCUUCCAUCAUCUUUCAACUUAGCUUUCUCUAGGAACGUAUUAAAAUUCAGGGUGACUAUCACGUGAGCCAUGAUCUACAACACAAAUAUAUUCAAAGUGGACUUAGACUAUGUUCAAGAUAAUUAGAGUUUAACUUAAUCAAAUUAUUCGCUAAACUCCCACUCAAAAAGUACAUCUCUCUAGUCAUUUGAGUGGUUCAUGAUCCACUUACACUAGCUCAAGUCCGAUCAUCACGUGAGUUGAGCAUAGUUUUAGUGGUAAGCAUCCCUAUGCUAAUCAUAUCAUCUAUAUGAUUCAUGAUCGACCUUUCGGUCUCAUGUGUUCCGAGGCCAUGUCUGCACAUGCUAGGCUCGUCAAGCUUAACCCGAGUGUUCCGCGUGCGCAACUGUUUUGCACCCGUUGUAUGUGAACGUUGAGUCUAUCACACCCGAUCAUCACGUGGUGUCUCGAAACGACGAACUGUAGCAACGGUGCACAGUCGGGGAGAACACAAUUUCGUCUUGAAAUUUUAGUGAGAGAUCACCUCAUAAUGCUACCGUCGUUCUAAGCAAAAUAAGGUGCAUAAAAGGAUUAACAUCGCAUGCAAUUCAUAAGUGACAUGAUAUGGCCAUCAUCACGUGCUCCUUGAUCUCCAUCACCAAAGCACCGGCACGAUCUUCUUGUCACCGGCGCCACACCAUGAUCUCCAUCAAUGUGUCGCCAUCGGGGUUGUCGUGCUACUCAUGCUAUUACUACUAAAGCUACAUCCUAGCAAAAUAGUAAACGCAUCUGCAAGCACAAACGUUAGUAUAAAGACAACCCUAUGGCUCCUGCCGGUUGCCGUACCAGACGUGCAAGUCGAUAUUAUCUAUUACAACAUGAUCAUCUCAUACAUCCAAUAUAUCACAUCACAUCGUUGGCCAUAUCACAUCACAAGCAUACCCUGCAAAAACAAGUUAGACGUCCUCUAAUUUUGUUGUUGCAUGUUUUACGUGGUGACCAUGGGUAUCUAGUAGGAUCGCAUCUUACUUACGCAAACACCACAACGGAGAUAUAUGAGUUGCUAUUUAACCUCAUCCAAGGACCUCCUCUGUCAAAUCCGAUUCAACUAAAGUUGGAGAAACCGACACUUGCCAGUCAUCUUUGAGCAACGGGGUUACUCGUAGCGAUGAAACCAGUCUCUCGUAAGCGUACGAGUAAUGCCGGUCCAAGCCGCUUCAAUCCAACAAUACCGCGGAAUCAAGAAAAGACUAAGGAGGGCAGCAAAAUGCACAUCACCGCCCACAAAAACUUUUGUGUUCUACUCGAGAAGACAUCUACGCAUGAACCUAGCUCUGAUACCACUGUUGGGGAACGUCGCAUGGGAAACAAAAAUUUUCCUACGCGCACGAAGACCUAUCAUGGUGAUGUCCAUCUACGAGAGGGGAUGAGUGAUCUACGUACCCUUGUAGACCGUACAGCAGAAGCGUUAGUGAACACGGUUGAUGUAGUGGAACGUCCUCACGUCCCUCGAUCCGCCCCGCGAACAAUCCCGCGAUCAGUCCCACAAUCUAGUACCGAACGGACGGCACCUCCGCGUUCAACACACGUACAGCUCGACGAUGAUCUCGGCCUUCUUGAUCCAGCAAGAGAGACGGAGAGGUGGAAGAGUUAUCCGGCAGCGUGACGGCGCUCCGGAGGUUGGUGAUGACCUUGUCUCAGCAGGGCUCCGCCCGAGCUCCGCAGAAACACGAUCUAGAGGAAAACCCGUGGAGGUAUGUGGUCGGGCUGCCGUGGAAAAGUCGUCUCAAAUCAGCCCUAAAACCUCCGUAUAUAUAGGUGGGAGAGGGGAGGGGGGGCUUGCCUUGGGGCUCAAGGAGCCCCAAGGGGGUCGGCCGAGCCAAGGGGGGAAGGUCUCCCCACCCCAAACCGAGUUGGACUUGGUUUGGUGGGUGGGAGUCCUUCCUUCCCUUCCCACCUCCUUCUUUUUUUUCUUUCUCUUUGAUUUUUCUUCCAAUGCGCAUAGGGCCCUUUUGGGCUGUCCCACCAGCCCACUAAGGGCUGGUGCACCACCCUCAAGGCCUAUGGGCUUCCCCGGGGUGGGUUCGCCCCCCCCGGUGAACUCCCGGAACCCAUUCGUCAUUCCCGGUACAUUCCCGGUAACUCCGAAAACUUUUCAGUAAUCAAAUGAGGUCAUCCUAUAUAUCAAUCUUCGUUUCCGGACCAUUCCGGAAACCCUCAUGAUGUCCGUGAUCUCAUCUGGGACUCCGAACAACAUUCGGUAACCAACCAUAUAACUCAAAUACGCAUAAAACAACGUCGAACCUUAAGUGUGCAGACCCUGCGGGUUCGAGAACUAUGUAGACAUGACCCGAGAGACUCCUCGGUCAAUAUCCAAUAGCGGGACCUGGAUGCCCAUAUUGGAUCCUACAUAUUCUACGAAGAUCUUAUCGUUUGAACCUCAGUGUCAAGGAUUCAUAUAAUCUCGUAUGUCAUUCCCUUUGUCCUUCGGUAUGUUACUUGCCCGAGAUUCGAUCGUCAGUAUCCGCAUACCUAUUUCAAUCUCGUUUACCGGCAAGUCUCUUUACUCGUUCCGUAAUACAAGAUCCCGCAACUUACACUAAGUCACAUUGCUUGCAAGGCUUAUGUGUGAUGUUGUAUUACCGAGUGGGCCCCGAGAUACCUGUUCGUCACACGGAGUGACAAAUCCCAGUCUUGAUCCAUACUAACUCAACGAACACCUUCGGAGAUACCUGUAGAGCAUCUUUAUAGUCACCCAGUUACGUUGCGACGUUUGAUACACACAAAGUAUUCCUCCGGUGUUAGUGAGUUAUAUGAUCUCAUGGUCAUAGGAACAAAUACUUGACACGCAGAAAACAGUAGCAACAAAAUGACACGAUCAACAUGCCACGUCUAUUAGUUUGGGUCUAGUCCAUCACGUGAUUCUCCUAAUGACGUGAUCCAGUUAUCAAGCAACAACACCUUGUUCAUAAUCAGAAGACACUGACUAUCUUUGAUCAACUGGCUAGCCAACUAGAGGCUUGCUAGGGACAGUGUUUUGUCUAUGUAUCCACACAUGUAAAUGAGUCUUCAUUCAAUACAAUUAUAGCAUGGAUAAUAAACGAUUAUCUUGAUACAGNNNNNNNNNNNNNNNNNNNNNNNNNNNNNNNNNNNNNNNNNNNNNNNNNNNNNNNNNNNNNNNNNNNNNNNNNNNNNNNNNNNNNNNNNNNNNNNNNNNNGAACCCCAACCCUACNCCSACCACCACCACACCACACCACACGCACGCGUCGGCGCCGCGCCCCCCCCCACCCCCCCCACCACACACACACAUCAUAAAGCUCCUCCCGGUCUCUCUCCGCCCAUCCACCCCGCCCCCAAAACAAUCGCGCCCGUGAGUCGUGGCUGCUGCUACCAAUCUGCCCAGCAGAGCCGGCUCUCGACACGCUCGCUCGCGCCGCGUUCGUUGCAUGCGCCGGGCCGCCGCCGCCACCAGCAGGGUCAGGAUCCACAUGGCGGCGGAGGAGGUCAGGCAGGCGUCCGCGGCCGCCACGGCGGCCGAGGCGGUGCCGGCCCCCGCGGGCUCCCGCUGGGCGCGGGCCUGGCCGGCCGCGCUGCGCUGGAUCCCCACCUCCACCGACCGCAUCAUCGCCGCCGAGAAGCGCCUCCUCUCCGUCCUCAAGUCAGUGCCCCCAUAUCCCCUACCCCUGUUCCUCUCCUCGGACCACGAUUACUUGUUUUCGUCCACGAUUACCACUUGUACCAUCUGCACGAUUAGUUGUUCCGCCUCUUCACUCCGCCAUCCCACGAUCCGUAACAGCUGAUUGACCUCCUCAUAGGGCCCAAUUUUGGGGUUGCUGGACGACUUGUAGGGCUGUAAUCCGCUCAUCCCCCCACCACGGUUCACUGGUUUCCGAGCGUCGGGCGAGGGCGAGUGCCAAAGCUGUCUGCUUGUGCUCAAAACCAUCCAGCCGGAUACUGAUUCUGCAGCCAAUUCUGAUGUUGAAGUUGCUACCUUCAUUGAUAGGACUAUAUCAGAGCAGUGUGUCACUUUGGGAUCACUAAAGCCUGGAUUUAUUUAUACGCACUACUUAAUUUGAACUGUUCGAUUGUUGUGCAUAUAUAACACUCAGUUUCGUUUAAGCAUGGAACCGGCGGCUGUUCUGUCUGCUUGUCAGUAUUGUCUAUUUGGUCUCAUGAAGCCCAUACAACAAUAUAUAGCAUAUGUUGUAGUCUUUGAUGAUAAUGUUGUUAAUACUUGAAAGCAUUGACGGGACUCCUUGACCAUUAGUUGGAUAUUGUCCAUUUGGUCUUUCUAUUAUACUGUUGAAAAGAUAUACUCAUGAACUGCAUGGUGAAACUUUGUUUGUUGUUGAUCUGGUACUUCAUUCCAAUGCAUGAUAGCUUGGUCAACACAUUGCUCUGUUUCGAUUUGUGCAAUAAGGAUUUAAAAAAAAAAUACAUUCUGUACCUGAACUCGCUAACGCCCUGAAGGGAUAAUGUUACGAGUUCGUUCCAAGACAUAAUAUUGUAUUACAGUACUACUGACAUGGGACUUCACAUCCCCGUUUUUUCGCCUACUUGGCCUUUAGUAGAUAUUCCAUGUCUUCCUUUGUUUUAUUGUAGAUAGAAGAGUUACUAUUUCAUUAUGCUGAUACAUGAUGUAACUUUUUUUAUCUUCACAGAACUGGGUAUGUCCAAGAACAAGUUAACAUUGGCUCGGCUCCACCUGGGUCAAAAGUAAAAUGGUUUAGAUCAUCAAGUGAUGAGCCAAGAUUCAUCAAUACAGUGACAUUUGAUAGCAAGGAGAAUGCCCCCACCCUUGUCAUGGUCCAUGGUUAUGGUGCUUCACAGGGGUUCUUCUUUCGAAACUUUGAUGCCCUUGCAAGCCGCUUCAGGGUGAUUGCCAUUGAUCAACUUGGGUAAGCUCUAAGAAAAUCAAUACACUAUUGUGACUAAUAUUCCUCAAUGUGGUGAUUGAAGUAAUUAUAUUUCCAUUCCUUUGCUCACUUUUUCCCAACUGUUACAAUUAUCCUUGAUACCUGUAGAAAAGAGACAUUGGUCUAAAGAGUUUUGUGCAUUGUAAUAUUUGCACACAAUGUGUCUUCAUACCCACAGCAUACUAGGAUAUGAUUCCUGACUUGUUCACAUGCCACAAAUCUAAUUUUGAUUGUUUACAAUUAUCGGUGUUAAUGAUGCUUGUUCUUGUAAUUGACAUAAAGAAAGAAAAAUAUUAGUGUAGAUUCAUUGAUCUUAGAGUUCAAGAUUUAUGUUAGAAAUUGAAUCUUAUCAGUGUGAGUUAAGAGGAGUCAAUCGUGUCCUUUUACCUCUAGGUAAGGAAAAUUAAUAUGAUGAUACAUAAAUGUUUGCCUACUAUUAGGAUAUGUGUCAUGGAUGAUAAAAAAUGUUUUAUACUGUUCUUGUAAUUACUCCACAUUGUUUGAUGUUGCAUAUUGUUGAAUUUUUCCUACCCUUUUGCAGUUGGGGUGGAUCAAGCAGACCUGACUUCGACUGUAGAAGUACUGAAGGUUAGAUACAGAUACUUUAUUUUAGUAUGCUACUGGUUCCCCUCGACUGCCACUAUCAUUUCUGUUGUUGACCAUGCCUUGGCAUCAAAUUUUAUGGUGAACAUCCUGUUUUAUUUUGAUUUUUGACGAUCCUGCAAGCAAUUGCUACUAUGGGAAACCCAUGUAGAUUUGUUCCAUCAUAUUGCUUUGUGAUGUAGUUUCUGCUAUAUGCUUUUUUUUUAAACAACGAGUAACAUGCUUCCUUUCGUUUUUUAUUUUGGUCAACUUUGUGAACAGAAACCGAGGCUUGGUUCAUAGAUUCUUUUGAGGAAUGGCGCAAAGCAAAGAACCUCAGUAAUUUUAUAUUGCUCGGUCAUUCUUUCGGAGGAUAUGUUGCGGCAAAGUAUGCGUUACAGGUAUAUUUAUAAUUAAUUUAGCAAGUGAAGCUACUCAACUGCUGCCUAUGAUAAUUAUACUAAAAUGUAUGCUUUAUUUCAGCAUCCUGAACAUGUUCAGCACUUGAUUUUGGUUGGUUCUGCUGGCUUUUCAUCAGAAACAGAUCAUAGUUCUGAGAGGUUAACCAAGUUCCGUGCAACGUGGAAAGGCAUGCUAGUAAACCAUCUUUGGGAGUCCAAUUUUACUCCUCAAAGAAUUGUGAGGUAAGGCUAGGGCUUCUUCUAUUUGUAUUUUCAUUUUUUUACCUAAUAAUGCAAAUGAAGACAAGAUGAAAAUGUAAGCCUCUCCACUUCAUAAUUAGCAAUCAUCCAUGUCUAGUUAAAUUUGGUUAGUGCACGUACCUUAACAAAACAGAGCAAUCCAUCACCCAUUUUAACUGGAAGUAUUAUGUAGCCAGCUGUGACCACCAUAUCAGACCAAACCUGCCAGCAUGAUUUUGUUAGGAAAACAGCAACGCAUAUUGAACGGAAGCUCCAAAAAUAAGCUGCAAUAUUAUUUGCUGUCAAAUAGAGAAGUGCCAAUUAUUAUCUGAAGUAACACGAAUUAACAAAAAUCGCAAUCAAAUUCAUUCUGCUGUCUUAGAAGUCCAUGAAGGCAUCAUAUAUACUCUGAACUGGCAGUCACAGCUGGGGCAUAUAACAACCUUGUCAUGCUUCAGUCAGUUAAAAUGGAUGGAAGGGCUGGAUUGCUCCUUCUAUCGAAGUAAAUGAGUACUACUCCCUCCGUUCCUAAAUAUAGGUCUUUUUAGAGAUUUCACUAGGGACUACAUACGGAGCAAAAGGAAUGAAUCUACGCUCUAAAGUAUGUCUAUAUACAUCCGUAUGUAGUCCGCUAGUAAAACCUCUAAAAAGACCUAUAUUUAGGAACAGAGGGAGUAUGUUCAAAUUGAAGUAGAGAUAGCUCAACAACGCAAAAAUAAUUUGAAGUGGAGAUAGCUGCAACAAUUCGAAAACUAUCGGAUUUCUUUAUAAGCUACCUCUUUGGUACCUUUUGUACUGAUGUCCGUUUGUUUUACUUAAACAGAGGAUUGGGUCCUUGGGGUCCUGAUUUAGUUCGGAAAUAUACCACUGCUAGGUUUGGCUCACAUUCAACAGGUGAAUUACUAACAGAACAUGAGUCCUCCUUACUGACAGGUAAACAUUUGUUGUUACAUUAAUUCUGUAAGUGCAUUUUCUUAGAUGAUGCUUGUAAUUGAACCUUAUUGUUGCUUUCUUGUAUAUGAAGAUUACAUUUACCACACUUUAGCUGCUAAAGCUAGUGGAGAGUUGUGCUUAAAACAUAUUUUCUCAUUGGGGGCAUUUGCAAGGAAACCACUUCUGCACAGGUUAGCUCCUCUUCCUAUGCACUUAGUUUCUUGGAACUGCCCCCCUGGUGAUAACAGCAUGUUCAAUUAUUAUGUUUCUCAGUAAUCAUUAAGAAUUUAAGAUAAGAGCCCCUCCUAUAAUACUACCUCUGUAACUUAAUAUAAGACGUUUUUUGACACUACGACGGUGUACAAAAACGUCUUAUAUUUUGAUACGUUGGGAAUAUUAUUUAGAACUGUAUUUAAUAAAAGUGAAAAAGGGUUGUGUGUGCGCCCAAGUAGCUGUGGAAAAUCUGCUUUCGUUGAUUGUGGCUUUUGAAUCUUUAGCGGACAGGAUGGAAUUUGUUUCACAUGUUCUUCCCUAGCAUACUUGUUAAUUUCUUCUCUCUUUAUAGCAUUAGUCAAGUAGAUAAGAUAACUAUGGCUGCCAAUAACCACUUAUUCGUUACCAUGAAUAGAUUUGAAUUCCAGAAUGGCUUAUCUAGCGAAAAGUUUGAAAAUCCGACUCUGUAACAAACUAGCUAUACUACCAAUUUUCGUCAGUAUAUUUGAUAUAUAAAACAUGAUAAGUUAAUGAUCUUGUAGAUGCAGUAAUGUAUUGACCAAAAGUACCAGAGUGAACUAUAUGCAGCGUAAAUAUAUUUGUGAUGUUUUCUCACUGGCCUAUGACUUGCGACAGUGCAUCCGACUGGAAAGUGCCAACUACUUUCAUAUAUGGCCACGAUGAUUGGAUGAAUUACCAAGGGGCGCAGCAAGCACGCAAGGACAUGAAAGUUCCUUGCGAAAUCAUCAGAGUCCCACAGGUCAGUUUUCCAUUCUGGCAGUAUGUGCCCAGCCAGCCAAAAGAUUAGUAUUGACGACAUAUACCUUAACUGCUAUGCAGGGAGGACAUUUUGUGUUUAUAGAUAACCCUGAGGGGUUCCACUCGGCGAUCUUCUACGCGUGCCGGAAAUUUUUAUCUGGAGAUGCAGAGGAAGGUCUCUCUCUUCCUGAUGGCUUGAUAUCUGCAUGAGGCGUCAUCUUGUGUGAUCUCGUACCGAAUAGCGGUGUCAGCAUAAAGCAAAGCUAUACAACAAUAGAAAUGUUUUUGUAUGUAUGAAUUGUGUGAAUAUGUCAUUCAUAUGUGCUUGCGUACCAACAACACUAGUGAGACUAUUAUUGUUUUUUUUUUUGUCAGGUCUAGACAUAAUUAUGUCAUAUAUGUAAGAUCUUCCUAGUCAGUUUUUAGGUCAAGUUGCUGUAAGUGAUGCUCUAUAUUCUUUCAGGGCAACUUUAUGUUUGCCUGCUACGAAACAUCUUCACAGUAUUAACUGCCGCUGUACAUUUGCUGCAGUCAUUGCUGCGUCGUAGCCAUUUUUAGAAAGUAUUUUGGAACAGUGGAAGUGCAUUUUGGUGUCUUACGAUGCUAUUAUCCUACCAGACUAUUUUGGUACUAGUACGUCUACGAGUAUUCUACAAUUAGUCAUGAGGCUGACAAUGGCAACGUCCGCGGGGGCUGUUCCUGUCCCUGAAGGAGUUUUUUUUGGCCCCGAUCGGACUUCCUUCCUCGAGCUCGGGGGAAUCCCUUGGUCCGGUCUCCGGACCAGGAGGCGGUGGCGGCAUGGUGUCACUAUCUUUUUGAAGGGGUCGUCUUGUUGUUCGAAGAGUCUCGAUGGUGCGGCUCGAGUCAAUGUUACCGGACUUCUUGGGCGUAAUGUAUGCCAUCUCCGGCGCCAUCUCAAAGACACCUUUCCUAGGUUUGGCCGUACCGUUCACUUGUUGAUUUUCUCUUGGCACAAUUGGUGAUAGUACGUUGGAAUGUGUUGAUGUUGAGGUGAUAGUACGUUGGAAUGUGUUGACGUUGAGUCUUGGUUUUGUUGUAGAGGUCUCGGUAUUGGUUGUGAUGUGACUUGGUUGCUUUUUGGCUUGAGUCAUUGUCAUUGACAUAAGGUUGGACUAGGGAAACAUAUAUCCUAGUAGACAAGGUGGAUAUGAGUGAUGAGUGUGGCGGCUAAUUCUCGUGAUUAACGUUGUAAUGGUCGAAAGGCUUUGUAUUCGGUUUCUUUUUUUAAUGUGAAAGGUGCUUCUUUAUACUUCUUUUAAUGCGAUGAUACGCAUAUUUACGUGUAUUCUAUAAAAAAAUCAUGGCAAAAAUAUUUGUGUUUACUAAGCUCAACAGCUUGCUGAUUCCUACUCUCUCAAAUAUAAAUCGCUUUAGAUAUUUUAAUAUGAACUAUAGUACGGAUAUGUAUAUAGAUGUAUUUUGAAACAUAAAUUCAUCUAUUUUACUUCCUACAUAUUUCCUCCGUUUUUAAAUAUUUGUCUUUUCAGAGAUUUAACUACAGACUACAUCGGAGCAAAAUGAUGAAUUUACAUUUUAAACUAUGUCUAUAUACAUUCAUAUGUAAUCGAUAGUGAAAUUUCUAGAAAGACAAAUAUUUAAAAACGGAGGGAGUAGUUUACGCACACACUAUCUUUAAAAUGAUUUAUAUUUAAAAACGAGGGGAGUAGUUCUCUUGGACAUUAUGCCUAACUUCCAACUCCAAACAAAGAAAAAGCUCGCCCUUUCAUUUCAGCAAAGAGGGAGCGAGCGUGCCGCUCUUUCGCGGUUUCGCCUACCCCAUUUGAUGAGCCUAAACCCACAGGCGGGGCGCGCCGCAGCUCGCGUGGCAGAGCAUGGAGCGCCCUCCGCCAUCGCCGGCCUGGCCGCCGCCACCUCCAGGAUCGCCUCCCACGGCCGCGCCGGCGACGCCGCCGCGGCGCGCGCCGUGUUCGACGCGAUGCCCCGCCGCGACGCCGUCGCCUGGAACGCCAUGCUCACCGCCUACGCCCGCGCCGGGCAGCCGCGCGCGGCCNNNNNNNNNNNNNNNNNNNNNNNNNNNNNNNNNNNNNNNNNNNNNNNNNNNNNNNNNNNNNNNNNNNNNNNNNNNNNNNNNNNNNNNNNNNNNNNNNNNNCGAACCCUCCAAAGACUUUUGGUUACAACCCGUGUCCGAACCAAGUUUUUGUCUAACCUUUAUUAAUUUAAUUAGGGACUUUAAACGUUACUGCAGAUUAGUGUGGACCCCGACUUUUUGUACAAAUUAAACUAAGAAUUGAGGAAGRCUAUGGUGAAGUCGCGACAUGCAAUUGACCAAUAAAAAGACCCCUUCCACGGUCCUCCUCUAUUUUCUUCUCUAGUCACAUGCAUGACCACCCUCCUCCUCUCAACCGAACACAACAACACAAUAUCCCACUACAUGCAUAGUCCUCUUCUACUCUCUCUCUCUCUCUCUCUCCUUUCAAUUGGAAUAAUUUGUAAAUAAAAUUGGACAUAAAAACAAACAUUUGCGGUGUCCGUUUAGGGGGUCAGUGUUGGAAAUGCCCUUAGUAAACGAAAAUGUAAUUCUAAGAUAUUUACUGUGAGAAAGGGGUGUUGGGAAUUAUUUGAAAUGCGAUACUCAUAUGACCAUAUGGGAUGCGGCGGGAAAAAAGAAAGAAAGGAGGAUAUUAUUUGGUUGGCUCCGUCGAGAGGAGAGAAGCGUGGGGAAAACAAACUGCAUAUAUACGGCCGGCGGGGUGGGUGGUGAAAACUAGGAGCGAGGAGAGAUCAGUUGGAUGGCGACUGGGAUAUGCGCCAUGUAGUAUACGGCCCGUGUCGUGUCAAUCAACACAUGUGUCGUUUGUUUGGCUUGUCCGUUUGUCAUUUCCUCCUUCGUAGGCACCACGACGAGCCCUGCGCCUAAACGGCAACCGCAAGUCUCAUAUGUGUUCGUCAGCUAGCCAGCUAGCUAUCCUCAAAGAAAAGGGAAAAAAGAAAAGUAGCUAGCUAGCUAUCCUCUUAGAAAAGGGAAAAAAGAAAAGUAGCUAGCUAGCUAGCGCCAUUGGUCGAUGGACGGGGAGGUUUGCGUUCCGUGUCCAUCACGGCCAUCUCCUGCCGAGCCACCGAGACCUUUCCAACCUUGGGAAGAACAUGGAGCGGAUCACUUCUAGAAUCUCUCGACAGUGGACGUUUGGUUUCUGGACUGAUGAAGCACCUGGACUCGGACGAUUGAGAUGUCAUCGCGGACACCAUGCUAUGUGGAGCAGCGUGCUGGUCACAGUCGAAAGUAUCGUAUAUUGAUACUACGUCCAUAAUGCAUAGAAUUAUGGUUUGAUAUCAUACUUAAUUUUAUUUAUUUAAUUAUAUGUUACCUUAAUAAAAUAUCUAAUUCACAUGUAUGAUACUAGCUAUUAUAUUACGGACGUGGAUUUUUUUUUGCUCUGGGGAGCAUAUGAUGCUCCCUAAUGAACAGUAAAAACCAAAAAAAAAAAGUAAAUAAGUUUUAAAAAUUCUGAAUUUUUUUUAUAGAUGUUCACAUUAGUGUGGCAAGUGUGCUUGCUAAUUUUCAUGACAUAUGGGAUAGCGGUGCUUCGUUGGUGAAAAAAUUAAAAUUAAACUAAACAUUUGAAGAUAACAUUUGACGUUGGACUUGUUCAUUUUGUGCAGACCAAAAUACUUAAGUUUUUGACCUGUAAAUUGCAUAUACCAUUUGAGUGUGACAAUGAACACAUCUGUUUUUUUCAAAAAAUUUGAUAUUUGUAAAAUACAUUUUUAACACGCAGAAGCAUAUGCUUCCUAGAAUCAAAUUGAAUAUCCAUUAUACUACCAGCCUAAGAGGCGACACAUCCGACAAACAAGUGUCAUUAAUAGGCACAUGCUCAGGUGGACAUGUUAUCAUAAAAUAAAUGAUCAAGUUAGAAACAAAGGAAUAUAAUACUCCUUCUUUCAAAAUAAAUGACUCGAUUUUAUAUUAAUUUUAUAAGGUUAGUAUAAAAUUAAAUCAUUUGUUUUGAAACAAAGGAAGGACAGGUCAAGGAGGAGGUGGCACAGACUAAAGAAAAGCUUAUCCUAUACCGACUAGAUGUGACUUGGACAUAUCCACCACAGGCAUGCAAAAGCGUCAAUGAAAAUACUCUAGGAAGGGUAGGGGCAACUAAAAUUAGAGCAUCUCUAGCACACCCUGUGUAAUGCCUCGUCCCGUAAAAUAACCGCCAAAAUAAGGAUCGAAAAUAUUACCACAUCAGAUCCCGCAAUGUGUCCGAGCCGUAAAAAACUUUGCGGGGCGCGAUAAAAGUUUGCCCUCAACCUUCAGAUUCACGGGGUGGGAGGCCGACCCGAGCUCGCCCCCUAUCCGCAACGAGAUUUAACGCGAGGGAAAUUUCCGCGCGGUUGUUCCCUGCUCCCCCCUCCUCGACUGCCAUUGCCACGCUACCGCGCGCUCCGGACCAUCUUCCCCACCAUUCCAUGCCGCCAUGGAAGCCUCUCAGCCGGCGGAUCUCGUCAACAUGGAGGUUACGCAUGCACAAUCCCAUCGGCGGAUCUCGUCAACAUGGAUUAAUACUUCCAACUCAUGGUCAAGUAUCCCAAUAAGACAGUACGAACCUUUCAGUCACUCCAAGGUCGUUGGGACGUGAUCAAGCCGACUUGUAGCCAUUGGGCAGCUUGCUUGGAACAAGUUCGCAAUGCUCCUCCAAGUGGAACCGUGGAAUCCGACUAUGUUAGUUUGUUUUCACGUCCCAAGUUCUACACACCAUUUGCAUCAUGUGAAAUGGUUCCAUCAUUUGACUUUGUUUUAAUUGUGUAGGAAAAAAUUGCCCAACACCGGUACAAAGACAUGGAAGCUUCAUAAGGCAAAAAAAUUAAACUAGAGCAUUGUUGGGAAAUGAUCAAAGACUGCGACAAGUGAAAGUUGAUUGACAAAGAAUCCCCACCGAAGAGAGGUUCACUUACGAACAUGGAUGAAGAUGAAGAUGAUGAUGACCCAAGAAACUUGAACAAGCCUGAUGGUGACAAGAAGACAAAGAAGAAGAUCAAAAGGGAACACGAAGCAUCGAGCUUGCGGGAUAGGAUAUAUGCCAUGGUAAAAUCAAAUGAGGUGAUGCUAGCGAAGUCUCUGGAGGCAAAGAUAGAGUUGGCCGAGAAGAAGGCAUGAGAGAAACAAGAGAGGUGGAAAUUGCUAAAGGACAUUGAGGAGAGAAGAGCACGUGUUGCUGAGAACAAAACCAUGGCCAACCUUCUUGCCGAAGAGAACAGGAUCAUGACUUUGAACUGUAAUGACAUGGACGACAUCAGCAAAGAAUGGCAUGAUAUGACAAGGAGAGAAAUCUUGAAGAGGAGGAUGCUUGCGUGUUACAAUGGCGGCGAUGUUUUCUCAUUGGGAAUCGGAACCAAUAUUGUCGAUGAUUUCAAUGCCGGAGUUGGAACAAGUGUCAGCGAUGGAUACGGGGGAGUCGAUGGAUUCAGGGGCGACGAUGACCUCGAUGGUGCGGAGUGAAGAGCGACCAGGAUGCAUGAAGUCCUUUUGGGUUUGUAUUUUAAACUAUGCUUUCAUUUUGCACGCGAACUAUGUUAUAUUGUUUAAAAUCGAAUUCAUUUCUCGGAACCGCUCUCAAAUUCGCUUAUUGGGAGGCUUUUCGGUUUACGGGUCAACGUGGCGGCAUCCGAGCAGACCCCGUAUUGCCAACCCGUAAAAAACAUCUUCUGCAAAUAUAUUUUUUACGGAUCCGUUUUGCGGGAUCUGAUUCCAUUCGUGCCCGCACUGGCCCACAAAACCCUUUUUUCUCGAACUGUAAACGACUUUGCGGGUUAACUUUAUACGGGGUCUGCUAGAGAUGCUCUUAACAUGAGAAUAGACAAUGCUCUUAACAUGAGAAUAGACAGUAAAAGGAGACAUCAAGGAGAGUGCAAAGUUUUAAUGGACGGGGGCAUUAGAGGACUUUAUUUCAAAAGAUUCAAAAAUGAUAUUUCUAUAUUUUUUUUAAAUCCCAAAAUAAAUAUUUGAAAACUUAUACGUAUUUGCAGUGGAUCUAUGAAAUUUCGUUUACUAAAAAUUUUAUUUUUUAACUAAGUCUGCAACAAAAAUUAAAAAAUUAAKUAGGACCCAAAAACAAAACCAAAAAAAGAAUACCUAACUUUUACUUAAUUUAAUUAGUUUUACUUUAGKUUUUUAUURUUAUACGUCYAMKUAUAGUAAAGUAUAUUAGUUAUUGUUAAUUUUUUCUACAACUAGUGUUGUGNNNNNNNNNNNNNNNNNNNNNNNNNNNNNNNNNNNNNNNNNNNNNNNNNNNNNNNNNNNNNNNNNNNNNNNNNNNNNNNNNNNNNNNNNNNNNNNNNNNNACGUAACGGUUUACGGUAACCCUACGUCCCGACAACCCCCUACCGUCCGUUACCCUUUCCCUAACCCUAAGACCACCCGGACUACGAGACGACUUAGUCACUUGUCAGCACGAUAGUCGUCGAUGAGCGCUGCAUCGAAGACACCAACCAUACGUCCACUGCAUCAUCAUGAGCGCCCAUCGGAGCUCCGACAACGUUGCGCCGCAGCACAAACAACCACCGACAAAGCUGCAUCGAAGCACCCGUUUCUCCCUGUAGAGUCGCAACUGUUGCAACGCAACAGCCUCGCCGCAGCACCGACUACUCACGCGAGCGCUCUAUUGCAGCAUUGUGACCGUUGCACUGCAGCUUCGGCAACACCGACCAGCAUUGCAUGCCGCCGGUGAGUACUCCAUUGUAGCACGACGAGAGCUGCAACGCCUCAUCCUCAAGCGGACCGUUGCCACUUUGCAACUUCACGGGUGCUGCGACAUCUCCUUUUGCGGCAGCGCCACACCCUCGAGCGGCGAUACGACGAGCCCUUAUCAGCAGCGAUGGCUGCCCUGCAACUCACGACAACAGGGUGGUCAGCGUUGUGCGGCUCUCCUCUCCUACAACAAUGGCAGAUGAUCCCCGAUUUUCAAUUGUUAGGGCAGCAACACGUGUGGGAUAUCGGGACUGCGACUGCACGACGAUCCUGCACUCGAUUCCUCAACUCCGUCGACAGUCCUCCUGAUUUCCCUCCAGUGUCUCAUCUAACAGCUGACGAAUAAGAGAACAAUGAAAAGGGAAAGGGAGAAACGAGUGGAGGGGAAGAGAUAAGGUGGGACGAGAGUGAGCGGUGGAUGAAUCCAUGAGGGCACAUGGCGUACGGAGGCGACGGUUUAAGGGAGAGAGAAUCAGUUGGUUGUUUUUAAUUGUUUUCUUUUUUCUUUCAAAGAAGGCAUUUUUUCUAAAACUGUCAUCGUUUAAUCUCGCGCCGUAACCAAAACGGUCAUGAAAAUGCAUUCGCUUGCCAUCUACCUUCCACAGAGGAAACGUUCGUCAGUUAGUAUUUCCGUAAAACAUUCACUCGAUGAGAUUUCGGUUCUAAGAGCAACUCUAGCAGACCCCGCAUCCGCCCUCGACCCGCAAAAUAACCGCCAAAAUGCGGGUCGGGGUGGAAAAGCCUGCCCGAUCAGACCCCGCAUCCCGCCCCGGCUCGCAAAAAUUUUCAGGGGGCGCGGCAAAUUCCCGACCCCAACCUGGGAAAACGCGGGUUUCCCCCUCACGGCUGCGGUGCCCUGCAUAACAGAGAGGCAGUUGGCGGGAGGGACAUUUCAGCCCGCGCUAUUUUCCCCUCCCUUCCGCCGCCGCCGCCCCGCCCUUGCUUCCUCCCGCCUGCUGGUGGCGAUUCCGGCCAUAUCUGCAGGCGAGCCGCUGCACCGCCCCUCCGGAUCCGGCGAGAAGAGCCCCCUCUAGCCGUCGCCGCCCGGGAUCGACCACCGCCUCAUCGCCGCCGCCGGUUAGUACCUUUUUUGUGGUUCCUACUAUCCUCCCGCCAACUACCCGAGAAGAUGGAGUUGACCCCAUGUGAGAAGUUCCUGCUAUCCGAUUCGUCCGAUUCGGACGGCUCGGAUGUUGAGACCAUGCUUGCGACCUUUCGUCAGCAAACAUUAGUCAUGACGCUUGCCGUGAAGGAGAAUGAAGACGAGAACCAUAAGAAGAGGCGAGGAUCGACUGUCGAGCGUUUGUGCAUUCCUCGGAAUCGCCAUCUUGGGAACGAGAUGUUGAUGCAAGACUAUUUCGCGGAGAAUCCUACAUAUCCUCCACACCUCUUCCGGAGAAGGUACCGAAUGCGCUGAUCCCUCUUUGUGAAAAUUGUUCAAGCUUGCGAGGAAAAUUGCCGGUAUUUUACUCAAAGAAGGAAUGUCGCAGGCUUAAAGGGAUUUAGUGCAUAUCAAAAAAUCUCCGCAGCUAUGCGGGUGAUUGCAUAUGGCGUUCCGGUUAACUAUGCCGAUGUGUACAUUCGCAUUGGUGAAGAUACCACAAUUGAGUAUGUGCGUAGAUUUGCAAAAGUUGAUCAUCCGUCUCUUCGGUCCUGAGUAUCUUCGGGCAUCCAAUGAAGAUGACACAAAGAAAUUGAUGGCAUCUAAUGAGAGGAGAGGUUGGCCUGGAAUGCUAGAUAGCAUUGAUUGUAUGCAUUGGAAUUUGAAAAAUUGCCCCAAGGCUUGGCAAGGAAUAUAUUGUGACAAGUCUCGUGAUGCAAUAAUUGUGCUAGAGGCCGUAGCAUCCGAGGAUUUAUGGAUUUGACAUUGCUUUUUUGGUAUGCCGGGCACUCUCAAUGAUAUCAAUGUGUUGUAACGGUCGCAUUUGUUUGCUAGGCUUGCUAGUGAUGAUGCUCCUGCUUGCAACUACGCUAUUAAUGGACAUGAAUACACAAAGGGGUACUAUCUUGCAGAUGGUAUAUACCCUCCUUGGUGCACAUUUGUCAAGAGCAUCAAAGAACCCAAAACAAAAAAAAUAAUAUGAAUUUGCAAAGGUGCAAGAGGCAGCCCGCAAAGACAUUGAAAGAGCAUUCGGUGUUUUGCAAUCUAGGUUUGCCAUUGUGCAUGGUCCUGCUCGUUUUUGGGAUAAGAGAACCUUGAAGAACAUCAUGACACGCUGUGUUAUCCCGCACAAUAUGAUUCUUGAAGAUGAGAGAGGAUUGAACUUAGAAUUCUUUUACGACAAUGUGGGUAGCCGUGUCAAACCAGCUAGAGACCCAAACCGCAUUAGAGCUUUUCUUCAGACAUACAAGGAGAUUGAAAACCCAGACACCCACUUUCAACUUCAGAAGUAUCUCAUUGAACACUAUUGGCAAAGGGCUAGACAACGACUUAUUUUUGUAUUCAUUUGUAUUUGUAUUCAUGACAAGUUUUGAAUAAUUAUUUGUAAUGCGGAUGAUUAUUGUAUUGUGUUUGAUUGGAAUAAUUCAGUUUGUUUUCGGCCGUUGAAUUAUGUUGUAUUUGAUAUUUACGGUCUAAUGAUACGGGAAGCAGCGGUGCAAAGAACGGACCCUUCAAAGUCGACCCGUAAAAAAGAAUAUUCCACAAAUAUAUUUUUUACGGAUCCGUUUGUGGGAUCUGCAUAUGUGACAGCCCAGGCCAGCCCGCAUAAGCAGUUUAGCACGACCUGCAAACGUGUUUUUCGGGUCGACGGGAUGCGGGGUGUGGUAGGGUUGCUCUAGAGAAACUCUUUCCAGCGGUUGACUGGUUUUGACUGAGCGUUACAUGCCACGUCAUCGGGUUUACCUCACCAGGACAAGUCCCGCCUCCCGAGCCCGAACCAAUCCGUCCCGUGAGAGGAGCGCCGCCACUGCCCCUCCGCCGCCGGCUUCGGCCCUCCCCGUCGCCCACUUUCCCCGCCCCUCCCCCGCGGCCCCGCUCCUCCAACUCCCCUCCUCGCCCGCACCCACCCCGUCGCCCCGGUCUCCGCCCACCCCCGCCCCACCCACCCCACCCAACYCCUAAACCCUACGACCCUACUCCCCCCUACAAAACCCCGUGGAAACGUACCCACGGUUCCUACGCCCGGAGCCCCGCCCGCCGGGGACCGGCGACGCGGUACGCCCCGGAGACCCCUNNNNNNNNNNNNNNNNNNNNNNNNNNNNNNNNNNNNNNNNNNNNNNNNNNNNNNNNNNNNNNNNNNNNNNNNNNNNNNNNNNNNNNNNNNNNNNNNNNNNGCAGAUAACAUCGUUGUGGCACUCUCCAACGGCAGGUGCGUAGCUGCCAACAGGUAUGGAGCACACGUCUACCUCUAGGUAGCUAAGCUAGCUAGGCGAUGUACCCUAGCCUCUGGAGCAGCGCGGAGCGGAGGGCGCCGUCGCCGUCGUCGUCCUGUAGUCCAGCGGGCACGUCGAUGACGACGUCCUGCACCGUCACGCCCUCCAUGCGGUGCACGCACGCGUGCUGCACCUGCAGCUCUAGCCGACCGGAGCGCACUCAUCAGCCGCGCCGGCGCGUGCCGGGCUCGUCCCGAGCUCAUCACGCGCACCGCCGCCGCGUCCUUCCCCACCAUCCGCACCUCCACCACAUCGUCGCCAGCCCCGGCGUGGCUGCCUCGGGACGAAGAAGCGGGCCCGUUCGACGCCUCCCACCUAGCGGCGGCCGCCUGCCGGCCCUCCUCCUCGAGCCGCGCGACGCGGGAGCGCAGCUCGGUGAUGUAGGCGACGGCGUCGGCGAGGAGUGAGGCCUUGUCCAUCCGGGACACGGUGGGCACGGCGGCGCGGAGGUCGCAGAAGCGUCGGUUCAGCUUGUCGCGGCGCUGGCGCUCGGCCUCCACGUGGCUGACGGUGAGACCAUCGGGCCGCGGCACGGGCUUCCGCCCACGCCGCUUUGUAGGCGUGGUCGUCGACGCCGGCGGUAGCUCGGAGUCCGGGGAGAGCGACGAGCUCCGGCAGGCCACAAGAAAUCUACACUCCUCGCUCGUUCGGACCGGCNNNNNNNNNNNNNNNNNNNNNNNNNNNNNNNNNNNNNNNNNNNNNNNNNNNNNNNNNNNNNNNNNNNNNNNNNNNNNNNNNNNNNNNNNNNNNNNNNNNNCUUCUUCGUCCGUUUUCCGUUUCGUUUCCGUUUACCCCUUACGGUGUUUAGCUAAGCCGAGACCCCUUGCCUCCNGAAAAGUCAUUCCUUUUCUAUCUUCGUCCAUGUCAACAGGAUCUGGACGUGCAGGUUUUGUACUCAGGUUUGGGAUCUAUCUCCCCAGGUCGCWACUUUCUUGGGUCAUCGUUAGGCUCAUAAUUCUCAUCCUUUGCACAGGCAGCAUCAAGCAAUUUUUUCAUAACGCUCGAGGCACUGGGAUGGUGUUCGUACCCACAAUAGGUGCAAUAGUCCUCCAUUGAGUAGGCAUUGAGCUUAGCBAAGAUGUAAGCAGUCUUCUCAUCCUCUUCCCUUGUCCACUCAGUCUGGGGUUAAUGGGCACUAGGUUAGUUAAGUAAACGUAAAUAGACAGAACCUCUAUAAUUAUUCGACAGACAACUAGAAAAACUGAAAAAUGGGGGCAGACCUAUGUCAUAAUAGAGCAAGAUAUAACCAAUUAAAAGAAACAUUAAGCAUACAUAUGACAGGUAAAGAUUGUACGGUUAUUUGAACUAAUUUAAUUUGAAUUAGAAUGUAGAAUUCAACACAGAACUAGAAAAUUAUAAGUUUAGUACUAAGUUAGUCGUUUAGGUUUUAAUUUAGACUUAACUUUAAAGGUUUUAGUAAGUUUAGGUAUUACGACAAACGUCCGUUAAAUUAGGAAAGUACCGUAAUUUAAACGGAAAUUAACUAAAAGUUUUAANNNNNNNNNNNNNNNNNNNNNNNNNNNNNNNNNNNNNNNNNNNNNNNNNNNNNNNNNNNNNNNNNNNNNNNNNNNNNNNNNNNNNNNNNNNNNNNNNNNNUAUACCAUUCCCUUUGCCCUUCGGUGUGUUACUUGCCCGAGAUUUGAUCAUCGGUAUCCCUAUACCUAUUUCAAUCUCGUUAUCGGCAAGUCUCUUUACUCGUUCCAUAAUACAAGAUCCCGUGACUAACACUUUAGUCACAUUGCUUGCAAGGCUUAUAUGUGAUGUUGUAUUACCGAGUGGGCCCCGAGAUACCUCUCCGUCACACGGAGUGACAAAUCCCAGUCUUGAUCCACGCUAACUCAAUGGACACCUUCGGAGAUACGUGUAGAGCAUCUUUAUAGUCACCUAGUAACAUUGCGACGUUUGAUACACACAAGGUAUUCCUUCGGUGUCAGUGAGUUACAUGAUCUCAUGGUCAUAGGAAUGAAUACUUGACACGCAAGAAAAAAUAGAAAACAAAAUGACACGAUCACAUGCKURCGUUUAUAGUUUUGGGUCUUGUCCAUCACAUCAUUUCCUACCUAAUGAUGUGAUCCAGUCAUACAAGUGAACAACCUACUUGCAUUAGUCGGGUACUAAACGUAAAAAACCCUUUAACCCGAUUUACCCGUUUAGUAACUUCCCGUAAAACGUUCGGGGUACCUUUAACGGUACCCGUAAACGUUCGGGGUAAACGGGUUCCCUUUAAACGGUUAAGGGGGUUUAACCCGUUUUUUUUGGGUUUUUUACGUACCUUUAAAGNNNNNNNNNNNNNNNNNNNNNNNNNNNNNNNNNNNNNNNNNNNNNNNNNNNNNNNNNNNNNNNNNNNNNNNNNNNNNNNNNNNNNNNNNNNNNNNNNNNNUUUUUCAUGAACUGUAAAAAUAUUUUUUGCGGAUCGGCAUUAUACGAGGUCUUCUGGAGAUGCUCUUAGCGCAUCCUCAAAGCGAACCCUCAAAGCUUUGGUACACCGUGUCCGAACCAGUUUUGCUAACCUUUAUAAUUUAAUGGGACUUUAAACGUCUGCAGAUUAGUGUGGACCCCGAUUUUUGACAAAUUUAAAACAGAAUUGAGGAAGCUAUGGUGAAGUCGCGACAUGCAAUUGACCAAUAAAAAGCCCCUUCACGGUCCUCCUCUAUUUUCUCUCUAGUCACAUGCAUGACCACCCUCCUCCUCUCAACCGAACACAACAACACAAUAUCCCACUACAUGCAUAGUCCUCUUCUACUCUCUCUCUCUCUCUCUCUCCUUCAUUGAAUAUUAGUAAAUAAAUGACAAUAAAACAACUAUUGCGGUGUCCGGUUAGGGUCAGUGUURGAAUCGACCUUAAGUAAACGAAAUGUUAAUUACUAAGUAUUAUUUACUGUAGGAAGGUAAAGGGGUUGUUAGGGUAAUUUAUUUGAAAUGCGUAUACUCAUAUGACCAUAUGGGAUGCGGACGGAAAAAAGAAAGAAAGGNGAUAUUAUUUGGUUGCUCCGUCGAGAGGAGAGAAGCGUAGGGAAAACNNNNNNNNNNNNNNNNNNNNNNNNNNNNNNNNNNNNNNNNNNNNNNNNNNNNNNNNNNNNNNNNNNNNNNNNNNNNNNNNNNNNNNNNNNNNNNNNNNNNGGACACUAACAUAAAUAACAAACGACUCUAAACAAUAGGCGAUCAUGACAAAAAAAAUAANACGAGUUUAUUAGUWAGUUGUCUCUUAAWAGUGAAAUCUGAUUUCACCAGUGGAUUCUUGGGAUGAUUCUACCCCAAAAGCAUAUAUAAUACAUGGGUACUUGCUUGUAACAUGUAGGCACAAAGCUAGCUCGAAAAACAACAUAGAAUCCUAUAAGAUCAUAUGAGACAUCAUCACAUGUGAACAAAGCAUUAUAGUAUCUACUACUCCUACAUAUGCACACACACAAGGUUCAUACACCACCACAUCACCAUAAUGGCAAGCAUGAGGGGUUAGCCCUCAUGCACAAGUGCAUAGGUGCACUCAUGCCCACACACACACAUGCAUAGAACAACACUACACACAAAUAAUAURUCGCCCMCCCCACCACACACUACAACCUAAGAAGGUGGCACUACAACGAAGGGGACGGUACGUACCGUCCYUYGUCGMMCWAUGUYGYGACUAGUUGCGACCAACCGUAAUGUCCACAACCACCAANNNNNNNNNNNNNNNNNNNNNNNNNNNNNNNNNNNNNNNNNNNNNNNNNNNNNNNNNNNNNNNNNNNNNNNNNNNNNNNNNNNNNNNNNNNNNNNNNNNNUAUGAUUUUUUUUUCGAACGGAAGAAGAUCAGGGGGCCUAUGGGCCAAGCCAGGAGGGCUACAGGGAGCCCACAAGCCCCCACUCCGCCACCAGGGGGAGGCGGCGGUGGGCAGGCUUGUGGCCUCCCUGGCGCCCCCCUGACCUAGAUCUAGCGCCUAUAUAUUCCCUAAAAAUCAGAAAAAAAUCAAGGGAUCCACGAAAAUACUUUUCCGCCACCGCAAGCUUCCGUUUCCGUGAGAUCUCAUCUGGANACCCUUCCGGUGCCCUACCGAAGGGGACCUUGGAGUUGGAGGGCUUCUUCAUCAUCAUCAUCGCCCUCAAUGACUCGUGAGUAGUUCACUUCAKACCUACGGGUCCGUAGUUAGUAGCUAGAUGGGUUCUUCUCUCUCUUGGAUCUUCAAUACAAAGUUCUCCAUGAUCUUCAUGGAGAUCUAUCCGAUGUAAUCUUCUUUGGCGGUGUGUUUGUCGAGAUCCGAUGAAUUGUGGAUUUGUGAUCAGAUUAUCUAUGAUAUAUAUUUGAGUCUUUGCUGUAUUUCUUAUAUGCAUGAUUUGAUUAUCCUUGUAAGUCUCUCCGAGUUCUUUGGGUUUUGUUUUCGACCUAACUAGAUUCUAUUGUAUUUCUUGACCGUAAGUGGGGAAGUAAGUUGGUCGUUUUGGGGUUUUUUCGGGUUACCUUUACCAGUUGGUUGGGUACGUACCCCUUUUCCCCGAAGUCCGGAACGUAGGGUUACGGGGGACAAAACCGAACGGGNNNNNNNNNNNNNNNNNNNNNNNNNNNNNNNNNNNNNNNNNNNNNNNNNNNNNNNNNNNNNNNNNNNNNNNNNNNNNNNNNNNNNNNNNNNNNNNNNNNNAUGUUCAACCAUACCGCAGGGCAACACUCGAUACGGCUAUAAUGUGUGAGUAAGGAUUGUUGGCUUACCCCUACUUUUUAGCUCUCUACCAAUUUUUACAAGGAACAAAACUCACUUAACAACUAUGUGAAUAUUUUUAAUGUUAAGCAAUCCAAACUGACUAAAGAAUUGAUCUCGAAAGACUGACGCCUGAGAGUACUGUCAAGGCAUUCGUAGAGUCGUGUUGGACGAUUACCGGCUURUUUGAAUGCUCAAUGGUCAAUGCCAUACCUUGCAUGAUUGCGUGAAUUUCUGCAUCAAGUGCGUCAUUGCAAUGAAAGAUAUACUUGUAUGCAUCAAAGUUCGCGGAAUCAUCCUCAUUUCACAGAACCAUUCCAGCACAUGCACGCCCAUCAUGACUACGAAAAUAGAGCCUCAAACCAAGAAAAGGACAACACCAUCCAGCUGUUAGGAAAUAUGCCCUAGAGGACAAUAGAAUAAAAUAAGUUAAUUUAAUUAAUUAUUUCCUUCUUUACGUAAGAAUUAAUUACGUUUAUUUAUACCUAUGUCUAAUUAAGUUAGUUAUUAGUAAUAGAAAGUAACAAUAAAUACNNNNNNNNNNNNNNNNNNNNNNNNNNNNNNNNNNNNNNNNNNNNNNNNNNNNNNNNNNNNNNNNNNNNNNNNNNNNNNNNNNNNNNNNNNNNNNNNNNNNAGAGGGCGAGUAGCCCACGUGGUGGUGCUGUGGUAGCAGGGGACCGUAGGGUUCCGGUAAUACCAGGGACCCCGUUUUUUUUACCCCCUUUCGUUUCAUUUUUUUCCCUUACUUUCUUUUCUUUCGUUGCAGCAAGCAUGANAGUUUUCUUUUUAGAUAGWGUUUUGGUGUGUAUUAUCUGCUGCCUAGGAUACCAUAUAUAGGUGUGUGCAAGUGCUUGUGUAUGCACUAGUGUGUGUAGGUGGAGUGUGUAUGAGUGUGUGUAUGGUGUGUGGUUGUGUGUGUGUGUGUGCACAUGAAUGAGUUGUGCACACAUGUGCAUGUGGGUGUGUGUGUGCAUAUGGUUGCACAUGCACAUGUGCAAGAGGGCCUAGCCCCUCUUGAUGCACCUCUUGUAGUGUGUGUGGGUGGGGCACAUAUAUUUGUGUGUAUGUGUUCAUGCAUGUGUGUGUGUGGGCAUGAGUGCACCUAUGCUACUUGUGCAUGGACGGGUCCCUAACCCCGUCAGUUGUCCUUUCGACCCUAUUUAGUGGGUAGUGUUGGGUUGGGUUGGGUUUUAACGUUACGGUAAACCCGUUUUGGUUAGGGUUGGUGGUUCGGCCUUAAGUUAGUUAGGGUUUAAAGGGUAGGUUUAAGGGUAAACGGUUAAUUNNNNNNNNNNNNNNNNNNNNNNNNNNNNNNNNNNNNNNNNNNNNNNNNNNNNNNNNNNNNNNNNNNNNNNNNNNNNNNNNNNNNNNNNNNNNNNNNNNNNCAUCACUCUCUUCAUCGAGACAGCUGAUCUGAAGACACACGGUGCGUGAACCGCGUCACUCCUUCCACUUAGDDACGACAGCUUCGUAUCUGAAGAUGCAGGUGCGUGAACCGCGUCACUCCCUUCAUUAGAGACAGCUUGAUCUGAAGACACAGGUGCGUGAACCGCGUCACUCCCUUCAUUAGAGACAGCUUGAUCUGAAGAUGCAGGUGCGUGAACCGCGUCACUCCCUUCAUUAGAGACAGCUUGAUCCCAAGAUACAGGUGUGUUCCCUACAUCUACACUUGUAGCAGCAGCCUUAGGAACAUUUCCCCCCUCUUCUUGGCUACCAGCAUCAACAUCCAUGCUACAAUUGGUAUUGUCCUGGUCAUCUAAUUUGGAUGAAUCAACCUUGUCAAUGGCGCCCUCGUUCAUGGUAACGCUGUCCCCACUAUGAGCAUUAGAAGUAGUCUGUCCAACUGAAGCCCCAUCGUUAUCCACUAGAGUGUCAGGCAAUGKAGGAAUAGGACCUACAAGGUCUCCAUCUACAUCUGCAUUGUCCAUGUCCAUCUGAUCCCCCUUGAUUUCUUUGCUUCCUGCAGCUUCUUCAUCAGUAACCAUAUUCGUCUGUCCUGAUUCCUCUUCAAUGUCAUGAUUCUUCCUCUCAUUUUUCUUCCUCAGCAGCACGUAUUUUGAGCUGCAGUCUUCCUCCUC
This 121903-nucleotide long non-coding RNA is filed under the name Hordeum vulgare. RNAcentral's name for it is "long non-coding RNA (HVUL_LNC013563)". The record is from RNAcentral. Lineage: Eukaryota; Viridiplantae; Streptophyta; Magnoliopsida; Poales; Poaceae.